CCCCCCCAAAAAAAAUAAAAUAAAAGAGCUACACUGAAGUACACAAUUCUCAGAAAAAAUUUAAUGAAUAAAACAUGUGUAGCUUAUCCAAAAGAGGACAAUAACUCGCCAGAGCAGCAGAAAAUAAGAAAUCAUUUUUCCCCAUGUCUUUUAGCUCAAGUAGAAAGAAACGGCCUAGUGGGAAAUAUAUGGCAGAGUAAAAAAUUGUGGAUUUGCUGCGAGACUGGGAUGGACCUUUUCACAUUCCAUCAGACUAAGUUACACUGCUUAGUGUCUAUGUCGUUGGUGGAUGAUAAGAUGUUUGGAAGAGCCCUUCCUUCACUUUAGAUAAAGAAUUGGACUAAUAAACAAUAGGGCGCAAGUAGCUUCAAAUCAACAAGGGUGAAAUCAGGGGCUAAUCUACCUUUCCCUUUUUAUUAUUAAAAAUUAUAUAAUAAUAUAAUUUUUUAUAACGGGCGGCUUCUCCUAUGUCGUGUCAAAUUCACAUCGGGCUUCCAUAUUUCAGCCCACUGGCUCCAUCAACAAUAAUAGAAAUUGAUAGCAUCCAAGGAAGCCAAUCAACACUCGAAACCAAGGAUCAGUUUGGAACUCCUAGAAGACUAAUGACAAGGUCACAAACAAGAAAACAUCAAGAGAAGCUCCAAGGCUUUGAAGUGAAGAUCAAGAAAUGCCUAGUAAUGGGGAAAGAGUUGAAGGAUUUAGAGGGAUUUCACAAGCAUUCAACAAAUUUAAAGUCCAACUUGUGGAGUUAGACAAGAAACAACACUUAACAGCUUGGAGAAGCCCCCUUUACAAGUUGCACGGCCGAAGAAAGGAAGACAAGAAACAACACUUAACAGCUUGGAGUAGCCCCCUUUACAAGUUGCACGGUUAGCCUAGUUGAUGCUGGAUCAUCAGCAUGAAAAACAUACCUAGUUGAUGCUGGACCAUCAGCAAGACAAACAUUAUCUUAUUUGGAUGUUUUUAUACUUAGUUUUAUUUAUUACACUUAAUUAAUAAGUGGCACAUGUAGUUUAUUUUAAAUUUUGUUGGCUGAUUUCACUAGUUUAGGCAUGUGGGCCAAAUUCAGAAGGGCCUAGGCUUGUCCUAUGUUAUAAGUAGCCUCUAAAACGUGAAGAGCAGAUUGUGAAGUUUUUGAAUGACUAAAGGUGUUCCCUUUGAUGAGACUUAAGAAACCCUAAUGGUUCCUGAAAAACUCUAUAGAUUAUCCAUUCAAGUGAGUGAUUAUCCUUGAGGUAAUCUGGCUUCCUUCUUGUUUCUUGAUAUCUUAGGUUCUUAAUUGGUAAUUUAUUGGAGUCGUCGUGUUUUUAUACACUUCGUUGCCAUUAAUUUCUCAAUUUAGGGUCAAGAUCUUGAAAUAUCUUGAUGUUUCUUGCUAGAUAUUGAAAUAUCUCAGGAUCUGAUUUCGUGUUUCUUGUGUACUUUAUUCAUUGUUCUCUGGGUCUUGUGUUUCUUCCUUUGGUUCUUUGUCUUGGUUUCUUCUUAAUCUGUAUUUCAUUCACUGUUCCUGUUCUUGUUCAUGUAUUGGAUUUCUUCUUGGUAUAGGAAUUGAGUUUUAAAAAAAAAAAAAAACAUAAUCCCUGCGGUAUCAGAAAUCUUAAUAAUUUCUUAAUCACAGUUUCGGAGUCAAAAGCACCUGACGAGCUUCAAGAUUUGAGACUGCCAUUGCUCCAACAUAUGGAAGACUUUCAAUCACUGCAUCUGCCAAAUCUGAGAUGAAAGUGGGUUCAACACCUAGGGCAGGAACACGUGCCCAAUUCUGUAUUCCAGACUCCAAUGCUAGCUCCUUGUAUUCAACAUCAAUUUCCUCUAAUGUCUCAAUAUGCUCACUUACAAAACUUUGAUAGCAUUUAAAAUUAGAAAACACAAGCAAUUAACAUGAAAAUGAAGUGACUAAGCAUCAUCAAUUAUACUGCCUAAAAAGCCAACUUUGCUUACCUUAUUGGCACGGCAAGAAUACUCUUAACCCCUUUCUUCCCAAGCUCAAUUAUUGUCUCAUCAGUAUAUGGUUUCAGCCAUUCAACAGGUCCAACCCUACUCUGCAUCAGAGCAAAAUAACUUCAUGGAAUGGCCAACUAAACGGUAUUUACAAAACUCAAUCAUGGCAAUCUAAGUGGGGGGAAAAAGGAGCAUCUCGAUAUACAAAAUCACAGUAAAGCACAUCAGUCAGGAAGCCAUGUAUUCGAAAUGCCACCAGUGAAGAUUUUCUUUGUGUUCCUCCAAGAAGAUAACUUAUCUGUGGCAGAUAGGAUGAACAUUACCUGACCACGGACUCCAUCGCCAAGCAAGUAGGAGAAGCAAUGUUAUAGCAGCUAUAUGUUAUGUGCUAGCAAAUGAGCAUAUGAGCCUCAUCUAUCUGUCUAAUCUAAUAGUGUAUCACUUGACAAUAGCAUCAUAAACAAGCACCAUCUUACCCUUUAAAAGGUAUUAAUCAAGUAAUAAGAGAAGCACCAAAUAAUCUUUUUUUUCCAAUUGGGACAGAUAACACCACAUAUAUUAGAGCCCUUCCAAGUUCACAAAACUGACAUCAAUGAAAGGCUACAGUACCUGUCAUACGUAGAGGUGUUAUACUUAUAACAUGAAAGUGUUCAGUACUCGUGUCUCACACUCCAUAUUAGCUAACAAUAUUUGUAAUGCAAUUAUUCUGAUUAUUAAACUUGCUUUUUACCUUGUCAGUAACUAGGAAGUUCAUGUGGUACAUUGUAAUAAUUCACUAGAUAGUAGAGCAAUUAGUCCCCUCACCUAUUGUUGGAAAAGCGUGGAUAAAAGAAAAAAAGCUCUUUCACCUUCCUAACAAUAGAUAUGCAUGUACCACCUUUUCAAAGUAAACUGGAGUGCUUUAAUAUGUUAGCCUCGAGUUUACCAUAUAAUUUAGCUGUCUUAUGAACUUUCAAUAUUGAAGAGUGCAAUGAAGAAAUAUUUGCAAACCAUGCUUGUAAUGCGGUGAUACAUUAUCACUUCCAUUUUUGAAAAGCAAAUAGGGUUGGGGAAACUGGUACAUGGGAAUCUUGCUCAUAGAAAACACCACAUUCAAGUAGUGGGGGAGAGGGAUGGAAUAGCUGUCUUUAAUUGUGCACCAACUGAACUCAGAGCUUUCUUAUACCUGAUUGAAUUAUGAGCCCAAAAACAAAAUGUGCAAUCAACUAGAGUCUUCAUUUCAAGAAUGAUUUAAUGCAUAAACAUGGACAAUGUUGCCUAUGCAAGUAAGUUUUAAUAUUAUUAAUUAUAAAAUUUAAGUAUGCUAAUAGAUCUGCAAACAUACCUGAUAGGCCAAAGUAUAUGCGUUAUGUACCCUUCUCUUCUCAAGUUCUUCCAUUAUUAAGUCCACACAUUCCUCCAUUUCAGCCUUGUAUGGAUCACCUGCUUCCUCUACAUAUGCAAGUGGUACCCCAUGAGCACUGAAGAAUAUCAUCACCUGUGUAUAUGAAGCUAGUUAAUAAGGAAAGAGGUAAGCAUAGAGGGAUAUCAUACUACUUUAGAAGACCCUGCUUUUAUUUUAUUAUAAGAUAUCAGAUAUUAUUUCAUAAAUAAGACAUGUUGGGGAGCAGGAACAGAAUGCCGUCAAAUCUAGAGAAAUAUUUGGUCUAGCGUGCCACCAUUUUUUUUUUUUUGUUUUUGAUCCUUAAUCUCUUCAACCGCACAGAGAUUUUUCCAUGACUUUUUUUUUCUGCCAUAACCAACUCUAUAUAGCUUCAAGAGAAGAUCUUCAAGCAAAAGACUUCAGGGACAGAUACACUAAAUCAAGAGUAUCACAGUAUCAUGGAAAAAAUCUGUAAACAUUUAUUACAGAAGAAAGCAAAACUGGUAAGGCAGCCAGAUGUAGUUAUAAACAAAACACUUUGCAAGAAUUUUUCAGACUUUUAAGUAAUCAAAGCAAAAAUACAAAUACACAAAUUCUUUGCUGCCUCGCAUAUAAGGAAAGAUGGGGACUUUUUAAGGAAAAUGAACACUCUUUUCACGAGGUAAGUAUAGCAUGAGCCAGUGAAAAAUAGAGAUGAUACUACCUCCCCAGGAUGUUCAAAACUUUUCAGCUCUUUUUCCAUCAAAUCUGCCAUCGCUUUGAUAUAUCCUUCCCGUUGAUACCAUGAGGGUAUUACUGUGUGUUGCAUGUUAACAAGAUACUCAUCCUCCCUAAAGAAAAUACUCAUUGCUACAUAUAUUAUUAUGACAAUUGCAAAUGGAAUGUAUUCUCCGAGCGAGAAUAUAGGUAUGUUUAUUACCGAAAUAUACUCUCUAAAAGGCGAAGGCUUGAACCACUCGUAGAUAUUGAAAACUGUGGAUAAAGAGGGAGAACAACAAGCUUUGUGAUUCCAUCCCUUUUAAUCUGCAAAAAGAACAGAAAAGGGAAAAGGAUAAAAAACCAACAGCUCAACUUCAAUUCUAUCCUAGGUAUCUCUAUUGUGCUUCAACAACAACAACUAUCUGGUAUAGUCCCACGAUGUGGGGUCUGGGGAGGGUAGUAUGUACACAGAUCUUACCCCUACUCGAAAGGGCAGAGAGGCUGUUUCUAAUUGACCCUCGGCUCAGGAAGGAAAGGAAAAACAAAAACAAAAGGGCAUUAGUGUCUCCAGAAGAAAUCACAUAAAUAAUUAACUAAACAUUAUUAUCUAAACAUAAUUGUCUAAACAUGAAAGCAUAAAUAAGGUGACAUGCAAUAAUAUCGAACAGUAAGUACCAUAAGGGCACAAUUCAAACAUUAACUACCAUAAAUAACUGCCAUAAGGAGGCCAAAAUCCAAUGCACAAAUCGUCUAUGGAAAACCCUGUCAAGCCCUACCCAACCCCGGGAAAGGAGUACGAAAAAUUCUAGGAGCACCUAUCCUAAAACCUUGAUACUGGACCUCCUGACUUUUCUAUCAAGAGCCAUGUCCUCGGAAAACCGCAUUCUAGCCAUGUCUUGCCUAAUUACCUCUCCCUAAUACCUCUUAGGCCUCCCUCUGCCUCGCCUCACGCUGACCACUGCCAGUCGCUCACAACUCCUCACCGGGACGUCAGGACUUCUCCUCCGCACAUGUCCGAACCACCUGAGCCUCACUUCACGCAUCUUCUCAUCCACCGGGGCCACCCUAACUUCUCUCGAAUAACUUCAUUCUUAAUCUUAUCUAACUUGGUGAGCCCGCACAUCCACCUGACAUCUUCUCAUCCACCGGGUCCACCCCCACCUUCUCUCGAAUUACUUCAUUCUUAAUCUUAUCUCACCUGGUGAGCCCGCACAUCCACCUACGCAUCCUCAUCUCCGCAAACUUCAUUCUCUGAACAUGAGAGUUCUUCACCGGCCAACACUCCGCCUCAUACAACAUGGCAGGUCUAAUCACAGCUUUAUAAAAUUUCCCCUUGAGUUUCUGUGGCACUUUCUUGUCACAUAGGACUCCUGAUGCAAGCCUCCACUUCGACCACCCUGCUCCUAUACGAUGAGUGACAUCCCCGUCAAUCUCUCCGUUCCCCUGAAUCACCGACCCAAGAUAUCUGAAACUGUCCCUCUUGGCAAUGACCUGAAAUCCAAUCUUCACGUCCCUGCCUACUUCGCUCGGCUCGGCGCUGAACGCACUCCAGGUAUUCAGUCUUAGAUCUACUUUAUUUGAAACCCUUAGACUCGAGGGUCUGUCUCCAUACCUCAAGCCUCUCAUCCACACCGAUCCUCGUCUUGUCUAUCAAUACUAUGUCAUCAGCAAAUAGCAUACAUCAAGGCACAUGUUAAAGAAAUAUAUUGUCCUUAGGCUGAUUCCUUUUUCGUAGUCUAAUUAGACAGGGACUAAAAGGCCAUGUUUGCUUCUACCUAAUGGAGGUCUAAAUCUAAUCAUUCAAAUCUCAAUCCAUUUCUUCCCUUCUACAACCACGUAAGUGUUCUUAAUAAAGCUAAAUCAUUCCGAUCUUUUACUAUUGUACAACAACAACAACAACAACCCAGUAUAAUCCCACGUAGUGGGGUCUGGGAAAGGUAGUGUGUACACAGACCUUACCCCUACCCUGGGGUAGAGAGGCUGUUUCCAAAUAGACUCCCGGCAUCCUUCCUUCCAAGAACUUCUCACCUUGCUCUUGGGGAGACUCGAACUCACAACCUCUCGGCUUACUUAUAGUCAUGUAAAGGUUUUUUAACUACAGUUAUCCAUUACAACCACCACCACCAACCACUUCUAUGGUCAGCCAUCAACGCACAACCACUAUUACCAACUACUUGUACCACCGGCGCCUUCACCCCCGAGCUACAUCGCACAACAACCACCACAAUUGCCGGUCAUCACCACCAACCAUGCUACCACUAGCCACAGCACUGCCAACUACCUCCACCACCAUCCACCCAACCUUACUGCCAGCUACCAUGACCAACCACAUCCACCAUCAACCACCUCCAUCGCCACGACCAACCACUUCCAUCAUCAAAUGCCCACUACCAACUAGCCUUUGAACAACCACUACCACAAUCACUUCUAAGAUUAGCCACCACUGCAAAAAUACCAUCACUGACCUCGUGUACCACUAGCCACCUUCAUCCCCAAGCUACACCACCUUCAUCCCCAAGCUACAUUGCACAACUACCACCAACAACCACCACCAUCGUGUGUCAUUACCACCAAUCACAUCUGCCACUAGCCACUGCACCUCCAACUACCAUCCACCCAACCUCCAUGGAUAGCUACCACGACCAACCACCUCCACCAUCAGCCACCUUACACCACAGCCAACCACCUCCACCGCUAGCUACCACAAUAAACCACCUCCACUGCUAGUCUUCCCACCAAUCACUUAUACCACAUCACCAGCUGCCAGCCUCUACUGCGAACCACCACUAGCAACUACGAUACAAUCUCUGCAAAAACACCACUACUAGUCACCUGCACCAAUGACAACCACCACUAGCCACCACCUCAAAAUUGACAUCGUUGAAGACCACCACAACUAACAUUUAGAGUGUGAUUUAUCAAAUAAACAGUUUCUACAACACCAUAUCAAUCAAAAGUUUCUCUAAUAUUUUGUUGAUAUAACAUUUAAGUAUGAUUAUUGUUUUUAAAUUCUCUAUUAAUUAAUUUUUGAAUAAAGAUAAUAUAUGCACACAUUCAGACACCGGAAAAAAAAACAAUCAUAAUUAUACAGUAUCCAGAUUAGACACAAUUUGUAAAUAAUCAAUAUGUAACUAGAUUCACAUUAUCUUUAUCUUAACAAAAGCAAAUGGGUCUAAGUAGCUUCCUCACUCGGCUUCGCUUCAACUCGGGACUGUUACACAACAAGAUAGAGAGAUAAGGCUAACUCGUCUAAUCCCUUCUCGAAAGAUAAAAACCUCUUCUCCCAGCCAUAUUACUCCCUCCACCAUCCCUUUCCACUUCUGUGCCACCCCCACUUCUCAGUACCACAUAUGCUCCAGUCAAAAAUUUUGUUUUAGAUUUCUUUUUAUACUUAAUCAUGAAUGCAUGCGUGGCUAAUACCAGCUUAUUAGUUAGCUGUUAAAUUAUUAUUUCCUCGAUAUAGCUGUAGUAAAUUUGAUCACUAUCACUCUAUCGUCUAGCCCAAAUUAUGUGAUAUGAUUCUGCAGUAGUGUAAUCCAGUAUGAACCUGGCUCGUACUAACUGCUUCAAACCAUAAAACACAUAAACAACUACAAAAGGAAAAGAAAAAGUUUACAAAAGAAAAUCAAAGAAACAAUACCAGCUCAAUGGCUUCCUCCGUGAAUGGAUGCCAGUAGCGCAUACCAACAUACACCUUUGCAGGCACAUUCCUUUCCCACAGUGCUUUUCUCAAGGCUUCAGCCUAAAAAUAAAAAUAUUAUUAAACAGGCAGAAUUGAAUAGAGGAGCCACGGAAAAUAAUGCACAAAAACAUUGUAAUGCUCAUAUACAAAUCCACCACAGUAAACAGCAGCUAACAGUAAAAGAGAUCUCUCGAUAGAAAAUAAGAGGUACAAAUCAUACUAAAAAUUAGCCUUAGCAAGUGUUUCCUCCAUAAAUCACUGGAAUUCAGCAUGGUCCAAAAAAUUUCACCACUAUGGUAAAACGCUCUCACUUAACAAAGAGAUCCACAACCAUAACCACACGUAAAAUACCAUUCAUUCUUCUUUUAGCGAUUGUUGGACCAACAUUUCUUCUUCACUUAUUCCUAGUUCUUAGAAACUUACUCAUUAAUCAGCAAUCAUGAAUAAUUAAUUAUCAAACCAUAUAAAUUCAUGCCUGAGCAUCAGUUAUCCGUCGAAGAGGAGAGCCACCACCAAUUGAAGCAUAACCUUCUUUGCUCUUAGGUGCUCUAGCAACAGAUAUGAAUUGCGCAAGUGGCCUUUGCAAAAACCGAAACAGCCUUGGCAAUCGAAUAAUAUCCUAUUCAAACCAAACAAUCCGAGUUAAAACCCAUCAAACAAAAGAGUAAAACACAAUAGCUUCUGACAUAUAACUUACAGGAUCAGCAAAAAGAUUGAACAAAAAUGGCUGCACAUCUUCAAGAGACUCAGGGCCACCAAGAUUAAGCAACAAAACACCAAUUUUUCCGUCACAAACAACAUUAACAGGAUUUGUGGACACUUGUUGGGGCCUAGAAGUGACCAAUGCUGAAGGCAUCAUAGAUGGUUUCAAGGAGCAUCUAGCAGCUACUAGUGAACAAUUUUUGGGUACCCUUAAACAAGAAGCUGCGGAGGGUACACUGCUUUGACAAUCCACUUGAUGGAAUGGUGAAUAGGAUGUGCAGUUCGCCGGCGAUGCAGAUAUUUCACGGCCGAAAAUCACCGGCGGCGCAAGGGUACACUGCUUUGACCAUCCACUUGAUGGAAUGGCGAAUAGGGUGUGCAGUUCGCCGGCGACGCAGAUAUUUCACGGCAGAAAAUCACCGGCUGUGCCAUUGCUGACUUGACUGCAAAAGGGAAGACUGAUCUGGGAUAAUGCUCUUUGUGGGGACUAAAAUGAGGAGAGAAAAAAUGUGACAAAUCAGUAAGUGAUGACUUUGAUAUUUUGGUCAGUGAAUUUGUUGGGAAAUUAUUUUGGAAAAGCUUUUUGGCGUGUAGCUGGUCUCCUCCACAAGUUCCGGAUAAUAACGGCACAGCAAAUGGACGUACAAGUCCCCUUUUAGCUUGUUUUGGUGUUCCGCAAGUCCAAAACAAGCUUCAUAUUCCAUUAAGUAAUUUAUUUUCUUAUCCCUAAAUAAUUUUUACGGAAAAGGGUCAGAACUGCCCUAACAUAUUGACGACAGUUUAAAAAUGUUCUCCGUUAACCUAUUUUGAAAAAAAUACCCCUACCAUUAAAAUUCUGGCAUAUUUAUACCCCUAAUAUAUUGACUCCAGUUUAAAAAUGCCUUUACCGUUAACCUAUUUUGAAAAAAAUGCCCCUACCAUUUUAAAUAUAAGUACAGUUAGUUGUUAGACUUAGGGGCACAAAUAUGCCAAAUUUUUAAUCGUAGGGGCAUUUUUUUCAAAAUAGGUUAACGGAGGACAUUUUUAAAAUAGAGGAAGGCUUUUUGGUCUGGAUUUUUAACGGUAGGGGCAUUUUUUCAAAAUAGGUUAACGGAGGGCAUUUUUAAACUGGAGGCAAUACGUUAGGGGCAGUUCUGAUCCUUUUCCCUAAUUUUAAUAAUUCCAAAAUUAACCUUCAAAAUAAAAGCUCCCUUCUCUGUUCUCCGUCCUUGUUGUGUCAUUCCUCCAUCACGCAUCUGCCUUUCCACGUGUAAUGACUCGACAGGCUAUUUUAUGUACUUGAGUUCCGUUUAUUUUAUUUUUUUAUAAAAAGUAUUAUAUCCAUUAAUAUCAAAGAAACAGUACAAGUUGGAGCUUUAGCAGGAGCUUUGACUACUCCUACUCUUUACAUCAAUCUUUUAUACUAAGUUCUAUCAUUUCCAGUAGUUACAUCUCAGCAUAAGAACAACUAAUAAACUAAAGCAACCAAGAACACUAAGGAAACCUAUUAAUUUGGCACAGACAUCUUGCCAACGCCCGCAAUCUGCCCCGAAUGUGGAUGGUAAGGGCUAUUUCUCUGCAUAGUUGAUUCUCCUCAUAUUUUUUCAUGUCAAAUCUAUGUUAUUCCUCUCUCGCCAGAUGAGUGCAACUGUGUUGAUGAAGACACAAGCAGUUAUAAUAUUAAGCACCACUCUACUCUUUGCCUUGUUGCAUACCCAUUGCAAUUCUGCUUCCCAAUCACCUACUGCCCUGUUAUGUCCCAGCCAGUUGCAUAAUCUAUUCCACAGUCUCUUUGUAACUGAGCAGUCAAAGAACAGAUUAUUAAAAGAGUCAGUACUUUGAUCACAAAACAUACAAUUGCCAGGAACUUGGAUGCCAAUUUUUCUGCAAUCUGUCUACUGUAGGUAGUCUCUGCUGAGCAGCUAGCCAGACAGUAAACCUGUGUCUAGGUUGAGCGUGUGCAAGUAACAUCAGUAGAUGAUUAAAAGAUUCAGUACUUUGAUCACAAAACACACAAUUGCCUGGAGUUUGGAUGCCAAUUUUCUGCAAUCUGUCUACUAUAGGUAGUCUCUGCUGAGCAGCUAGCCAGACAGUAAACUUGUGUCUAGGUUGAGCAUGUGCAGGUAACAUUAGGUUCUUCCGUUUUCCCUCUUGAAGUUUUAUGACAUUGAUUUCGUUUCGGGAAGGUUUUGCAAUAAUUUAAAACAAUUGAUUCCUGGUUUAGAAACUUAUGUUAAAAAGGUUAACCGAUGUUUGAGUUUUGUGAAAACACUUCCGGAAUGGUGUUUUGAUGGUUCUAACAGGUUCUUAUAGUGAUUUUGAACUUAGACGUAUGCUCGAAAUUGGAUGCGGAGGUUCCUAGGUUGAUUUGGCUUGUUUUGCCUAAAGGUGGCAAUUUCAAGGUUUAGAAAUGUCCAAGUUUGACAGUAGGUUGACAUCAUAGCUAUCGGGUUCAGAUUUUGGUUCGGGACUUGAAAUAAGUCUGUUUAUCAUUUGAAACUUGUUUGCAAAGCUUGGCGUCAUUCCGAGUUGGUUAGAUAGGAAUCUGACGCUUGGUUGAUUUUGGAAAUCAUUGAAUUUCAUUGUGAAUCCUAUGUGUUUUGAUUUCGGAUUCAUGGUUUCAGAUAUUAUUUUGGUGUUUUAUUCGUAUGAUAUUUUAGACUUUUGUGGAUAUCUGGUAUAGAGUCUCGAUACUCGGGUGAGUUUCGGAUGCGUUUCGGAUUGGUUUGGUCAUAUUUCACAGUUAUUGGUGAUGGGUAGAUAUUGCAGGUCUCGCAAAUGCGAGAUCUUGUUCGCAUUUGUGAGGUGGGAUGAGGGCUAAGAAGUUCGCAUUUGUGAAUUUUUUAUCGCAUUUGCAAUUGGCGGACCUUGGCGAGGGUGAUCUCUUUUGCAAUCACAUGAUCGUUUUUGUGAAGGAGCCUGACUUCGCAAAUGCAAAGUCAGGGUCACAUUGCCACAUUUUCAUGGAUCAACAGGCGCCGCAUUUGCGAUGGUUCUUCCGCAUUUGCAGGGGUUCGCAAAUGCAAACCCCGGGACCCAUCUGCGACUUCCGCACCUAAACAAAAGUUUGGAAUUUUGGGACUUAGUCUCAUUUAUCACAUUCUUUAGCCCUAGACUUGGUGGGAGGAGGAGAUUUUCAUAUAAAGUCCUUCGGCAAGUGAUCUUGACUCAAUUUUGUUUAUAUAACAUGAUUAUUUAUGAGAUUUAACAUAUAAUCCACAUAAUUUGAAAAGUAAUUUUGGGGAUUUAUGACUAUGUUUUGAAUAAUAAAAAUUUAAGAUUUGAGAGCACAAUUGGACUCGGAAUUUGAAAACCAAGUGCACAUAUGGGCUCGUGGGGUUAUGGCUAGUCUAGAUCUACCCUUUGACUCGAGUUUUAACCGGGUGGACCCAGGAUUAACUUUUGAAGAAUUGUGUAAAGACCUUAACUUUAGUAAUCGAAAUUUAUUUGAUAUUAUUAAUUCAUAUUUUGCUGGAUUUGAGUCGUGUGGAGGUGAAUUUUACAAAAAGAAAAAUUAUUUUUGAGUGUGGAAUUAGCCUAAUUGAGGUACGUAUCUUGCUUAACUUUGUGUGGGGGAGUUACCCAUUAGGAUUUGGUCUAAUGCAUGCGUGUGACACUUGCUUAUGCGUGGUAAUGAUUGGAUUAGACUUGUAGAUAUUAAUAUUCCUUGAAUUGAAGUUGUUGUCAUAUGGAAUACAUUUCAUUGUUGAGUUACUCCUCGUUUCCUUGAGUUGUUGUUGAAAUUAUUCUAUUCAUUAUUUUAGAUCCAAGUGUUAUGUAUUACUGUGAUAUUGGUAUUAUUGUUUGGGAAAUAUUGUGGCAUAUGAGCACAUAUGGUGCGAGUUAAUUUAUUGUGUUGUGAUGAGAUGUGCAUGCAACUACAUAAGGGUGGUUAGCAUUGAUGCGCAAGCGAUGAGAUAAGGGGGCUUAUGUGCCUAUUGCUACUAAGAGAAAAUACUUUAUUGUGAGGCACACGCGGUGAGAUAGGGGGCUUAUGCGUGUGCAGCUAUUUCGGAAAAAUCUUUUUUUAAAUGUGAAGCUCACACGUCGUCAUAAGGGUGACUUGUGAUUAUGAGGUGUGCUACCUCGGUGAUUCUUGUUGUAAAUCUUGUGUUGGAACGACUUGAUGAUUUGAUCUGCCAUUGUUUUCCUUUAUUUAUUUCACUUGUAUUUUAACUGAGUUUUGGUUUGUGUUAUCACAUGUCUACACUUUGUUGCCAUUUAUUGAUUUAACUUUGUGUUAUUAGCUUUAUAUUCAUAUUAUGUACAUAUUUUAUGUCUAGUUAGUGUCUUGACUUGAACCUUAUCAGAACGUUAGUUCUGAUUCUUACUGUGUAUCAUUUGUAGUAUACUCAUACUACGAUUCUGCAUAUUUUUGUGCAACUCCAGGUAUCUCAGAUCUUUCCAGACGAUAAAGAGUUGAGUUGAGCUAGAGUUGCAGAGACUUCAAGGUAUACUUAUUGUUCCCGCUCGCAGGCCUCGUAAUCACCUUAUGUUAUUUUCCUAUUACUGUUAUUUAUAUUCCAAAACAGUAAUGUAUUUGAGAUUUCUAGUGUACACUUAGUAAAGCUCAUGACUUGGUACUACCGAUUUUAGGAUUUAUGUGACUUUCGUAUUUCCUUUUCGGUUAUGUUAUGGGAUUAAUCAGUUGUUAUUUAAGUAAUUAAGUUGUUUUAUUAUGUUGAUCUUGCUUUGUGAUAGGUUUACCUAAUCCUAGGAACUAGGUUCCAUCAUGAUCCUAAAAGUGAAAUUUUAGGGUCGUGACAAGUUAGUAUCAAAGCUCUAGGUUCAUAGGUUCGCGAGUCAUAAACAAGUUUAGUAGAGUCUUGCAGAUAGGUACGGAGACGUCAGUACUUACCUUCUAGAGGCUAUAGAACUAUUAGGAAAUUCCACUUAUUUCAUUCCUUAUAAUGUGGAUUUAUUGAUUUCGGAAUUUGAGUCUUUGUAUUUCUAUUCUUUCAUAAAUACUAAGGACACGAGCUUCAGUUAUUGAUGAUGCUUCCCCCAGUAUCGGUAUUGCUAGAGGUAUGGGUAGAGGUUGAGGUAAAGGCGAAGCACGUGCUACAGCUAGAGGUCGUGCUAAGGCCGUGAUUGAGAAGCCACUAGUGGCUUCGGUUGGGGAGUACUCGAGGCGCCUGUUGCUACUCCUAAACUUCAGGAGACUUUAGUGCAUUUACUGAGCAUGUUCGGUACCUUGGCUCAGGAGGGAUUGAUCCCAGUUGCACUAGCUACUUCUCAGGCUGGGGGAGGAGAUCACACUCUGACAACCUGUGUUGCAUAGCAACGGCCCCAUGUUGAUCAGUAAUCACGUCCAACUAUGCCUCCUAAUAGGUCUAGCGGUCAUUGCAAAUAUAAUAUGGUUUACAAGUACGGAGUCGAAUCCCACAGGGAAUUAACCUACUAAUCACAACCACUAGUUUCGCAAGAAUCCAAGUAAUCAAACUUUAGAAAUAAUGAAUAACAAUUUGAGUGUUUACUAACUAAGAGCAUAUUAAUUAAAAUGGAUUAAUUUAAACUAACAGAGCAAAUGUUGUAGACAAGAUUUGAAAAAGUCUAGGGUUAUGAUUUCCCCAAAUUUCAAAAUCUCUUCCGUUAUAUUUCAAAUAAAUUCGCUUAAGUAUUCUCUACCGUUCGUGAGUACUUUGGGUGUCAUUGUUCUUUGUCGAGAAACUACCACAAUUUACUAUAUGUAUUCUGUUGAACUAUGCAAGCUAGCACUCAUUCACCGCUCACUACAAUCUCACCAAGGUUUUGUUAUUUCUUAUCCCGCAUUAAAACCUCCAUAUUUAUUUCUCAAAUACGUUAGGAGUGAUCUUGUAUAACGACUACCUAAAUUCGUACUCUCUCUUAAGUAGUACACACUAAAUAGGCACAAUAAAUUGAGAGCUCUUCAAUCAACAACAACGAAAAUAUAUUUGGACGAGUUGAGAAAGAUCAACUACAAAUUUAUAUUGAACGCAAUGGAAAAUCAUCCUUCAAUAGGUUCCAUCAAACCCUAGAUGAGAGAGUUUAGAUACUCAUAAAUGCAUAAACAAUCAUCAUGAUAUUCAAAGACGUUAAACUACAAAGUAAAGAGAAAUGGAGGAAAAACUCGUUUGAUUCCUUGCUCCAUAUGCUCUGUAGCCUUUUUAUUCGCCAAAAUAAUGUCCAUGCCUUUGUCAACUCGUUUAGGGAGUGUUUAUAUGUUAGGAUCGAGGUCCUUGAUUCCAAAUCCAGGUUGGAGUCCUUUAGUUUGAGAACUUUUGACCAUCCAGCUACAGAUCUCACGAGGCCAGGCUUAUAGCGCGCCAACCCGGCUACAUAGUUGGAUACGCCUGGUCUAUAGCGCGGUCAAGAUGGCUACGCUUGGCUUGUAGCGUGAUCAAGCUGGCUACACUUGGCCUGUAGUGCAAUCAAACUAGCUAUGCUUGUCCUGCAGCCAAUCUUCGAUACUUUCUAUUUUUGUGCUCUUUUGUUGCAUUUUCGCCCCCUUUUCGUGCAACUUUUAUUCGACUCUUUCUUCCGAUUCUCUUAGACAUAAAACAACAUAAUUUAGCUCAAAUGUCACACGAUUAACUACUAAAACCAAAAUAUAGCGUGAUUAAUGUACUAUAAGUAUAGCCUUUUGGCCAAACAUCACCACCCCACACUUAGAGGUUGCUCGUCUUCGAGUCAACUACUAAUUCACACUAAUCUAGAGCACUUUAUUUUCUUUUAACACAUCCGAAGCACAUCAUACCUGUGAUUAUGGUUGAUAGCGACAAUUAAAUUUCAGCAUAUGCCUUCAACACACACUUUCCUUUACUUUAUGCCAUACUUCAAAAAUUUAUUCAAUACCAAGACAACAUGCUUAUAAUAAUCCUAGUCUUACAAACUGAUUCAAUAUCACAAUGCAUUCAUGGGUUGAAUGCUUAACAUCAUAGAGAAAUCUAAUAAUGGAACUUGUCCCUUGCGAAAUCAUAUGCCCUCACAACAAGAACAAAAGAGUAAGUUGAAUCCACAUAUUCGAAUCAAAUGCUCAGAUAUAUUUUAAAGACUCAUAUAUAUCAAAGAAAUUCCUCACUUUUACAAAGACAGCACAUGCAUGCACAAAGUACCAUAGGUUUGACCUUUAUGUAACCCUCCACUAAUAUUGGCUCGCUCGAUUAGGACUUUUUAUGGUUGAAAUGCUGGCUACGGGACGGGUAGGAUAUAUUUUUGAAAUAGUGACUAAUCCUCCUAAGCACUUUAACAUAUCACUUAUUUUUUAAUUGCAAUUCUUGAAUCCCAACUUCGAUUUCACAAACAAUAUCAUCCUAAGAGCUUCCCCUUUUUUCGUUAAGCCCAGUUUACUUCACACCUUCUAGCAGGGACAAUAUAUCAAUUUAUUCGUCUACAUUUUUUUUUCUUCUCAACUAUGUAUUUUAUUUCUUUUGCAAAUUUUCUUUCUUUACCUGCUAGUAGUGUAUUCUUUUACAAAACACAUGCACAAUUUAUUUUUUAUUGGUUCAACUCAAAAGUCACUCAAGUUCCCUCCUUACUUUUUCUAGCGCUUAUUUUUUUACAAUUAAAGUGCUUUAAGAGCCAAAUGAAUUAAACUAAUGAUAAUUAAGAACAAAUGGGUAUAGGCUUGUAAUAUGAUUGCCAAAAUAAAGUAUAUAGGUUCAAAAUGGUUGACAAUGGAUAAUUUUAUUUGUGGUAAGCAAUAAGCUCAAAAAGAUCAAAGAAAAUCUAAAAUUACUUUCAAACCGAGCAUUACCUAAAAUUUCACUUCAACCCACAUGUCGAGCAAGUUUUUGAUUCAAAUGCAAUAACAUGGACUACACCAUUUCUCACCACACAUAGCACAUGACUCACUAAGGAUGGUUCUAUUUCGACACUCAAACAAUUAUAAGUAUUUCCGGAGCCACAAAUAAGCAUUAAGCACAAAGUGACACGGGCUAAGAAAAUGAGAGAUAGGACUCAAUAAACAUGUUAUCUACUCAACAAAGCUUCAUAAGCAUUUUCAAACCACAGGGAAGGUAAUAAACAUCGUAGAGCCUAAAUAUGCUACUAUUAAACAAGUCAAAAUACGCUUAUCAAUCUCAAAUUUCUCAUCCUUUUUAUUCCCUAAAUUCUAAUCUACUCUAAAGAUUAAAAAUUACUAGUAUUAUGAUCAUUCUCCUAAUUAUGGACCGCGAAAAUGACAUCAAAAUUCGCCAAAAAGACCAUAAAACCUUAAUGAACACAUAAUAUUUGAUAAAAUGCUCAAGUGAGCUAGAAUUAUGAUCAUUCUCCUAAUUAUGGGUUCAAUUGUGCGACAUUGCUAAAAUAGAUUGAAGUUGCGAAUAUUCUGAAAUAUUGUAGGAAUUAAGGAAAGCUCAAUUGAGGUACGUAUGGAUAAACCCCCUUAUUUUUAGAAUCGAACCCCUAAUGUUCGAGUAUCUGGUGUAAGAUCCUAACUUGAUCAUACUAGAAUUGGCUGCCUUAAUGUGUUGUGUUAUGUUGAAAGAUUCAUGUUCAAUAUAUGUUCUAAAUGCUUAUCAUGUAGCCAUGCUAUUUGAUAAUGCAUUUGAAAUGAGAAAUUGUGCCGAUAAAGGCUACGAAUUCAUGUCAAGAUUCGACUAAAGCUUGCUAAGCUAAUUUGUAUGAAAAACAUCCAUGUGAUUAAAAUUUUCCAAGAUUAUUACUUAUGUGUGCAAUGCCUUAUAUGAUAGGCCUUAUUAAUGUGGAUGAUAAGUUUAUUGGAAUGUAUAAAAAGGCAAAUUUGAAUUGUAAGAUACGGCCAAGUUCCAAGAACAGCUUAAUAAAUGAGGCUACUCGUGCCAUGUAAUGAAAUAUGGGAAGGAAAUGUGAUUGAGAUGAAUGAUUGAAAUGAUGAUAUCUCAAGUGAGAUGGCCUGGUCGAUCAGGUCGUGAUCGGACACCAUGCCACAUAUAUGGUGGUGAUUGUGCUGGAUUGAUUGAUUGAAAUUGUGGAUAUGGUUGAUGUCUCAAAUGGGAUGACCUAGCCAAUUGGGUUGAGAUUGGACUCCGUAUAGGAAUACGUUGGUAUUGUGGAUUGUGGCACAUGGAACCAAGAUUAUCAACCUAAUAAGAUGGAAAUUAAACUGAAACUAUGUGAUCCUUAAUUGAUGUUUUCGUAUUUGUUUGAAGCUCUUAUUGUACAUCAUGACUACUUUCCAUUUGUUUCAUUAUUCAUUCUAUUAAGAUUGGUGUUUAGUUUUACAUGCUAGUACUAUUCGACAAGUACUAACCUCCCUUUUGCUAGGGCCGCUACAUCUUUAAAUGGACGUGGAUGGUUCCAUAGAAGAUAGUGUUGACCACAACAAGUGGUGUACCCUCUUUCCAGCUGACUUGGUGAGCCCCACAUUAUUUCGGGGUCUUUUAGUUUGUAUCUUAUGUUCACCUUCUUAUUAUAUUUUAUGAUAUAACCGGGUCUUGUUACUAGCACUUUCUUUUGUAUCAACUUAGAGGCUCCAUAGACAUUAUGUAGAUUGUAUAUGGGUGUUAGGAAGGUUAAUGAAUUAUGUUUUGUUUUGGAUUCUUGUUCCACUAAAUCGUAUGGUGUAUGUAUUUUGAAACUUAACAAUGAUAACUAAUGAAUUGGCUUAGUAUUAUUCGUGUAUGAUCUCCUAGUGCCUGAUUAAUGAAAUCAUGUUAUCUGUUGAUCGAAAGUGAGUUGAGUAGAAGGUGUCUAUCAGUCUUUCUCGGCCAUAUUCACUCGGUUGAGCAUUGGUCGUGCUCCCCAAUCUUAGGGUGUGACACGUAUGUGCCAUGAAAAAAAUAAAUUCAAGAUAACAAUUUAUCAUUAAGAGACAUAUUUUCAAAACUCAUCAAUAAGGUGCUUAAGGACAUGAAAAUAAAAAAGUAUGAAUAUGUGCUUAAAAUAUAUGAUAUUACUACAACUUAAUCAAUUUAGCAAUGAUUCCACAAAUACCCAUCUUGGCUAAUUAUGAGAUAAUAAUCCUAAAAGAUGAUCUCAAGCAUGAAAGGAUAAGCUCAUGUAAUUAUACAAAGGAUUAUACACGUAUCAAGAGAGCACAUAAUGAAUUAAGGCAUAGUAGAAGCCUAGAGUUUAGUCUGGUCAUUCUUCACACAUAGUACCCGCAUAUACACUCAUCACCUUGCAUAUAUUCAUUUUACAUAGAUUACAAUUAGACAAAUAAGGUCCACUUGUAAGGCCCCAUGAAAAUCUAUGCUCAAAGCCUAGCACUUCGUGGUGUCGAGUUUUGUAUAUGUGUUGAGGAUGUGCUCGCCGCGGUUCAGACUCUUUUUACUGAUUUUGCACCUAAAAAUCAAGAAUCAAAAUUUUCCAAAAAAUUGGCAUUUGCGGUCCAGAAUGUGGUCGCAGACCAGGUAUGCGGACCGCAUUUCUGCUGCGGAGUUAAUCAGAGAGUUGGUUGAAAUUGAUGUUAGAAGUGCAGUCCAUUAUGCGAUCACAUAAUCAAUAUGCAGACCACAUAGUCGUCGCAUAAUUCCCUCAAGGAUUUGGGAUGGUCAGUUAUGCGGUGCAUUAUGCGACCGCAUAACAGAAAUGCAGGCCGCAUUCCCAUCGCAUGCCCAGCAGAUGUUCAGUGAUUGGGACACUUCUGCGGUCCAAUCUGCGGAUCACAUCUCAACUCUGCGAUCGCAUAGUGCGACAGCAGAUCCUGCUCGGGCUUCUAAUUUUCAAAAAUUUUAAACCCGAACCUUUUUAAUAACACCCCAAUCACUCAUUUUUAAUGAUCUUCUGAGCUAAAAUAGAGAGAGGGAAGAGAGGGUUCUUGAGAUAGAAUGGAAGCCUCAUAAAUUCGAUUCUUCAAAACUACCCGGGGCGGGAAAAUUCUAAUUAUUGUCUUCAUCCCCAUUCUUGCAGGUAAAAUCCCUAGCCCUUUUUCCUUGAUUUUUCGAUUUAAUAUAAGGGAGGGAGUCUCAUGCAUUGAUUCUUGAAAACAAUGGUUGAAACCACACAUGCAUGCCUUGUUAAACUUAAAACCUAGAAAAAGGGAAAUUGGGUAGCAGUAGAGAUUUACAAACGGAGAGUUGAUAACCUAAAUAAGUUUAAAUAGAAACUGUGAACCCCACUUCAAACCUAGCAAAGGGAAAUUGGGUAGCAUUAGAGAUUUGCAAUAGAAAGGUUGAUAACCUAAGUAAGUUUGAGUAGAAAUUGUGAACCCAAAUUCUAAGUCAUAUAUCUUAACUUGUGCACUGGAUUGAUGUUGCUAUAUUAUUUGGUGAAUCGAAACUAGAAGUUAAAAAGGGAAUUCGGCUCCAGGCAUGUAUGGCUAACCUUGAUCCUUGUAGAAUCACCUUGUUUGGUGUACGAAUGUUUGGUAUGUGAUAUCUACGUGACUUAUUCAUGAAAAUUAUUAUGAUUGGUUUGAUUGAGUGUUGUGGUUAAGUCUCCUGAUAUAAUGGUGCAAGUAACUGGUAGUAAACUAAAUGCGUGAUUGUGAAAGUGUUAUAUGGUAAGAGUUGAGAAACAAAUGAUGGAAGAAAAUCGUGAAUGAUGCAACUGGAAUAAAUGUGAUAACCACACCCAUGGCUUUUUGUAGGCAAUUGUCAUUGUAAUGUAAAACACAUGUGAGUUGUUGGAUAUGAAGGAAAAUAGUAUUGAUAGUUAUGGAAAUGGUUGUAAAUUAUUGUUGUUAUUUGUUAAGAAGUAUUGUUAUUGAUCCUUGUGAAUUGUUGAUUGUUGUUGUGCUCUUUGUGAAUUGUGACAACACGCUGGAAUCGGGUUGCGUGCCGCAACACGAAGUUAUAAGGUGUGGGUUGUGGUGAUAAUGGUGGUUGAGGUAAUAAAGUGGACGAGGUAAUAAGGGUGGAAAGUGAUCGAAAUCACUAUUGAAAUAAACAUUUGAGUAAAUUGUGAAAUCAUUGAUGUGGAAUUGUGGAAGGGGGAAACAGGAGAGAUUAAAAACUUGUUUGACUUGAUUGUCCAUUUUCUUGUGCAUUUUAUUGUUGUUUCUAUUAUUGUUACCUACUUGUGUAUGGCUUGAGUUUACUUGGAGCAAAUUUGUUCAUACAUACCAGUACAAUUCAAGUGUACUGACGUCCCUUUUUGCUGGGGGUGCUACAUUCGUGUUAUGAUGGUAGGUGGAUCCAUAGCAAGUACUCUAGUCCACCGAUCGUAGCUCCUCAUCACUCCCGUCAGCUGAAUUGGUGAGCCCCUUUCCUUUCGGUGCCCUGUGUGGUUCAUGGUGCUUUGGUUUUGGGAUCUCAUUUUGAUAAUUGUAUAAGGUAUAGCCGGAGCCUUGUUGCCGGCAAGUACUACAUCAUUUCUUUUUUAUGUUUAGAGGCUCCGUAGACAGGAAAUGUGGGUCAUGAACUUAUGUAAUGUGUACGCUCAUGCCGCUUCGAUUUUGGGAUCUCAUUUUGAUAAUUAUAUAAGGUAUAGCCAGAGCCUUGUUACCGGCAAGUACUACAUCAUUCCUUUUUUAUGUUUAGACUGGAAAUAUGGGUCAUGAACUUAUGUAAUUUGUAUUUUGCAAGUUGGGCUAUGUAAAAUAUAACCACGUUAAGGACCAUGUACCAUGCGUAUGUUUUGUAAUAAAAGUUGUUUUAAUUGUAAAUGGUUAUUUAAUUUGGCUAAUAAGAAAUGGAAAUGCGAGGUAACACGUGGGGUAGGAAAGGCACCCAGGUCCGCUUAACUGGGAAUGUCCGGUCGAGCACCGGUCAUGCCCCUCAAGUUUGGGCGUGACAAACUUGGUAUCAGAGCCUCAGGUUUUAAAAGAGUCUUAGGAUGUCUCGGAGCCGUGCCUAGUAGAGCACUUCUUAUCGGUGUGUUGUCGGCCAUAUCUAUCAGUAGGGGGCUACACUGGCAUUUAGGAAACUAUCCUCUUCUUUGUUAUUCCAUAUUGUGCGGUGAAGUGGAAAGUGGAAGUACUUAUGUCUAACUCGUGCUUUGUUCCGAAAUUUUCACAAAUGGCACCUAAGAAGAAAGCUAGACUCGGCCAUGGGACCGACGCCACCCCAAGUGUGGCCAUUAAUCAUGUACCUGAUGCCAUGGGUGAGAGUGAAUCCCCAGCCUUGAAUCUUCCUGGCCCAUCUAUUCUAGACCCAAGCAUUCCUGUUCCAGCUGCGGUACAGGGUGCCACCAUCCCUCCCGCCAAUAUUUCAAAUCCUAAUCCUGAUCCUGUUCCAGCUUCUGAUCCUAGGGUUUCUGAAGGGGACCUUAGGGGAACCAUCCGUAUAUUGACCCAGUUAGUGGCUGCCCGGGCCCAGAGAUCUCAUGAUGCCCCUGUGUCCUCCAGCGGAUAGGGAGAUUCUGCUAUCUCCAGAGUCUAGCAAUUUCUAUGAUUAGCCCCUCCAGAGUUCUCAAGCACAGACCCAGAGGUCGAUCCGCAGGAUUUCCUUGAUGAGAUGCAUAAGACCCUCGGAGUGAUGAAGGCUACAGAGACAGACGGGGUUAAGUUGGCUUCACACAGGUUGAGAGGAGCACCGCGUUCGUGGUUUCAGAUAUGGGAGGAUUCCCGUGAUGAGGGAAGACCUCCAGCUAGAUGGGAUGAGUUUGUAGAUGCCUUUAUGGACCACUUCUUGCCAUCCGAGACAAUGGCAGCUCGUGCCACUGAGUUUGAGGUUCGAAAGAAGGGCAGUAUAAGUGUUUGGGAGUACCACAUGGAUGUGAGGUUGUCCAAGUAUGUUCCUCAGUUAGUGUCGACAAUGGAUGCUCGAGUUUGGCAUUUCAUUCAGGGUCUUAGUCCUUUGGUGGUGAAUGAGGCUACUAUUGUGGCCUUGCACUUAGAUAUGAAUUAUGGAAAGAUUGUAGGAUUCGCUCUGGCCACAAAGGCUAGGAAUUUGAAGAUACAGGCAGAAAGGGAGAGUAGCAGCAGAGCCCGGUCAAUGGGUCACUUAGGAAGACCAGUUCCGGGGAGAGGGUUGUCAGGGCCAUCCCAGUCAUAUGUUCAGUCCUCAGGGAGUGCACCGCCAUCUGUGCACAGUUACCAGCAGAGCAAUCACUCGAGACCAGGUUUAGACAAUAGGAGGUUCCGUCAGUCCGGUCGUCCAGGAGUGAGGUCCCAGCAGCAGGGGAGAGCUACAUGCCCCAAGUGUGGGAGGUUCCAUAUAGAGACUUGCUAUUUGGAUGUCCCGGUAUGGUAUAGGUGCAGGUUGAGAGGUCACAUCCAGCGGGGCUGCCGUGUGCCCUGUUAGGGAAUGAGUAGUGGAUUUGCCUAGUCAUCUAGAUCUUCAAAUGCUACAUCAUCCGUGCGCCCUCCAUCUCCAGCAGGGCAUGGUGCAGUUAGGGGCGGAGCUCGUGUUAGGGGUGGACCCAUCCGGGAUAUCCCCAUAUGUUAUAGGUGCGGGUUGAGAGGUCACAUCCAGCGAGACUGCCAUACGCCUAGUCAAGGUAUGGGUAGCGGAUCUGCCCGGUCAUCUGGGUCUUCAGUCGCUACAUUAUCCGUGUGUCCUCCAGCUCCAACAGGGUGUGGUGCAGUUAGGGGUGGAGCUCGUGGUAGGGGUGGACCCAGCCGAUUCUAUGCUUUGAGUGGUCACCAAAGUGCCGAGGCUUCUCCAGAUGUUGUUACAAGUAUCGUGUAUGUUCAGGCCAUUGAUUUCUAUGCUCUUAUUGAUCUGGGGUCCUGUUUGUCUUAUGUCACCUCAUUCAAUGCUUCAAGUAUUGGGAUAGAACCCGAACAGCUUCAUAAGUCGUUCUCUAUAUCGACUCCGGUUGGUGAUUCUAUUACAACCUCGCAAGUAUAUACAAAAUGUGUUGUCACGGUGUGUGGUCGUGUUACCACGGCCGAUCUUAUUGAGCUGGGAAUGAUAAAUUUUUAUGUAAUCAUAGGAAUGGAUCGGCUUUAUUCGUGUUUUGCUAAACUUGACUACCGAGAGUUAUGAGUCUUGAGUUCCCUAACGAGCCAAUUAUUGAGUGGAAAGGAAAUGGUGUGGUGACAAAGUGUAGGAUUAUUUCUUACCUUAAGGCUUCGAAGAUAAUUAAGAAGGGGUGUAUCUAUCAUUUGCCCCGGGUGGCAAACACCACACUAGAAGUGUCUGUCCCCGAGUUCGUGCCAGUGUUGAAUGAGUUUCUUGAAGUGUUUCCAGAUGAGUUUCCAGGAAUUCGUCGGGAUUGAUGUAUUGCGAGAUACUCAGCCAAUAUCUAUUCCACCAUACAGAAUGGCGCCAGCAGAGUUAAGAGAGUUAAAGGAGCAGCUGAAGGAUUUAUAAGAGAAGGGGUUCAUACGACCGAGUGUGUCGUUGUGGGGUGCUCCGGUUCUUUUUGUUAGAAAGAAGGAUGGGUCGCUUCGGAUGUGCAUUUGAUUAUCAACAGCUUAACAAAGUCACCAUCAAGAAUAAAUAUCCUUUGCCUCGGAUAGAUGAUUCGUUCAACCAAUUGCAAGGUGCAAAGUUCUUCUCCAAAAUUGAUGUGUGAUCUGGGUAUCACCAAUUGAAGAUCAUAGAGGAGGAUAUUCCUAAAACCGCCUUCAGAACUCGCUAUGGUCACUUCGAAUUCUUGGUCAUAUCUUUUGGGCUAACCAAUGCCCCGACAGCUUUCAUGGACCUUAUGAAUCGAGUUUUCAAGCCAUUUCUAGAAUCCUUCGUGAUUAUUUUCAUUGACGACAUCCUCGUUUAUUCGCGGAGCAGGGAGGAUCAUGCUGAUCACCUUAUAUUAGUUUUGUAGACUCUUCAUCAGUAGAACUUGUACGCUAAAUUCUCAAAAUGUGAAUUUUGGUUGGAGUCCGUCACUUUUCUGGGUCAUGUUAUUUCCAGUAAGGGAUUUAGGCAGAUCCCCAGAAGGUUGCAGCGGUGAAAGAUUGGCAUAGACCCACGACCCCGAUGGAGGUUCGUAGCUUCUUGGGUUUAGUCGAGUACUAUCGGAGGUUUGUGGAGGUAUUCUCCACCCUCGCCUCCCCAUUUACUAAGUUGACGCAGAAAGCAAUUAAGUUCUAAUGGUCCGGCGCUUGUGAGAAACAUUUUCAGGAAUUGGGGUCAAGGUUGACCCCGACACCGAUAUUGGCUUUGCCGGAAGGCACUGAAGAAUUUGUGGUUUAUUACGAUGCUUCUAAGGUCGGCUUAGGGUGUGUAUUGAUGCAGCAUGGGAAGGCUAUAGCAUAUGCUUUAAGGCAACUCAAGAAUCACGAGAAGAAUUACCCGACACAUGAUUUGGUGGUUGUAGCAGUUGUGUUUGCCUUGAAAAUAUGGCGGCAGUAUCUUUAAGGGGUCUGUGUGGAUAUGUUCUUGGACCACAAAAGUCUCCAAUAUUUGUUCAAGCAAAACGAUUUAAAUUUGAAGCAACGGCGGUGGUUAGAAUUUCUUAAAGAUUAUGAUAUGAACAUUUUGUACCAUUCGGGUAAGGCAAAUAUGGUGGCCGACGCUCUCAGUCGAAAAUCCCUAGGUAGUUUGGCUUACUUGGGAGCGGAUCAGAGGCUCCUAGCUCGGGAGGUUUAUCGGUUGGCCAAUCUUAGGGAUUUCAUCUCGACCCCAAAUGAGGAAGAAAUUAUGGUGCGUAAUAGAGCAGAAUUGUCGCUUAUGGAGGAAGUCAAGGAAAAUCAGUUCAUUGAUCCAGCAUUGGCACAAAUGAAGGAGGUUGUUCUGAGCAACAAAACUUUGACAUUUUCACUCGACAAUAAUGAUGGUGUGUUACGAUGUCAAGGUAGGAUAUGUAUUCGAGACGUGGAUAACCUUCGGCAGAGAGUAAUGGCGGAGGCUCAUCAUUCUAGGUAUUCGGUGCACCCAUGUUCUAUUAAAAUGUAUCAUGGUCUCAAGAAAAUUUUAUUGGUGGAGCGGUAUGAAGAGGGGUGUGGCGGACUUGGUAUCUAAAUGUCCAAAUUGUCAGCAAGUAAAAGCUAAGCAUCAGCGGCCCGGUGGGUUAACCCAACUUAUGGAAAUACCAAUAUGGAAAUGGGAGAUGGUUAACAUGGAUUUCGUGGAAGUAUUACCUUGCACUCAGUGGGAGUUCGACUCGAUUUGGGUGAUAGUGGAUCGACUGACCAAGUCAGCUCACUUCUUGCCAGCCAAGUCCACCGAUACUACAGAAUAGUAUGCUCAGUUAUAUAUCAAGGAUGUAGUGAGGCUCCAUGGUACUCCGCACUCUAUUAUUUCGGAUAGAGGGGCUCAGUUCACAGCUAAUUUUUGGAAGAAAUUUCAGCAAGGUUUGGGUGCCCAGGUGAAUCUCAGCAUGGCUUUCCAUCUGAAGACCGAUGGUCAAGCAUAGCGGACUAUUCAGACACUUGAAGAUAUGUUCCGGGUUGUGUAUUGGAUUACAAAGGUAAUUGGGAUGAUCAUUUGCCCCUUAUAGAAUUUGCUUACAAUAACAGCUUUCAUGAUAGCACCCAGAUGGCCCCAUUUGAGGCAUUGUACGGAAGGAGAUGUAGGUCUCUGAUCGGAUGGUUUGAAGUAGGUGAGGCAGAAUUGAUAGGGCCGGAUCUCAUGCACCGGGCUAUGGAAAAAGUUAAAAUCAUUCAGGAAAGGAUGAAGACUGCUCAGAGUCGCUAGAAAUCCUAUGCGGACGUACGUCGAAGAGAGUUGGAGUUCCAAGUAGAUGAUUGGGUAUUCUUGAGAGUAUCUCCAAUGAAGGGAGACAUGCGAUUUGGGAAGAAAGGAAAGCUGAGUCCUAGAUAUGUCGGGCCUUUAUCGAAUUGUUCAAAUCAUUGGGCAAGUUGCUUAUAAGCUGGAGGUUCCCCCUGAAUUAUCCUUAGUGCGCCCGGUGUUCCAUGUGUCCAUGUUAAGGAAAGUGGUUGGAGAUCCAUCCACCAUCGCUACGGUAGAAGACGUCAAGGUUACUGAAGAGUUAUCGUAUGAAGAAUUCCAAUUUCUAUUCAUGAUAGACAAAUUCGUAAAUUGAAAAAUAAAAAGGAAAUUGCUUCAGUUUAAGUGUUGUGGCGAAAUCAACAAGUCGAGGAAGCAGCUAGGGAAGCGGAAGAUGAGAUGAAAGAAAAAUAUCCCCAUUUGUUCGAACAAGUCCAGUAGUAUCGUGUGAAUUCUGAUCCUAGCAACUAUCAUUGUGUCCUAUUUGGUGCAAAGACACCUCAUUCCUCCCCAAAAUGCUUUGCUAUUGUAAUUUUUCAGGUUGUGCCAAAAUUGUAUGUGUUGUGAUCAUUUGAUCCAUAUGCAAACCCUUCUUGAUAAAUGAACGUUUUUGUCUCUUGCAAUAAGUAACUGGCUUAUGAUAGUACAGAUUGGUAAUGAUUAAUUUGCAUGUAUAUAGAGAAUCAUGGUGGUUAAACUAUGCGGACUCAUUAGAGUAAUCAAACUAUGUGAAAAAAUGUGUUAAGCAAUUGAAUAUGUACAUGUGUAAGGGUGAUGAGUUGUAUGUUAGUAUAGGGGCAACAAAAUUUGUGUAAUGGUACUUGGAAAUGUGUUUCGGGGGAUCUCUGACAGGUAGAUAUGUCUAAAUUACAAAGGAGACUCUGGCAAAAAUUUUCUAAUAUAGGGGAGUUAGUUGAAAGUUUGGGAAUUUGCAUAUCACGUUUUUCAAACUAACUGAUUUUCACAAAUCCUCAUUCGAGUAAGGCCCCGUGUAAAUCUAUGCUCAAAGACUAGAACUUCGUGGUGUCAAGUUUUGUAUAUGUGUUGGGGAUGUGCUCGACGCGGUUCGGACCCUUUUUACUGAUUUUACAUCUACACAUAAAGAAUUAAAAUUUUCCAGAAAAUUGCCAUUUUGCGGUCCAGAAUCGGUCGCAGAUUAGGUAUGUGGACCGCAUUUAUGCCGCAGAGUUAAUCAAAGAGUUGGUCAAAAUGGAUGUUAGAAGUGCGGUCCAUUAUGUGAUCGCAUAAUCAAUAUGCGGACCGCAUAGUCGUCGCAUAAUUCCCUCAAGGAUUUGUGAAGGUCAGUUCUGCGAUGCAUUAUGCGAACGUAGAACAGGAAUGCGGAUAGCAUUCUCGUCACAUACCCAGGUAGAGAUUUUCAACGAUUGGGACACAUCUGCGGUCCAAUCGUCUGACCGCAGUUCAACUCUGCGAUGUGCAUUAUGCGACCGCAGAAAAGGAAUGCGGACCGCAUUCCCAUCGCAUACCUAGGAAGAGAUGUUCAGUAAGUGGUACACCUCUGCGGUCCAAUCUGCGGACCGCAUUUCAACUCUAUGAUCACAUAGUGCGACCGCAGAUCCUGAUCGCGCUUCUAAUUUUCUAAAAUUUUAAACCCGGCCUCUUUAUAACAAAAAACCCCCAACCCCUCAUUUUUAAAGAUGUUCUAAGCAAAGUAGAGAGAGGGAAGAGAGUAUUCUUGAGAGAGAAGAGAAGCCUCGUCAAUUCGAUUCUUCAAAACCACCUGGGGCGGAAAAAUUCUAAUUGAUUGUCUUCAUCCCCAUUCUUAUAGGUAAAAUCCCUAGACCUUUUUCCUUUAUUUUUCGAUUUAAGCAAAGGGGGGAGUCUCAUGAAUUUAUUCUUGAAAGCAAUGGUUAAAAUCUCACAUGAAUGUCUUCUUAAACUUAAAACCUAGCAAAGGGAAAUUGGGUAGCUGUAGAGAUUUGCAACAGAAGAGUUGAUAACCAAAGUAAGUUUGAUUAGAAAUUGUGAACCCUAAUUCUAAGUCAUAUGUCUUAACUUGUGCACUAGAUUGACGUUUCUAGAUUAUUUGGUGAAUCGAAACUAGAAGUUAAAAAGGGAAUUCGGCUCCAGGUAUGUAUGGCGAACCUUGAUCCUUGUAGAAUCGCCUUGUUUGGUUUACGAAUGUUUGGUAUAUGAUAUCUACGUGGCUUAUUCAUGAAAAUUAUUGUGAUUGGUUUGAUUGAGUGUUAUGGUUAAGUCUCCCGAUAUAAUGGUGCAAAUAACUAGCAAUAAACUAAAUGUGUGAUUGUGAAAGUGUUAUGUGUUAAGAGUUGAAAAACAAAUGAUGAAAGAAAAUCGUGAAUAAUGCAACUGGAAUAAAUGUGAUAACCACAUCCAUGGCUUAUCGUAGGCAAUUGUCGUUGUAAGGUAAGACACAUGUGAGUUGUUGGAUAUGAGUUAUAGAAAUACUUGUAAAUUGUUGUUGUUAUUUCUGAAGAAGUGUUGUUGUUGAUCCUUAUGAAUUGUUGAUUGUUGUUCUGCUGUUUGUGAAUUGUGACAAUACGGUGGGAUCAGGUUGUGUGCCGUAACACAAAGUUAUAAGGUGUGGGUUUUGGUGAUCAGAGUGGCCGAGGUAAUAAGGGUGGACAUGGUAAUAAGCGUGGAAAGUGAUCGAAAUCACUAUUAAAAUAAAUAUUUGAGCAAAUUGUGAAAUCAUUGAUGUGGAAUUUUGGAAGGGGGAAACAGUAGAGAUUGAAAACUUAUUUGACUUGAUUGUCCCUUUUCUUGUGCAUUUUCUUGUUGUUUCUAUUAUUGUUACCUACUUGUGUAUGGAUUGAGUUUACUUGGAGCAAGUUUGUUCAUACAUACUAGUACAAUUCAAGUGUACUAACAUCCAUUUUUGCCCGGGGCGAUACAUUCGUGGUAUGAUUGAAGGUGGAUACAUAGCAGGUACUCUAGUCCACUGAUCGUAGCUCCUCAUCUCUCCCGUCAGCUGAAUUGGUGAGCCCCUUUCCUUUCGGGGCCCUGUGUGGUUCAUGCUGCUUUGGUUUUGGGAUCUCAUUUUGAUAAUUGUAUAAGGUAUAGCCGGAGCCUUGUUACCGACAAGUACUACAUCAUUUCUUUUUUAUGUUUAGAGGCUCCGUAGACAGAAAAUGUGGGUCAUGAACUUAUGUAAUAUGUAUCUUGCACGUUGGGCUAUGUAAAAUGUAAACCGUGUUAAGGACCAUGUACCAUGUGUAUGUUUUGUUAUAAAAAGGUAUUUUUAUUGUAAAUGGUUAUUUAAUUUGGCUAAUAAGAAAUGAAAAUGUGGGGUAACACACGGGGCAGGAAAGGCACCCAGGUUCGCUUGAUUGGGGCUAUCCGGUUGAGCGCCGUUCAUGUCCCUCAAGUUUGGGGCGUUACACCAAUCCUAAGGUUUAUCAUCACACACAAGAUUAGGUAAGACACUUACCUAAAAUGGGCCAAAUCAACCCUGUAAAAUUGCCUUUACAUUAGAAACUUGUCAUGACCCAAAUUCCCAAAAAAGCUACGAUGACAUCUAACAUUGCUUGCUAGGAAAGCCAAUAAUUUCACAAUAGCAAUAAACUCAAAAAUUAGAACUUAAUAAUAUCCACAGCAGCAUAAUCAUAAACUAUCUGUAAAUAGCAACCAUAACACAACUACAACCAUUCCAUGAUUUGGUGUCAACGAGUGCAUGAGCACUACACAAUCUACAAAAUACAAAGUCAAAUUCUCGAUAUAGAACUUUUUGAAUGAUAGAACAAUGAUAACAGAAAUAAACAAAAGAUGACUUCAAGGUCUGCGAACGAUAUAGAACAAUCUCGUAGUCUCCACAAGCUUGAUUCGAAGCGAACUAUAGAAAUCACCACAACCAACAGUACCUGGAUCUACACAUAAAGUGUACCAAUGUAGUAUGAGUAUAACCGACCCCAUGUACCCAAUAACUAACAAAUCUAACCUUAGACUGAAAGCAGUGACAAGCUUGAAAGAAGGUCAGUAUCCAACACCAAUAAUCAAUAAAAACACAUGAUAUAAUGAUGACAAUAUAAGUAAAAAACUCAAGAGAUAUCAUGUUCAACUCGUUCACAAACGUUCACAACUACGCAAAAUUAGACAUGUUUUCCAAGUAUAAAAGCCAAAGCCCAAUCUUAACACUAAAAUCACUAAAAACAUGAAUUUAUCUCGGAAACUGUGAUUUCUAACAUUCAAUAACAGGUAAGACAUUUCACUUACCAUCUAGCAUAAUAAAAAUACAUCUCGAUGUUGUCACAACCCGGAUUUUCCACCCACGGGAGUGGUAAUGGUGCCUACUAUUAGGAGCUAGGCAAGCCAAUUAUUUAUUACCUCUUUUAGCAAACAUCGAUAACAUUAAAAAAAUUAAAGCAUUUAAUGGUAAAGUGGAAGUCUUAGAUAAAAUUAACUGAGAGAAAAAUGGAAAUCCAAUACAAACUCUACCCAAGAACUGGAGUCACAAACUCACGAACAUCUAGAGAGUGCUAAAUACAAUGUCUGAAUAAAAACAUACUUUUGUUUAUUCUGGUACAAAGGAUAACAAACUAAAGUAAAGAUAGAAGAGACUCUGGGCCUACGGACAUCAGCAAGGCUACCUCGGUAUCUUUUGACUGAAGGUUAGCUCCCAACCUGCUAUGAUGUCCAAAAGCUGCUGCUUCGGCACUGUGGUCUGUGCAAAAAGAUACACAGAGUGUAGCAUCAGCACAACUGACCCCAUGUGCUGGUGAGUGCCUAACCUAACCUCGGCGAAGUAGUGACGAGGCUAUAUCAGACUACCAGAUAAACCUGUACAGUUAUGAACUAUAUUACAGAAAAUAAACAGGAAAUAAGCAGUUUAUAAAGGGAGGGGGAAAUAUGCUAUGGGGAGGCAACAAUUAUAAACAAGAAGAAUAAAUUUAAAAAUAGAACAACCAAUAGAAACUUAAAUCCGAAAUAAACACAAAUAUGUAGUUUAUAAAGGGAGGGGGAAAUAUGCUAUGGGGAGGCAACAAUUAUAAACAAGAAGAAUAAAUUUAAAAAUAGAACAACCAACAGAAACUUAAAUCCGAAAUAAACACACUUAAUCUAUAACUUGUUCUGGCGCGCAACCCGAUCCAAUCACAUAACAAUACUAUUGUGGCGUGUAACCUGAUCUACAAUUAUCAUUGUUGCGGGGUGCAACUCGAUCCAUAUAUAUAUAUAUAUAUAAAUCUUACCCAUAUAACAACCACAAAUAAGAGGUAAGGGAGUAACAACUAGUGAAAGAAAUCCCAGCAAGGGAAUAUAACAACACAACAAAAUCCCGACAAGGAAGAAAAAUCAACAAAACCAAUAAAAUGUCCCAGCAAGGGAAUAACCAUCAACUCGCCCUCUUUCUUACACUUCUAACUUUAUAAUUUACUUUGUCAUUAGAGCCAUGGCCCAAAGAGUCAUUUCAUAUCAUGCACCUUCUCAAUCCGUAACACAACUCGAGCCAAUGCUCCAUGGAGUUUAGUAAUCAUAGCCUCUUUCUCAUGCUCUUUACAGUAUAUACAAGUCAUCAAAUAAACAUUGAAGAAUCAUAACAAAUUCAGGGUAAACACAAUAUAUGGACACACGGUCAUGCUAGAUACCAAUGUAUAGAUACUCGUCACCAUGCCUAUACACCGUACUCGACAAGUAACAAUUAGAAAUAAGACUCUACUCCUAUUUCCUCAAGCCAAAGUUAGACCAAAUACUUAUCUCAACUUCCACAGCUAAAUCAAUCCACAACGACCGUUUUCCCUCUCGAAUUCGGCUCCAACUCAAUCUAAUCUAUGAAAUAACGACUUUAUAACAUCAAUAAUAGCUAAACAAAUCAAUCCCAAUGCCUAAAUAUAGAUUCCUAACCUUUCUUCCAAAAAUCGACCUCGGACCCGCUUGGUCAAAACAUGAGGUUCAAACCAUUUUCAUAUCCCCCCAUUCCCCCACGAGCCCAAAUAUAUUAUUUUUUUCAAAUUCGACCCCAACACGAGGUCUUAUAAUGUGGAUUUAUUGAUUUCGGAAUUUGAGUCUUUGUAUUUCUACUCUUUCAUAAAUACUAAGGACACGAGCUUCAGUUACUGAUGAUGCUUCCCCCGGUAUCGCUAUUGCUAGAGGUAUGGGUAGAGGUUGAGGUAGAGGCGAAGCACGUGCUACAGGUAGAGGUCGUGCUAAGGCCGUGAUUGAGAAGCCACUAGUGGCUUCGGUUGGGGAGUAGGCACUCGAGGUGCCUGUUGCUACCCCUAAACUUCAGGAGACUUUAGUGCAUUUACUGAGCAUGUUCGGUUCCUUGGCUCAGGAGGGAUUGAUCCCAGUUGCACUAGCUACUUCUCAGGCUGGGGGAGGAGAUCAGACUCUGACCACCUGUGUUGCAUAGCAGCGGCCCCAUAUUGAUCAGUAAUCUCGUCCAACUAUGCCUCCUAAUAGGUCUAGCGGUCGUUGCAAAUAUAAUAUGGUUUACAAGUACGGAGUCGAAUCCCACAGGGAAUUAACCUACUAAUCGCAACCGCUAGUUUCGCAAGAAUUCAAGUAAUCAAACUUUAGAAAUAAUGAAUAACAAUUUGAGUGUUUACUAACUAAGAGCAUAUAAUUAAAAUGGAUUAAUUUAAACUAACAGAGCAAAUGUUGUAGACAAGAUUUGAAAAAGUCUAGGGUUAUGAUUUCCCCAAAUGUCAAAAUCUCUUCCGCUAUAUUUCCAAUAAAUUCGCCUAUGUAUUCUCUACCGAUCGUGAGUACUUUGGGUGUCAUUGUCUUUGUCGAGAAACUACCACAAUUUACUAGAUGUAUUCUGUUGAACUAUGCAAGCUAGCACUCAUUCACCGCUCAAUACAAUCUCACCAAGGUUUCGUUAUUUCUUAUCCCGCAUUUAAAACCUCCAUAUUUAUUUAUCAAAUACGUUAGGAGUGAUCUUGUAUAACGACUACCUAAAUUCGUACUCUCUCUUAAGUAGUACACACUAAAUAGGCACAAUAAAUUGAGAGCUCUUCAAUCAACAACAACGAAAAUAUAUUUGGACGAGUUGAGAAAGAUCAACUACAAAUUUAUAUUGAACGCAAUGGAAAAUCAUCCUUCAAUAGGUUCCAUCAAACCCUAGAUGAGAGAGUUUAGAUACUCAUAAAUGCAUAAACAAUCAUCAUGAUAUUCAAAGACGUUAAACUACAAAGUAAUGAGAAAUGGAGGAAAAACUCGUUUGAUUCCUUGCUCCAUAGUGCUCUGUAGCCUUUUUAUUCGCCAAAAUAAUGUCCAUGACUUUCUCAACUCGUUUAGGGAGUAUUUAUAUGUUAGGAUUGAGGUCCUUGAUUCCAAAUCCAGGUUGGAUUCUUUUAUUUUGAGAACUUUUGACCAUCCAUCUACAUAUCUCACGACGGCAGGCUUAUAGCGCGCCAACCUGGCUACAUAGUUGGAUACACCUGGUCUAUAGCGCGGUCAAGAUGGCUACGUUUGGCCUGUAGCGUGAUCAAGCUGGCUACACUUGGCCUGUAGUGCAAUCAAACUAGCUAUGCUUGUCUUGUAGCCAAUCUUGGAUACUUUCUAUUUUUGUGCUCUUUUGUUGCAUUUUCGCCCCCUUUUCGUGCAACUUUUAUUCGACUCUUUCUUCCGAUUCUCUUAGACAUAAAACAACAUAAUUUAGCUCAAAUGUCACACGAUUAACUACUAAAACCAAAAUAUAGCGUGAUUAAUGUACUAUAAGUAUAGCCUUUUGGCCAAACAUCACCACCCCACACUUAGAGGUUGCUCGUCUUCGAGUCAACUACUAAUUCACACUAAUCUAGAGCACUUUAUUUUCUUUUAACACAUCCGAAGCACAUCAUACCUGUGAUUAUGGUUGAUAGCGACAAUUAAAUUUCAUCAUAUGCCUUCAACACACACUUUCCUUUACUUUAUGCCAUACGUCAAAAAUUUAUUCAACACCAAGACAACAUGCUUUUAAUAAUCCUAGUCUUACAAACUGAUUCAAUAUCACAAUGCAUUCAUGGGUUGAAUGCGUAACAUCAUAGAGAAAUCUAAUAAUGGAACUUGUCCCUUGCGAAAUUAUAUGCCCUCACAACAAGAACAAAAGAGUAAGUUGAAUCCACAUAUUUGAAUCAAAUGCUCAAAUAUAUUUUAAACACUCAUAUAUAUCAAAGAAAUUCCUCACUUUUACAAAGACAACACAUGAUGCACAAAGUACCACAGGUUUGACCUUUAUGUAACCCUCCACUAAUAUUGGCUCGCUCGAUUAGGACUUUUUAUGGUUGCAAUGCUGGCUACGGGACGGGUAGGAUAUAUUUUUGAAAUAGUGACUAAUCCUCCUAAGCACUUUAACAUAUCACUUAAUUUUUUAAUUGCAAUUCUUGAAUCCCAACUUUGAUUUCACAAACAACAUCAUCCUAAGAGCUUCCCCUUUUUUCGUUAAGCCCACUUUACUUCACACCUUCUAGCAGGGACAAUAUAUCAAUUUAUUCGUUUACAUUCUUUUUUUUCUACUCAACUAUGUAUUGUAUUUCUUUUGCAAAUUUUCUUUCUUUACCUGCUAGUAGUGUAUUCUUUUACAAAACACAUGCACAAUUCAUUUUUAAUUGGUUCAACUCAAAAGUCACUCAAGUUCCCUCCUUACUUUUUCUAGCGCUUAUUUUUUUACAAUUAAAGUGCUUUAAGAGGCAAAUGAAUUAAACUAAUGAUAAUUAAGAACAAAUGAGUAUCGGCUUGUAAUAUGAUUGCCAAAAUAAAAGUAUAUAGGUUCAAAAGGGUUGACAAUGGAUAAUUUUAUUUGUGGUAAGCAUUAAGCUCAAAAAGAUUAAAGAAAACCUAAAAUCACUUUCAAACCGAGCAUUACCUAAAAUUUCACUUCAACCCACAUGUCGAGCAAGUUUUUGAUUCAAAUGCAAUAACAUGGACUACACCAUUUAUCACCACACAUAGCACAUGACUCACUAAGGAUGGUUCUAUUCCGACACUCAAACAAUUAUAAGUAUUUACGGAGCCACAAAUAAGCAUUAAGCACAAAGUGACACGGGCUAAGAAAAUGAGACAUAGGACUCUAUAAACAUGUUAUCUACUCAACAAAGCUUCAUAAGCAUUUUCAAACCACAGGGAAGGUAAUAAACAUGGUAGAGUCUAAAUAUGUUACUAUUAAACAAGUCAAAAGACGCUUACCAAUCUCAAAUUUCUCAUCCUUUUUAUUCCCUAAAUUCUAAUCUACUCUAAAGAUUAAAAAUUACUAGUAUUGUGAUCAUUCUCCUAAUUACGGACCGCGAAAAUGACUUGAAAAUUGGCCAAAAAGACCAUAAAACCUUAAUGAACACAUAAUAUUUGAUAAAUUGCUCAAGUGAGUUGAAAUUAUGAUCAUUCUCCUAAUUAUGGGUUCAAUUGUGCGACAUUGCUAAAAUAGAUUGAAGUUGUGAAUAUUCUGAAACAUUGUAGAAAUUAAGGAAAGCUCAAUUGAGGUACGUAUGGAUAAACCCCCUUAUUUUUAGAAUCGAACCCCUAGUGUUCCAGUAUCUGGUGUAAGAUCCUAACUUGAUCAUACUAGAAUUGGCUGCCUUAAUGUGUUGUGUUAUGUUGAAAGAUUCAUGUUCAAUAUAUAUUCUAUAUGCUUAUCAUGUAGCCAUGCUAUUUGAUAAUGCAUUUGAAAUGAGAAAUUGUGCCGAUAAAGGCUACGAAUUCAUGUCAAGAUUCGAUUAAAGUUUGCUAAGCUAAUUUGUAUGAAAAACAUCCAUGUGAUUAAAAUUUUCCAAGAUUAUUACUUAUGUGUGCAAUGCCUUAUAUGAUAGGCCUUAUUAAUGUGGAUGAUAAUGUUAUUGGAAUGUAUAAAAAGGCAAAUUUGAAUUGAAAGAUACAGCCAAGUUCCAAGAACGGCUUAAUAAAUGAGGCUACUCGUGCCAUGUAAUGAAAUAUGGGAAGGAAAUGUGAUUGAGAUGCAUGAUUGAAAGGAUGAUAUCUCAAGUGAGAUGGCCUGGUCGAUCAGGUCGUGAUCGGACACCAUGCCACAUAUAUGGUGGUCAUUGUGCUGGAUUGAUUGAUUGAAAUUGUGGAUAUGGUUGAUGUCUCAAAUGGGAUGACCUAGCCAAUUGGGUUGAGAUCGGACUCCGUGUAGGAAUACGUUGGUAUUGUGGAUUGUGGCACAUGGAACCAAGAUUAUCAACCUAAUAAGAUGGAAAUUAAACUGAAACUAUGUGAUCCUUAAUUGAUGUUUUCGUAUUUGUUUGAAGCUCUUAUUGUACAUCAUGACUACUUUCCAUUUGUUUCAUUAUUCAUUCUAUUAAGAUUGGUGUUUAGUUUUACAUGCUAGUACUAUUCGACAAGUACUAACCUCCCUUUUGCUUUGUUUCAUUAUUCGUUCAAUUAAGAUUGGUGUUUAGUUUUACAUGCUAGUACUAUUCGACAAGUACUAACCUCCCUUUUGCUAGGGUCGCUACAUCUUUAAAUGGAUGUAGGUGGUUCCAUAGAAGAUAGUGUUGAUCACAGCAAGUGGUGUACCCUCUUUCCAGCUGACUAGGUGAGCCCCACAUUAUUUCGGGGUCUUUUAGUUUGUAUCUUAUGUUCACCUUCUUAUUAUAUUUUAUGAUAUAACCGGGUCUUGUUACUAGCACUUUCUUUUGUAUCAACUUAGAGGCUCCAUAGACAUUAUGUAGAUUGUAUAUGGGUGUUAGGAAGGUUAAUGAAUUAUGUUUUGUUUUGGAUUCUUGUUCCACUAAAUCGUAUGGUGUAUGUAUUUUGAAACUUAACAAUGAUAACUAAUGAAUUGGCUUAGUAUUAUUCGUGUAUGAUCUCCUAGUGCCUGAUUAAUGAAAUCAUGUUAUCUCUUGAUCGAAAGUGAGUUGGGUAGAAGGUGUCUAUCAGUCUUUCUCGGCCAUAUUCACUCGGUUGAGCAUUGGUCGUGCUCCCUAAUCUUAGGGUGUGACACAUAUGUGCCAUGAAAAAAAUAAAUUCAAGAUAACAAUUUAUCAUUAAGAGACAUAUUUUCAAAACUCAUCAAUAAGGUGCUUAAGGACAUGAAAAUAAAAAAGUAUGAAUAUGUGCUUAAAAUAUAUGAUAUUACUACAACUUAAUCAAUUUAGCAAUGAUUCCACAAAUACCCAUCUUGGAUGAAUAUGUGCUUAAAAUAUAAGACAUUACUACAACUUAAUCAAUUUAGCAAUGAUUCCACAAAUACCCAUCUUGGCUAAUUAGGAGAUAAUAAUCCUAAAAAAUGAUCUCAAGCAUGAAAGUAUAAGCUCGUGUAAUUAUACAAAGGAUUAUACAUGUAUCAAGAGAGCACAUAAUGAAUUAAGGCAUAGUAGAAGCCUAGAGUUUAGUCUGGUCAUUCUUCACACAUAGUACCCGCAUAUACACUCAUCACCUUGCAUAUAUUCAUUUUACAUAGAUUACAAUUAGACAAAUAAGGUCCACUUACAUAGUACGCGCAUAUACGCUCAUCACCUUGCAUAUAUACAUUAUACAUAGAUUACAAUUAGACAAAUAAGGUCCACAUGUAAGGCCCCAUGAAAAUCUAUGCUCAAAGCCUAGCACUUCGUGGUGUCGAGUUUUGUAUAUGUGUUGGGGAUGUGCUCGCCGCGGUUCAGACACUUUUUACUGAUUUUGCACCUAAAAGUCAAGAAUCAAAAUUUUCCAAAAAAUUGACAUUUGCGGUCCAGAAUGUGGUCGCUGACCAUGUAUGCGGACCACAUUUCUGUCGCGGAGUUAAUCGGAGAGUUCGUUGAAAUUGAUGUUAGAAGUGCAGUCCAUUAUGCGAUCGCAUAAUCAAUAUGCGGACCACAUUGUCGUCGCAUAAUUCCCUCAAGGAUUUGCGAAGGUCAGUUAUGUGGUGCAUUCUGCGACCGCAUAACAGAAAUGCAGGCCGCAUUCCCAUCGCAUACCCAGCAGAUGUUCAGUGAUUGGGACACUUCUGCGGUCCAAUCUACGGAUCACAUCUCAACUCUGCGAUCGCAUAGUGUGCCCGCAGAUCCUGCUCGGGCUUCUAAUUUUCUAAAAUUUUAAACCCUAAAAACACCCCAACCACUCAUUUUUAAUGAUCUUCUGAGCAAAAUAGAGAGAGGGAAGAGAGGGUUCUUGAGAGAAUGGAAGCCUCAUAAUUCGAUUCUUCAAAACUACCCGGCGCGGGUAAAUUCUAAUUGAUUGUCUUCAUCCCCAUUCUUGCAGGUAAAAUCCCUAGCCCUUUUUCCUUGAUUUUUCGAUUUAAUCUAAGGGAGGGAGUCUCAUGCAUUGAUUCUUGAAAACAAUGGUUGAAACCACACAUGCAUGCCUUGUUAAACUUAAAACCUAGAAAAAGGGAAAUUGGGUAGCAGUAGAGAUUUACAAACGGAGAGUUGAUAACCUAAAUAAGUUUAAAUAGAAACUGUGAACCCCACUUCUAAGUCAUAUGUCUUAACUUGCGCAAUAGAUUGACGUUGCUAGAUUAUAACCUAGCAAAGGGAAAUUGGGUAGCAGUAGAGAUUUGCAAUAGAAAGUUGAUAACCUAAGUAAGUUUGAGUAGAAAUUGUGAUCCCAAAUUCUAAGUCAUAUCUCUUAACUUGUGCACUGGAUUGAUGUUGCUAUAUUAUUUGGUGAAUAGAAACUAGAAGUUAAAAAGGGAAUUCGGCUCCAGGUAAGUAUGGCUAACCUUGAUCCUUGUAGAAUCGCCUUGUUUGGUGUACGAAUGUUUGGUAUGUGAUAUCUACGUGGCUUAUUCAUGAAAAUUAUUAUGAUUGGUUUGAUUGAGCGUUGUGGUUAAGUCUCCUGAUAUAAUGGUGCAAGUAACUGGUAGUAAACUAAAUGCGUGAUUGUGAAAGUGUUAUGGUAAGAGUUGAGAAACAAAUGAUGGAAGAAAAUCGUGAGUGAUGCAACUGAAAUAAAUGUGAUAACCACAUCAAUGGAUUUUUGUAGGCAAUUGUCGUUGUAAUUUAAAACACAUGUGAGUUGUUAGAUAUGAAGGAAAAUAGUAUUAAUAGUUAUGGAAAUACUUGUAAAUUAUUGUUGUUAUUUCUUAAGAAGUAUUGUUAAGAUCCUUGUGAAUUGUUGAUUGUUGUUGUGCUCUUUAUGAAUUGUGACAACACACUGGGAUCGGGUUGCGCGCUGCAACACGAAGCUAUAAGGUGUGGGUUGUGGUGAUAAUGGUGGCCGAGGUAAUAAGGUGGACGAGGUAAUAAGGGUGGAAAAUGAUCGAAAUCACUAUUGAAAUAAGCAUUUGAGUAAAUUGUGAAAUCAUUAAUGUGGAAUUGUGGAAGGGGGAAACAGGAGAGAUUAAAAACUUGUUUGACUUGAUUGUCCCUUUUCUUGUGCAUUUUAUUGUUGUUUCUAUUAUUGUUACCUGCUUGUGUAUGGCUUGAGUUUACUUGGAGCAAAUUUGUUCAUACAUACCAGUACAAUUCAAGUGUACCAACGUCCCUUUUUGCUGGAGGUGCUACAUUCGUGUUAUGAUUGUAGGUGGAUCCAUAGCAGGUAUUCUAGUCCACCGAUCGUAGCUCCUCAUCACUCCCGUCAGCUGAAUUGGUGAGCCCCUUUCCUUUCGGUGCCCUGUGUGGUUCAUGGUGCUUUGGUUUUGGGAUCUCAUUUUGAUAAUUGUAUAAGGUAUAGCCGGAGCCUUGUUGCCGGCAAGUACUACAUCAUUUCUUUUUUAUGUUUAGAGGCUCCGUAGACAGGAAAUGUGGGUCAUGAACUUAUGUAAUGUGACGGAGCCUUGUUACCGGCAAGUACUACAUCAUUCCUUUUUUAUGUUUAGACAGGAAAUAUGGGUCAUGAACUUAUGUAAUUUGUAUUUUGCAAGUUGGGCUAUGUAAAAUAUAAACCACGUUAAGGACCAUGUACCAUGCGUAUGUUUUGAAAUAAAAGGUGUUUUAAUUGUAAAUGGUUAUUUAAUUUGGCUAAUAAGAAAUGGAAAUGCGAGGUAACACGUGGGGCAGGAAAGGCACCCAGGUCCGCUUAACUGGGGAUGUCCGGUCGAGCACCGGUCAUGUCCCUCAAGUUUGGGGCGUGACAAACUUGGUAUCAGAGCCUCAAGUUUUAAAAGAUUCCUAGGAUGUCUCGGAGCCGUGCCUAGUAGAGCCCUUUUUAUCGGUGUGUUUUCGGCCAUAUCUAUCAGUAGGGGGCUACGGGCAUUUAAGAAACUAUCAUUUUCUUUGUUAUUCCAUAUUGUGCGGUGAAGUGGAAAGUGGAAGUACAUAUGCCUAACUCGUGCUUUGUUCCAAAAUUUUCAUAAAUGGCACCUAAGAAGAAAGCUAGACUCGGCUUGGGACCGACGCCAUCCCAAGUGUGGCCAUGAAUCAUGUACCUGAUGCCAUGGGUGAGAGUGAAUCCCCGGCCUUAAAUCUUCCCGGCCCAUCUAUUCUAGACCCAAGCAUUCCUGUUCCAGCUUCGGCACAGGGUGCCACCAUCCCUCCCGCCAAUAUUCCAAUUCCUAAUCCUGAUCCUGUUCCAGCUUCUGAUCCCAGGGUUUCUGAUGGGGACCUUAGGGGAACCAUCCGUAGAGAUCUCAUGAUGCCCCUGUGUCCUCUAGCGGAGAGGGAGAUUCUGCCAUCUCCAGAGUCUAGCAGUUUCUGCGAUUAGACCCUCCAGAGUUCUCAAGCACAGACCUAGAGGCCGAUCCGCAGGAUUUCCUAGAUGAGAUGUAUAAGACCCUCCGAGACAAUGGCAGCUCGUGCCGCUGAGUUCGAGGUUCACAAGAAGGGCAGUAUAAGUGUUUGGGAGUACCACAUGUAGUUUGUGAGGUUGUCCAAGUAUGUUCCUCAGUUAGUGUCGACAGUGGAUGCUCGAGUUUGGCGUUUCAUUCAGGGUCUUAGUCCUUUGGUGGUGAAUGAGGCUACUAUAGGGGCCUUGCACUUAGAUAUGAAUUAUGGAAAGAUUGUAGGAUUCGCUCUGGCCACAAAGGCUAGGAAGUUGAAGAUACGGGCAGAAAGGGAGAGUAGCAGCAGGGCCCGGUCAAUGAGUCACUUAGGAAGACCAGUUCCAGGGAGAGGGUUGUCAGGGCCAUCCCAGUCAUAUGUUCAGUCCUCAGGGAGUGCACCGCCAUCUGUGCACAGUUACCAGCAGAGCAAUCACUCGAGACCAGGUUUAGACAAUAGGAGGUUCCGUCAGUCCGGUCGUCCAGGAGUGAGGUCCCAGCAGCAGGGGAGAGCUACAUGCCCCAAGUGUGGGAGGUUCCAUAUAGAGACUUGCUAUUUGGAUGUCCCGGUAUGGUAUAGGUGCAGGUUGAGAGGUCACAUCCAGCGGGGCUGCCGUGUGCCCUGUUAGGGAAUGAGUAGUGGAUUUGCCUAGUCAUCUAGAUCUUCAAAUGCUACAUCAUCCGUGCGCCCUCCAUCUCCAGCAGGGCAUGGUGCAGUUAGGGGCGGAGCUCGUGUUAGGGGUGGACCAAUAUCCCGAUAUGUUACAGGUGGGGGUUGAGAGGUCACAUCCAACGAGACUGCCAUACGCCUUGUCAAGGUAUGGGUAGGGGAUCUGCCCAGUCAUCUGGGUCUUCAGUUGCUACAUUAUCCGUGUGUCCUCCAUCUCCAACAGGGUGUGGUGCAGUUAGGGGUGGAGCUCCUGGUAGGGGUGGACCCAGCCGAUUCUAUGCUUUGAGUGGUCACCAAAGUGCCGAGGCUUCUCCAUAUGUUGUUACAGGUAUCGUGUAUGUUCAGGCCAUUGAUUGUUAUGCUCUUAUUGAUCCGGGGUCCUGUUUGUCUUAUGUCACCUCAUUCAUUGCUUCAAGUUUUGGGAUAGAACCCGAACAGCUUCAUAAGCCAUUCUCUAUAUGGACUCCGGUUGGUGAUUCUAUUACAACCUCGCGAGUUUAUACAAAUUGUGUUGUCACAGUGUGUGGUCGUGUUACCACGGCCGAUCUUAUUGAGCUGGGAAUGAUACAUUUUGAUGUAAUCAUAGGAAUGGAUCGGCUUUAUUCGUGUUUUGCUAAACUUGACUGCCGAACGAGAGUUAUGAGGCUUGAGUUCCCUAACGAGCCAGUUAUUGAGUGGAAAGGAAAUGGUGUGCUGCCAAAGUGUAGGUAAAUUUCUUACCUUAAGGCUUCGAAGAUAAUUAAGAAGGGGUGUAUCUAUCAUUUCCCCCGGGUGGCGAACACCACACUAGAAGUGUCUGUCCCCGAGUUCGUGCCAGUCGUGAAUGAGUUUCUUGAAGUGUUUCUAGAUGAGUUUCUAGGAAUUCGUCGGGAUUGAUGUAUUGCAAGAUACUCAGCCAAUAUCUAUUCCACCAUACAGAAUGGCGCGAGAAGAGUUAAGAGAGUUAAAGGAGCAGCUGAAGAUUUAUUAGAGAAGGGGUUCAUACGACCGAGUGUGUCGUUGUGGGGUGCUCCGGUUCUUUUUGUUAGAAAGAAGGAUGGGUCGCUUCGGAUGUGCAUUGAUUAUCAACAGCUUAACAAAGUCACCAUCAAGAAUAAAUAUCCUUUGCCUCGGAUAGAUGAUUUGUUCGACCAAUUGCAAGGUGCAAAGUUCUUCUCCAAAAUUGAUGUGCGAUCUGGGCAUCACCAAUUGAAGAUCAUAGAGGAGGAUAUUCCUAAAACCGCCUUCAGAACUCGCUACGGUCACUUCGAAUUCUUGGUCAUGUCAAUUGGGCUAACCAAUCCCCCGACAGCUUUCAUGGACCUUAUGAAUCGAGUUUUCAAGCCAUUUCUAGAAUCCUUCGUGAUUAUUUUCAUUGACGACAUCCUCGUUUAUUCGCGGAGCAGGGAGGAUCAUGCUGAUCACCUUAUAUUAGUUUUGUAGACUCUUCAUCAGUAGAACUUGUACGCUAAAUUCUCAAAAUGUGAAUUUUGGUUGGAGUCCGUCACUUUUCUGGGUCAUGUUAAAGGAUCAUGCUGAUCACCUUAUAGUAGUUUUGUAGACUCUUCAUCAGUAGCAGUUGUACGCUAAAUUCUCAAAAAUGUGAAUUUUGGUUGUAGUCCGUCACUAUUCUGGGUCAUGUUAUUCCAGUAAGGGGAUUCAGGCGGAUCCCUAGAAGGAGGUUCGUAGCUUCUUGGGCUUAGUCGGGUAUUAUCGGAGGUUUGUGGAGGGAUUCUCUACCCUCGCCUCCCCAUUGACUAAGUUGACGGGAGGUUCGUAGCUUCUUGGGUUUAGUCGAGUACUAUCGGAGGUUUGUGGAGGUAUUCUCCACCCUCGCCUCCCCAUUUACUAAGUUGACGCAGAAAGCAAUUAAGUUCUAAUGGUCUGACGCUUGUGAGAAACAUUUUCAGGAAUUGGGGUCAAGGUUGACUUCGGCACCGAUAUUGGUCUAUUACGAUGCUUCUAGGGUCGGCUUAGGGUGUGUAUUGAUGCAGCAUGGGAAGGCUAUAGCAUAUGCUUCAAGGCCACUCAAGAAUCACGAGAAGAGUUACCCGACACAUGAUUUGGUGGUUGCAGCACUUGUGUUUGCCUUGAAAAUAUGGCGGCAGUAUCUUUAUGGGGUCUGUGUGGAUAUGUUCUCUGACCGCAAAAGUCUCCAAUAUUUGUUCAAGGAAAACAAUUUAAAUUUGAGGCAACGGCAGUGGUUAGAAUUGCUUAAAGAUUAUGAUAUGAACAUUUUGUACCAUUCGGGUAAGGCAAAUGUGGUGGCCGACGCUCUCAGUCGAAAAUCCAUAGGUAGUUUGGCUUACUUGGGAGCGGAUCAGAUGCUCCUAGCUCGGGAGGUUUAUCAGUUGGCCAGUCUUGGGGUUUUCAUCUCGACCCUAAAUGAGGAAGAAAUUAUGGUGCGUAAUAAAGCAGAAUCGUCGCUUGUGGCGAAAGUCAAGGAAAAUCAGUUCAUUGAUCCAACAUUUGCACAGAUGAAGGAGGUAAUGGCGGAGGCUCAUCAUUCUAGGUAUUCGGUGCUCCCAGGUUCUAUUAAAAUGUAUCACGGUCUCAAGGAAAUUUAUUGGUGGGGUGGUAUGAAGAGGGGUGUGGUGGACUUGGUAUCUAAAUGUCCAAAUUGUCAGCAAGUAAAAGCUAAGCAUCAGCGGCCCGGUGGGUUAACCCAGCUUAUGGAAAUACCAAUAUGGAAAUGGGAGAUGGUUAACAUGGAUUUCGUGGAAGUAUUACCUCGCACUCAGUGGGAGUUCGACUCGAUUUGGGUGAUAGUGGAUCGACUGACCAAGUCAGCUCACUUCUUGCCAGCCAAGUCCACCGAUACUACAGAAUAGUAUGCUCAGUUAUAUAUCAAGGAUGUAGUGAGGCUCCAUGGUACUCCGCACUCUAUUAUUUCGGAUAGAGGGGCUCAGUUCACAGCUAAUUUUUGGAAGAAAUUUCAGCAAGGUUUGGGUGCCCAGGUGAAUCUCAGCAUGGCUUUCCAUCUGAAGACCGAUGGUCAAGCAUAGCGGACUAUUCAGACACUUGAAGAUAUGUUCCGAGCUUGUGUAUUGGAUUUCAAAGGUAAUUGGGAUGAUCAUUUGUCCCUUAUAGAUUUUUCUUACAACAACAGCUUUCAUGCUAGCAUCCAGAUGGCCCCAUUUGAGGCAUUGUACGGAAGGAGAUGUAGGUCUCUGAUAGGAUGGUUUGAAGUAGGUGAGGCAGAAUUGAUAGGGCCGGAUCUCAUGCACCGGGCUAUGGAAAAAGUUAAAAUCAUUCAGGAAAGGAUGAAGACUGCUCAGAGUCGCUAGAAAUCCUAUGCGGACGUACGUCGAAGAGAGUUGGAGUUCCAAGUAGAUGAUUGGGUAUUCUUGAGAGUAUCUCCAAUGAAGGGAGACAUGCGAUUUGGGAAGAAAGGAAAGCUGAGUCCUAGAUAUGUCGGGCCUUUAUCGAAUUGUUCAAAUCAUUGGGCAAGUUGCUUAUAAGCUGGAGGUUCCCCCUGAAUUAUCCUUAGUGCGCCCGGUGUUCCAUGUGUCCAUGUUAAGGAAAGUGGUUGGAGAUCCAUCCACCAUCGCUACGGUAGAAGACGUCAAGGUUACUGAAGAGUUAUCGUAUGAAGAAUUCCAAUUUCUAUUCAUGAUAGACAAAUUCGUAAAUUGAAAAAUAAAAAGGAAAUUGCUUCAGUUUAAGUGUUGUGGCGAAAUCAACAAGUCGAGGAAGCAGCUAGGGAAGCGGAAGAUGAGAUGAAAGAAAAAUAUCCCCAUUUGUUCGAACAAGUCCAGUAGUAUCAUGUGAACUCUGAUCCUAGCAAACUAUCAUUGUGUCCUAUUUGGUGCAAAGACACCUCAUUCCUCCCCUAAAUGCUUUGCUAUUGUAAUUUUUCUAGUUGUGCCAAAAUUGUAUGUGUUGUGAUCAUUUGAUCCAUAUGCAAACCCUUCUUGAUAAAUGAACAUUUUUGUCUCUUGCAAUAAGUAACUGGCUUAUGAUAGUACAGAUUGGUAAUGAUUAAUUUGCAUGUAUAUAGAGAAUCAUGGUGGUUAAACUAUGCGGACUCAUUAGAGUAAUCAAACUAUGUGAAAAAAUGUGUUAAGCAAUUGAAUAUGUACAUGUGUAAGGGUGAUGAGUUGUAUGUUAGUAUAGGGGCAACAAAAUUUGUGUAAUGGUACUUGGAAAUGUGUUUCGGGGGAUCUCUGACAGGUAGAUAUGUCUAAAUUACAUAGGAGACUCUGGUAAAAAUUUUCUAAAAUAGGGGAGUUAGUGGAAAAUUUGGGAAUUUGCAUAUCACGUUUUUCAAACCAACUGAUUUUCACAAACCCUCAUUCGAGGAUGAAUGAUUUUAAGUGGGGGAUGAUGUAAGGCCCCGUGAAAAUCUAUGCUCAAAGACUAGAACUUUGUGGUGUCGAGUUUUGUACAUGUGUUGGGAAUGUUCUCGACGCGGUUCGGACCCUUUUUACUGAUUUUACACCUAAAAAUAAAGAAUUAAAAUUUUCAAGAAAAUUGCCAUUUUGCGUUCCAGAAUGCGGUUGUAGAUUAGGUAUGUUGACCGCAUUUACGCCACGGAGUUAAUCAGAGAGUUGAUCAAAAUGGAUGUUAGAAGUGCGGUCCAUUAUGCAAUCGCAUAAUCAAUAUGCGGAAUGCAUAGUCGUCACAUAAUUCCCUCAAGGAUUUGUGAAGGUCAGUUCAGCGGUGAAAUAUGCAACCGCAGAACAGGAAUGUAGACCGCAUUCCCAUCGCAUACCUAGGCAGAGAUGUUCAGUAAGUGGUACACCUCUACGGUCCAAUCUUCGGACCGCAUUUCAACUCUGUGAUCCCAUAGUGCGACCGCAGAUCCUGAUCGCGCUAAUUUUCUAAUAUUUUAAACCCGACCCCUUUUUAACAAAACACCCCCAACCCCUCAUUUUUAAAGAUGUUCUGAGCAUAGUAGAGAGAGGGAAGAGAGUGUUCUUGAGAGAGAAGAGAAGCCUCAUCAAUUCGAUUCUUCAAAACCACCCGGGGCGGAAAAAUUCUAAUUGAUUGUCUUCAUCCCCAUUCUUGCAAGUAAAAUCCUUAGCCCUUUUUCCUUGAUUUUUCGAUUUAAUUUAAGGGGGUAGUCUCAUGAAUUUAUUCUUGAAAGCAAUGGUUGAAACCUCACAUGAAUGUCUUCUUAAACUUAAAACCUAGCAAAUGGAAAUUGGGUAGCUGUAGAGAUUUGCAACAGAAGAGUUGAUAACCUAAGUAAGUUUGAUUAGAAAUUGUGAACCCUAAUUCUAAGUCAUAUGUCUUAACUUGUGCACUAGAUUGACGUUGCUAUAUUAUUUGGUGAAUCGAAACUAGAAGAUAAAAACGGAAUUCGGCUCCAGGUAUGUAUGGCGAACCUUGAUCCUUGUAGAAUUGCCUUGUUUGGUGUACGAAUGUUUGGUAUAUGAUAUCUACGUGGCUUAUUCAUGAAAAUUAUUGUGAUUGGGAUUGAGUAUUAUGGUUAAGUCUCCCGAUAUAAUGUUGCAAGUAACUGGCAAUAAACUAAAUGUGUGAUUGUGAAAGUGUUAUGUGUUAAGAGUUGAGAAACAAAUGAUGAAAGAAAAUCGUGAAUGAUGCAACUGGAAUGAAUGUGAUAACCACAUCCAUGGCUUAUUGUAGGUAAUUGUCGUUGUAAGGUAAGACACAUGUGAGUUGUUGGAUAUGAGUUAUGGAAAUACUUGUAAAUUGUUGUUGUUAUUUCUGAAGAACUGUUGUUGUUGAUCCUUGUGAAUUGUUGAUUGUUGUUCUGCUGUUUCUGAAUUGUGACAAUACAGUGGCAUCAAGUUGUGUGCCGUAAUAUAAAGUUAUAAGGUGUGGGUUUUGGUGUUCAGAGUGGCCGAAGUAAUAAGGCUGGACAUGGUAAUAAGGGUGGAAAGUGAUCGAAAUCACUAUUGAAAUAUACAUUUGAGGAAAUUGUGAAAUCAUUGAUGUGGAAUUAUGGAAGGGGGAAAUAGUAGAGAUUGAAAACUUGUUGACUUGAUUGUCCCUUUUCUUUUGAUUAUUGUUUAUAUUAUUGUUACCUACUUGUGUACGGCUUGAGUUUACUUGGAGAAAGUUUGUUCAUACAUACUAGUACAAUUCAAGUGUACUGACAACCAUUUUUGCCCGGGGCGAUACAUUCGUGUUAUGAUUGAAGGUGGAUACAUAGCAGGUACUCUAGUCCACCGAUCGUAGCUCCUCAUCACUCCUAUCAGCUGAAUUGGUGAGCCCCUUUCCUUUCGGUGCCCUGUGUGGUUCAUGGUGCUUUGGUUUUGGGAUCUCAUUUUGAUAAUUGUAUAAGGUAUAGCCGGAGCCUUGUUGCCGGCAAGUACUACAUCAUUUCUUUUUUAUGUUUAGAGGCUCCGUAGACAGGAAAUGUGGGUCAUGAACUUAUGUAAUGUGUAUCUUGCACGUUAGGCUAUGUAAAAUAUAAACCGUGUUAAGGACCAUGUACCAUGUGUAUGUUUUGUAAUAAAAAGGUGUUUUAAUUGUAAAUGGUUAUUUAAUUUGGCUAAUAAGAAAUCAAAAUGUGGGGUAACACAUGGGGCAGGAAAGGCACCCAGGUUCGCUUGAUUGGGGCUAUCCGGUCGAGCGCCGGUCAUGUCCCUCAAGUUUGGGGCGUUACACCAAUCCUAAGGUUUAUCCUCACACACAAGAUUAGGUAACACACUUACCUAAAAUGGGCCAAAUCAACCCUGUAAAAUUGCCUUUACAUUAGAAACUUGUCAUGACCCAAAUUCCCAAAAAAGCUACGAUGACAUCUAACAUUGCUUGCUAGGAAAGCCAAUAAUUUCACAAUAACAAUAAACUCAAAAAUCAGAACUUAAUAAUAUCCACAGCAGCAUAAUCAUAAACUAUCUGUAAAUAGCAACCAUAACACAACUACAACCAUUCCAUGAUUUGGUGUCAACGAGUGCAUGAGCACUACACAAUCUACAAAAUACAAAGUCAAAUUCUCGAUAUAGAACUUUUUGAAUGAUAGAACAAUGAUAACAGAAAUAAACAAAAGAUGACUUCAAGGUCUGCGAACGAUAUAGAACAAUCUCGUAGUCUCCACAAGCUUGAUUCGAAGCGAACUAUAGAAAUCACCACAACCAACAGUACCUGGAUCUACACAUAAAGUGUACCAAUGUAGUAUGAGUAUAACCGACCCCAUGUACCCAAUAACUAACAAAUCUAACCUUAGACUGAAAGCAGUGACAAGCUUGAAAGAAGGUCAGUAUCCAACACCAAUAAUCAAUAAAAACACAUGAUAUAAUGAUGACAAUAUAAGUAAAAAACUCAAGAGAUAUCAUGUUCAACACGUUCACAACUACGCAAAAUUAGACAUGUUUUCCAAGUAUAAAAGCCAAAGCCCAAUCUUAACACUAAAAUCACUAAUCGUUCACAAGUACGCAAAAUUAGACAUGUUUUCCAAGUAUAACAACCAAAGCCCAAUCUUAACACUAAAAUCACUAAAAACAGGCGUUUAUCUCGGAAACUGUGAUUUCUAACAUUCAAUAACAGGUAAGACAUUUCAUUUACCAUCUAGCAUAAUAAAAAUACAUCUCGAUGUUGUCACAACCCGGAUUUUCCACCCUUGGGAGUGGUAAUGGUGCCUACUAUUACGAGCUAGGCAAGCCAAUUAUUUAUUACCUCUUUUAGCAAACAUCGAUAAUAUUAAAAAAAAAUUAAAGCAUUUAAUAAUAAAGUGGAAGUCUUAAAUAAAAUUAACUGAGAGAAAAACGGAAAUCCAAUACAAACUCUACCCAAGAACUGGAGUCACAAACUCACGAACAUCUAGAGAGUGCUAAAUACAAUAUCUGAAUAAAAACAUACUUUUAUUUAUUCUGGUACAAAGGAUAACAAACUAAAGUAAAGAUAGAAGAGACUCUGGGCCUACGGACAUCAGCAACGCUACCUCGGCAUCUAUUGACUUAAGGUUAGCUCCCAACCUGCUACUGCUGUCCAAAAGUUGCUGCUUCGGCACUGUGGUCUGUGCAAAAAGAUACACAAAGUGUAGCAUCAGCACAACUGACCCCAUGUGCUGGUGAGUGCCUAGCCUAACCUCGGCGAAGUAGUGACGAGGCUAUAUCAGACUACCAGAUAAACCUGUACAGUUAUGAACUAUAUUACAGAAAAUAAACAGGAAAUAAGCAGUUUAUAAAGGGAGGGGGAAAUAUGCUAUGGGGAGGCAACAAUUAUAAACAAGAAGAAUAAAUUUAAAAAUAGAACAACCAAUAGAAACUUAAAUCCGAAAUAAACACACUUAAUCUAUAUCUUGUUCCGGCACGCAACCCGAUCAAAUCACAUAACAAUACAAUUGUGGCGUGUAACCUGAUCUACAAUUAUCAUUGUUGUGGGGUGCAACUCGAUCCAUAUAUAUAUAUAGUAUUGUUGCGGCGUGCAACCCGAUCCACAAUUAUGAUUUUUACUGCAUCCAACCCAAUCCACAUAUAUAUAUNNNNNNNNNNNNNNNNNNNNNNNNNNNNNNNNNNNNNNNNNNNNNNNNNNNNNNNNNNNNNNNNNNNNNNNNNNNNNNNNNNNNNNNNNNNNNNNNNNNNNNNNNNNNNNNNNNNNNNNNNNNNNNNNNNNNNNNNNNNNNNNNNNNNNNNNNNNNNNNNNNNNNNNNNNNNNNNNNNNNNNNNNNNNNNNNNNNNNNNNNNNNNNNNNNNNNNNNNNNNNNNNNNNNNNNNNNNNNNNNNNNNNNNNNNNNNNNNNNNNNNNNNNNNNNNNNNNNNNNNNNNNNNNNNNNNNNNNNNNNNNNNNNNNNNNNNNNNNNNNNNNNNNNNNNNNNNNNNNNNNNNNNNNNNNNNNNNNNNNNNNNNNNNNNNNNNNNNNNNNNNNNNNNNNNNNNNNNNNNNNNNNNNNNNNNNNNNNNNNNNNNNNNNNNNNNNNNNNNNNNNNNNNNNNNNNNNNNNNNNNNNNNNNNNNNNNNNNNNNNNNNNNNNNNNNNNNNNNNNNNNNNNNNNNNNNNNNNNNNNNNNNNNNNNNNNNNNNNNNNNNNNNNNNNNNNNNNNNNNNNNNNNNNNNNNNNNNNNNNNNNNNNNNNNNNNNNNNNNNNNNNNNNNNNNNNNNNNNNNNNNNNNNNNNNNNNNNNNNNNNNNNNNNNNNNNNNNNNNNNNNNNNNNNNNNNNNNNNNNNNNNNNNNNNNNNNNNNNNNNNNNNNNNNNNNNNNNNNNNNNNNNNNNNNNNNNNNNNNNNNNNNNNNNNNNNNNNNNNNNNNNNNNNNNNNNNNNNNNNNNNNNNNNNNNNNNNNNNNNNNNNNNNNNNNNNNNNNNNNNNNNNNNNNNNNNNNNNNNNNNNNNNNNNNNNNNNNNNNNNNNNNNNNNNNNNNNNNNNNNNNNNNNNNNNNNNNNNNNNNNNNNNNNNNNNNNNNNNNNNNNNNNNNNNNNNNNNNNNNNNNNNNNNNNUAUAUAUAUAUAUAUAUAUAUAAAUCUUACCCAUACAACAACCACAAAUAAGAGGUAAGGGAGUAACAACUAGUGAAAGAAAUCCCAGGAAGGGAAUAUAACAACACAACUAAAUCCCGACAAGGGAGAAAAAUCAACAAAACCAAUAAAAUGUCCCAGCAAGGGAAUAACCAUCAACUCGUCCUCUUUCUUACACUUCUCACUUUAUAAUUUACUUUAUCAUUAGAGCCAUGGCCCAAAGAGUCAUUUCAUAUCAUGUACCUUCUGAAUCCGUAACACAACUCGAGCCAAUGCUCCACGGAGUUUAGUAAUCAUAGCCUCUUUCUCAUGCUCUUUACAGUAUAUACAGGUCAUCAAAUAAGCAUUGAAGAAUCACGACAAAUUCAGGGUAAACACAAUAUAAGGACACACGGUCAUGAUAGAUACCAAUGUAUAGAUACUCGUCACCAUGCCUAUCCACCGUACUCGACAAAUAACAAUUAGAAAAUAAGACUCUACUCCUAUUUCCUCAAGCCAAAGUUACACCAAAUACUAAUCUCAACUUCCACAGCUAAAUCAAUCCACAACGACCGUUUUCCCUCUCGAAUUCGGCUCCAAGUCAAUAAAAUCUGUGAAAUAACGACUUUAUAACAUCAAUAAUAGCUAAACAAAUCAAACCCAAUGCCUAAAAAUAGAUUCCCAACCUUUCUUCCAAAAAUCGACCUCGGACCCGCUUGGUCAAAACAUGAGGUUCAAACCAUUUUCAUAUCCCCCCAUUCCCCCACGAGCCCGAAUAUAUAAUUUUUUUCAAAUUCGACCCCAAAACGAGGUCUAAAUCAAAGAAACUUAAAAAGCCCUAACGCUACCCAAUUCCCCCAAUUUCCACCCUAAUUUAUAUGAUUUAAGCUUAGAAUUUCAGUAAUUAAUGAAGGAAAAUGAAGGAAAUAAGUGGUGAUUUACUAACCCAAGUGGUCUUGAAGAAUGGGGGCUUCAAUGGACUCCUACAUCUUGGGGAAGAAGAGAGCUCGUGUGAAUUUUGGACUAAACUCGUCAUUGUUCUGUUUUUGAAGAGUUAAAAUAACUGGGGAAAAUGCCCUAUGCGUUCGCGACAUGGGAGUCACGUUCGCGAAUAAGGGAAACUGGCAAGCAUCGCGUUACGAGAGGGGCUGCGAACGCAUCGAAUAAAAUAUUGGGAUCCCAGAUUUUGGCCUAUGCAAACACAUGAAUAGGUACAUGAAUGUGUUGAAGGGCAGACUGGAACUACAAGAACCCGUGAAGUUAAUUUCGAAUGCGAACAAGGGGAUACGACAGGCAGUGCGAACGCGAGCUGGAGGCUGCGAUCGCGAAGAAGAAAAUGCUUGUGCAUAAAUUGCAGAUUUUCUACUUUUGACUAAGUUCAAACUACCCCGAACACCUACGAAAAUACUCCCGAGCCCUCGAGGCUCCUAACCAAUCACACACACUAACCCAACCACAUCCUACUAACUUAAUCAUGUGAUCAAAUUGCCAAAAUAACAUCAAAAUUACUGAAUCAACCCUCAAAAUCAUCACUUUUUUUAUUAAACUUCAUAAACUUUCAUUUUUAGAGAUUUAGGUUUGAAACACGCCAAAUGACGUCCGAUUUCAACAAAAUUUCAUAUAAACAUACUAAAUCACAUAUAAUACGUGUAUCGGAUGCUGGAACCAAAAUACGGGCCCGAUACCAACACUUUCUAAUCUGUUUUCUUUUGAAAUUUCCAUAUUAAUUUCAGAAAAAAAUUCUUUUAAAAAUUCAUUUUUCAGGCUCGGGACAUCGAAUUUUGAUUCGAGUAUAUGCCCGAGUCUCAUAUUUUUUUAUGGACCCUUCAGGACCGUCAAAUUAUGGGUCUGGGUCCGUUUACCCAAAAUAUUGACCAAAAACAACUUUACUUAUUGUAAUACCAAAUUUUAGUAUUUUUCACAGAAUUUCACAUAUAAGCUUUCCGGCUACGCGCUCGGACUGCGCACAAAAAUCAAAGCAAGUACAAAUGAGGUUUUCAAUGCCUCAGAAGCAUAGAAAAAGGAAUAAAACAGGUGAUGACCCUUUGGGUCGUCAUAUUCUCCACCCCUAACACAACUCUUCAUCCUCGAACGAACAAAAGAAAGAAGUACCUGAGUCGGGAAAUAGAUGAGGAUAACGGCUCCGCAUAUCGGACUCGGACUCCCAGGUCAAUGCCUCAGGAGGCUGACCUCUCCACUGGACACACAUUGAAGGAAAACUCUUCGACCACAACUAUCGAACCUGCUAGUCUAGAAUAGGCACCGACUCCUCCACAUAAGACAAAUCCUUGUCCAACUGGACAAUGCCAAAAUCUAACACGUGGGAUGGAUCGUCGUGGUACCUCUGAAGCAUGACACAUGAAAAACUGGAUGCACGACUGACAAUCUAGGCGGCAAGGCAAGUCUAUAAGCCACCUCUCCAACUCGAUCGAGAAUCUAAAAUGGACCAAUGAACCUAGGGAUAAGCUUUCCCUUCUUCCCAAAUCUCAUCACCCCCUUCAUAGGCGACACACGGAGCAAUACCCGCUCACCAACCAUGAAAGCCAGAUCUCGAAUCUUGUGGUCUGCAUAACUCUUCUGCCUAGACCGAGCUGUACAAAGCCUAUUUUGAAUGAUAUUGACCUUAUCCAAGGCCUCCUAGACUAAAUUUGUACCCAAUAACCGAGCCCCUCCCGGCUCAAACCAUCCGACUGGAGACCGACAUCGCCUACCAUACAACGCCUCAUAAAGAGCCAUCUGAAUGUUGGACUGGUAGUUAUUGUUGUAGGCAAACUCCACUAAAGGCAGGAACUGAUCCUAUGAACCUCCAAAGUCAAUAAUGCAAGCUCGAAGCAUGUCCUCCAAUAUCUAAAUAGUCCGCUCAGACUGACCGUCCGUCUGAGGAUGAAAAGAUGUGCUCAACUCAACCUGGGUGCCCAACUCUUGCUGAAGUACUCUCCACAAGCGCGAGGUAAACUGCGUACCCCGGCAUGAAAUGAUAGAUACCGGCACCCCAUGAAGUCGAACAAUCUCUAUGAUGUAGAUCUCAGCUAACCUCUUGGAUGAAUAAGAGGCUGCAAGAUGAACAAAAUGCGUUGACUUGGUCACCUAUCAACAAUGACCCAAAUUGUAUCAAACUUAUUUUGGGUCAACAGGAGACCGGUAACAAAAUCCAUAGUAAUCCUCUCCCACUUCCACUCGGGAAGCUCAAUCCUCUUAAACAGUCCACCAUGCCUCUGAUGCUCAUACUUAAUCUGCUGACAGUUCAAAGAUUGAGCCACAUAUGCAACUAUAUCUUUCUUCAUUCUGCGCCACCAAUAGUGCUCCCUCUAAUCCUGAUACAUCUUCCCGGAGCUCGGAUAAAUAGAAUACCGGAAACUAUAGGCCUCUUCUAAGAUUAACUCUCGAAUCCCUUCAAUAUUGAGCACACAAACCCGCCCCUACAAUCUCAAGACACCAUCAUCAUCUAAGGUCACUUUCUUGGCACCUCCACGCUGCACCGUGUCUCUCAGGACACAUAAAUGGGGAUCAUCAAACUAUCAAUCACGGAUACGCUCUAGUAAUGAAAAAAAAGCGAUCGUGCAAGAUAACACUCGAUUAGGCUCAGAAAUAUCCAGCCUCAGGAAUGGAUUGGCCAAAGUCUGAACAUCCAAAGCAAGCGGCCUACGGAUGGCUGGAUUAUACACAAGACUUCCCAUGCUGGCAGACUUUCUACUCAAGCCAUCGGCUACCACAUUGGCCUUUUUCGGAUGAUACAAGAUAGUAACAUCAUAAUCUUUCAACAACGCCAACCACUUCCUCUACCUCAAAUUCAACUCUUUUUGCUUGAACAAGUACUGAAGACUAUUGUGCUCAGUGUACACCUCACACGUCACACCAUAUAAAUAAUUCCACCAAAUCUUCAAAUCAUGAACAAUAGCUUCCAACUCUAUAUCAUGAACCAGAUAAUUCUUCUCAUGGAUAUUCAACUGUCUCGAAGCAUAGGCAAUGAAUACUGUAAUCAGCCCAAUACGGAAAGCAUCACAAUAGACUAUAUAAGGCCCUGAAACUGUGGGCAAAACCAAUACCGCUGUCGUAGUCAGAGCUGUCUUGAGCUUUUGAAAGCUCGUCUCGCACUCGUCUGACCAUAUGACUGGCACCCUUCUGGGUCAAUCUAGUCAUCGGGACUACAACAGAUGAAAACCCCUCCACUAACCGACGAUAGUAGCCUGCCAAACCUAAGAAACUCCAAAUCUCUGUAGUUGAUGCUAGUCGAGGCCAAUUUUUGAUUGUCUCAAUCUUAUUCGGGUCCACCUGAAUACCCUUUGCUGAUAUGACGUGACCCAUAAAUGCAACCGAACUCAACCACAACUCACACUUUGAAAACUUAGCAUAUAACUGACUAUCCUUCAGAGUCUGAAGAACCACUCUGAGGUGCUGCCUGUGCUCCUCCUGGCUGCGAGAUUAUAUCUGAAUAUCAUCAAUAAAAUCUAUCAUAAACAAGUCCAAAUAAGGCUUGAACACUCGGUUCAUCACUGCAUAUAUGUCAACCCAAAUGACAUGACCAAAAACUCAUAAUGCCUAUACCGAGUGCGGAAUGUUGUCUUAGGGACAUCAGACGCCCUAAUCUAAACUAAUGGUAGCCAGAUCUCAAGUGUAUCUUUGAAAACACCUUUGCACCCUGAAGCUGGUCGAACAAAUCGUCGAUCCUCGACAGUGGAUACUUAUUCUUUAUCAUCACUUUGUUUAAUUGCCGGUAAUCAAUGCACAUCCCCAUCGAACCAUCCUUUUUCUUCACAAAUAACACUGGCGCACCCCAAGGCAAAACGUUGGGUCUAAUGAAAACUUUCUCAAGAAAAUCAUGUAACUGAUCCUUUAGUUCUUUCAACUCUGGCGGGACCAUGCGAUAUGGCGGGAUAGAAAUGGGCUGCGGGCCUAAAGCUAGAUCAAUAUAGAAAUCAAUAUCCCUGUCGGGUGGCAAAACAGGAAAAAAUCUGAAGGGAAAACCUCCCGGAACUCCCUAACAAUAUGUACGGAAACAAUAGAAGGGACCUUUGCGCUAGAAUUACGAACAUAUGCCAGAUAGCUAGAUACCCCUUCUCGACCAUGCGUCGAGCCUUCACAUAUGCGAUAAUACUGCGAGAGGUAUGACGUGGGGUCCCUCUCCUCUCCAAACGGGGCAAAUCUGGUAAAUCCAAGGUCACGGUCUUUGCAUGACAAUCCAAGAUAGCAUGAUACGGGGACAACCAAUCCAUCCCUAAUGUGACGUCGAAAUCUACCAUAUCUAAGAGUAACAAAUCAACACGGGACUCAAGACCCUCAAACACUACAACACAGGAAUGAUGAACUUGAUAGACCACUAUAGAAUCACCCACCGAUGUAGAUACAUAAAUAGGAAUACUCAAAGCAUUACUAGGCAUGACCAAGGUCAAAUAGCACUGAAGUAUCUCUAUCACAAACCAGAAUAGUACCUGUAAUAACUACAUCUGAAGACUCAGCCUCUGUCCUAGCUGGAAGAGGAUAACACCGGGGCUGGGCCCUACCUUCCUGAAUCAUAUCUCUAGAAUGACCGACUGCUGGCUGACCCCUACCUCUGGCCGUCUGAGCUUUACCUUUAUGACCUCUGCCCCCACCUCUAUGACGAUGCCCCUACCUCUAGUUGGAUGGGCAACCUUUGGAGCACCCGGCGCUUGAAUCAUAGGACGAGGACCCUGCUGCUGCGACUGAGAACCCCUCAAUCUCGGGCAAGCCCUCCUGAUGUGACCAUACUCACCACACUCGCAACACCCAUCCAAAUACUGUAGCUGAGGAACCUGGAGCUGACCAUGUCGACCUGACUGAUCACCCCGAAGGCUCUGAAGUGGCGGUGCACUGAUGGGAGUUGGUGGUGCAUUCUAAGCCUACUGAUCAGAAUAAUGUGGUUGUAAACCCUGACCACCUGAAGUACCAUGUGAGACAUGGAGAGAUGACUGAAAGGGCCGAAUAUGAUGGCCACUACUAUAAGAAUCUCUACCUCCAGACGAGGUAACACUGAAUCUACCUACAUGAUGGGGCCUCUUAUCAGACCCAUGACCGCCUCUCUGUGAUAAAGCCAUCUCAACUCUACGGGACGCAUUGGAUGCCUCCUGAAAAGUAAUCUCACUCCCGGCUCUCAGAGCCAUCUGGAGACGGAUGGACAAAAUCAAACCGACAAAACCUUCGCACCCUCCCUCUCUCUCUCUCUCUCAGUGGGGAGUAUAACAAUAGCAUGGCGAGCUAGAUCAAUGAACCGGGUCUCGUACUGAGUGACUGUCAUAGAGCCCUACUGAAGGUUCUCAAACUCUCUAUGAAGAGCCUCCCUCUGAGUGACUGGGAAAAACUUCUCCAAAAACAACUCUGCAAACUGAUCCCAAGCCAAGGAUUGCGACCCUGCUGGUCUGGCUAAACAAUAGUCCCUCCACCAAGUCUUGGCGAAUCCAGAUAGACAAAAGGUGGCGAAGUCGACCCAUUGGUCUCCACAAUACCCAUGGUCCGAAGAACCUCAUGGGAGCUAUAUAAGAAAUCCUCGAGGUCCUCUGAAGAAGCACCACUGAAUGUGGUGGUGAAGAGCUUGGUGAACCUAUCCAGCCUUCACAAAGGAUCUGCGGACAUAGCUGCUCCAUCACCGGUCUGCGUCAUAAUACCCGGGUGAACAUCCACAUCUACUGAACUACUGGAACCUGAGCCUAGGGAGAUACCUGCUACUGAGUACGUAUAGCAGAAGUCUGAACCUAUCAUUUAGUCUGAGAAGUGGCUGGUGCUACUGGAUGCAAACCCGCUCAGGUGACACUCUCCAUAAGGCCUACCAGUCUAACCAAAGUGUCCUGAAGAACUGGGGUGUCUAUAAACCCCUCUAGAACCUGAACUGGGCCUACCGGAGAUGUUGGGGCUGGAACUUCCUCGUCAUAAUCCAUUUGAGGAUCUGCCUCUGGGGCAGCUGGUCGGGGUUGAGCUCUGCCUCUGUCUCUGCCUCGGCCUCUAGCACGGCCUCAGCCUCGCCCUCUGCCCCUCGUGGGAGAUGCUGCUAGGGGCUCGGGCUGCUGAGUGGUAGAAGAGGAAGCACGUAUUCUCGCCAUCUGCGAAAUAACAGAGUAGAAAGACAAUCAGUAUUUGAGAAACAGAAUCGCAUGACAAGAAAGAUUAAAAGUGAAAUUUUCCUAACUUUGUAGGCCCUAGGGAUAAAUACAGACGUCUCCAUAUUGAUCCCUCAGACUCUACCGAGUAUUUUCGUGAGUUGUGAGACCUAUGUAACCUAGUGAUCUCAUACAAACUUGUCACGACCCAGAUUUCCCACCCACGGGAGUCGUGAUGGUGCCUACUAUUAUGAGCUAGGCAAGCCAAUUAUUUAUUACUUCUUUUAGCAAAUAUUGAAAAUAUUAGAAACAAUGCAGCAUUUCAUAAUAAAGCGAACGUCUUAAAUAAAAUUAACUGAGAGAAAAGUGGAAAUCCAAUACAAACUCUACCUAAGAGCUUGAGUCACAAACUCACGAACGUCUAGAGAGUGCUAAAUAUAAUGUCUGAAUAAAAACAUAAUUCUGUUUAUUCUGGUACAAAGGAUAAAAAACUAAGUAAAAAUAGAAGAGGCUCCGGGCCUGCGGACGUCAGCAAGGCUACCUCGGUCUCUCUGGACUGAAGGUCAGCUCCCAACCUGCUACUACUGUCCAAAAGUUGUUGCUCCUGCACUAUGAUCUAUGCAAAAAGAUGCACAGAUGUAGCAUCAGCACAACCGAACUCAUGUACUGAUAAGUGUCUAGCCUAACCUCAGCUAAGCUGUGACGAGACUAGACCGGACUACCAGAUAAACCGUUGCAGUUAUGAAAUAUAUUGCGGAAAAUAAAUAGGAAAUAAGCAUUUUAUAAAGGGAGGGGGAAACAUGUUGAGGGGAGGCAAUAAUUAUAAACAAGACGUCUAAAUUUAAAGAUAGAACAACCAACAGAAACUUAAAUCCAGAAUAAACACACUUAAUUUAUAACUUGUUGCGACGCGCAACCCAAUCCAAUCACAUAACAAUACUGUUGUGGUGUGCAACCCGAUCCAUAAUUAUUAUUGUUACGGCGUGCAACCUGAUCCAUAUGUAUGUAUGUAUGUAUGUGUGUGUGUGUGUGUGUGUGUGUGUAUAUAUAUAUAUAUAUAUNNNNNNNNNNNNNNNNNNNNNNNNNNNNNNNNNNNNNNNNNNNNNNNNNNNNNNNNNNNNNNNNNNNNNNNNNNNNNNNNNNNNNNNNNNNNNNNNNNNNNNNNNNNNNNNNNNNNNNNNNNNNNNNNNNNNNNNNNNNNNNNNNNNNNNNNNNNNNNNNNNNNNNNNNNNNNNNNNNNNNNNNNNNNNNNNNNNNNNNNNNNNNNNNNNNNNNNNNNNNNNNNNNNNNNNNNNNNNNNNNNNNNNNNNNNNNNNNNNNNNNNNNNNNNNNNNNNNNNNNNNNNNNNNNNNNNNNNNNNNNNNNNNNNNNNNNNNNNNNNNNNNNNNNNNNNAUAUAUAUAUAUAUAUAUAUAUAUAUAUAUAUAUAUAUGUAUGUAUGUAUGUAUAUAGAGUAUUGUUGCGGCGUGCAACCCGAUCUACAAUUAUCAUUGUUGCGGCGUGCAACCUUCCGGGACCGUCAAAUCAUGGGUCUGGGUCCGUUUACCCAAAAUAUUGACCAAAGUUAACUUUACUCAUUUUAAUACCAAAUUUUUGCAUUUUUCACAUAAUUUCACAUAUAAGCUUUCCGAUUACGCGUCCGGACUGCACAUGCAAAUCGAGGCAAGUACAAAUGAGGUUUUCAAGACCUCGUAAGCACGAAAAAAGGAAGAAAAUAGGUAAUGACCUUUUGGAUCGUCACGGAUGGCUAUAUGUCUAAUAUAUAUGUCAAGUCAAUAACAUAAUAUAUAAUUCAUCAGGUAGGCUCACACUCAGCACACUCGUGAUGCCUGGAACAAGUUCUCAUCCUAAUCACACACACAAUCAACUCAACACUGUAUGGGUGCCUAGAGCAACUGCCCCUCACCAAAGCUCAUAUAUGAUAAAAAUGGGCAACCUUGACCAAACAUUGAUCGAAUAUAAGCCAACAAUCAAUAUAACUAUUGCAACAUGCAACGUGGUCCAAAUAUCAAACCAUUGUAGCAUGCAAGCCGAUCAAAAUAUCAAUCACAAUACCACUUUAUGGCUUACAUGAGUCGUCAACCGCCUAAGUCUCAUUGGCUCAUGUCUCAUUGGACUCAGCCCAAAUUGUAUCACAUAUAGCAGGCAUUAAAACCAUGUGAUAUUACAUUAAAAAUAAUAUAUAGAGACUGAGAUAUAACAUGCAAAUAAAAAAUUUGACUGAGAAUAUGACUACUAUCAGUGUGAAUGAUAAUAUGACUGUUAUUAUUUGAUGAUUUUAUUGUCAUGGUGGAUUUACCAUGUUGAAUUGAUGCAUCAUGUUUUGUAGGAUUGAUGGCAUUGCACUUUGUUAUAUUUUUGUUGCUAGUUAUUAUCUGUAUUGCACAGAUUUUUCUGAUUAGUGAGUAUCACAUGAUUUGGGUCUCGUCACUACUUUAUCGAGGUUAGUCUUGAUACUUAAUAAUUAUAUGCUAUCAUGUAAUCAUACUAUACUUCUACAUAUCAUAAUAUAGAUCCGGGCGUCGGUAGUAGUGGACCUCGGUAGUGAGCUUUUGACACCUUCAAGAGGAUUCUAAGUUAGUGAUGCAUAGAUGUUGCAGACCCUUGGAGCCCCUUCCCUCAUCAUAUUGUUGUAUUACUUUCAAACAAGUUGUAUUUUUGAGACUCGUAGUGUAUUUUGUUUAGAACUCGUUACUUUGUACUGUCUGAUUUUGGGAGUUUGACUUAUGUACUACUAUAUUGGCUUUGUUAGAGUUUUAAUUUAUUGUUUAUGUUAAAUUCAGACCUAUUAUAUUUUAUUUUGUUGUUUUUGGUAUUACUAUGUAAUUGUCUCACUUAAUUUUGAAGAAUAGGUGUCAUCACGAUCUUAAGUGAGAUUAUGGAUAGUGACAUAAUUGCAUUUGAAGUAAAUUUGUAUGACAAAAAAAAGUUUUAUCAAUCGUAAAGAAAAACCUAAAAUAUCAAGAGACACUUUACUUGUUUAAGAGCAUAACAAGAUGAGUAUAUUAUAAGUACCAUUGUUAUGACGUCGUCUUUGUUUAAAUUUGGAAAUUAAUUUUACUACCCCAUUGUGAAAGAGUUUUUACCUUUUAGUUUUAUAUAAUUAAUAAAAGUAUUGAUGGUGAUAUCCAUUAUAGUGAUUAUUAUAUUUCUUCACCUUUUAAAUGUCAAAUAUUGUUCAAACCACUUGAAGGAAAUUUGCAUGAUAAAUUAAAAAAUUAAUAUUGUGAGAAUGUCUUUUAAUUUAGUUGGCAUAUCAUUGGACUACCAUAAAGUGAAAGAACAUUCAUAUUUUACGGUAACAAAUCCGGUGUAACUACUAAAGUUUUUGCGAGAAUAUGUAUCACAAUGAUCACUAUGAUUCUUCGUCGUAUCAAUACAAAUGCUCAUUAGUAUUUACGAAUCUAACAUAAAUUUGUAUUGAUAUAGAUCUUAAUUAUUUAAAGGGAAAAGAGUCAGAACUGCCCCUAACGUAUUGACUCCAGGUUAAAAAUGCCCUCCGUUAACCUAUUUUGAAGAAAAUGCCCCUACCGUUAAAAAUNNNNNNNNNNNNNNNNNNNNNNNNNNNNNNNNNNNNNNNNNNNNNNNNNNNNNNNNNNNNNNNNNNNNNNNNNNNNNNNNNNNNNNNNNNNNNNNNNNNNNNNNNNNNNNNNNNNNNNNNNNNNNNNNNNNNNNNNNNNNNNNNNNNNNNNNNNNNNNNNNNNNNNNNNNNNNNNNNNNNNNNNNNNNNNNNNNNNNNNNNNNNNNNNNNNNNNNNNGCAUUUUUUUCAAAAUAGGUUAACGGAGGGGCAUUUUUAAACUGGAGUCAAUACGUUAGGGGCACAAAUAUGCCAGCAUUUUAACGGUAGGGGCAUUUUUUUCAAAAUAGGUUAACGGAGGGCAUUUUUAAACUGACGUCAAUACGUUAGGGGCAAUUCUGACCCUUUUCCGUUAUUUAAAUACCGAUUAUUUUUAUGUUGUAUAUAACAAACGCACGUAUGCGAGUAGAAAACCUAUUAUGUUAUAAAAAUUAUGUGACAUUAUUGAAUUCAUUAAUUGCAGGCUUGAUAGGGCAAUAAUCAGUAUGUAACCUUUAGUUCUUCAGUUAAAAAAUUUACAAAUACCUUUUCUCGAUAUCUAGUUUUCAAUUAAUAAAUGUUGACCUCACAUUUUUCUGAGCCUCGGCCAGAUAGAAUUGCAGUAUCCUUGGUGGUUGGAUGAAAUUCUAACUUCACAUCCCGACACGAAAUAGACAUUCUAUACUUUUGUGACCAUCCUUCUCUUGGAAAAUACUUAACCCAUCCAAUAAUCUUCACAUUAACAAACAUGGGCAGUUUUGAUUUCCAUCUACUUAACGUGGCUGCAGAAACAUAUUCAUUAGAGAUUAGGUGUAGAUGCAAAGGUAGCAUCAAUAAUUUUGGUGUUGUUUAUUCUUUGUAGAUGCCGAAGGUCUAUUUGGAAACAGCCUCUCUACUCAAGGGUAGGGGUAAGUUCUUUGUACAUACUACCCUCCCCAGACCCCAUUAAGUGGGAUUAUACUGGGUUGUUGUUGUUGUUGUAAUAAUCAGUAUGUAACCCUUUAGUGCUUCAGUUAUAAACAAAUACCUUUCUCGAUAUGUAGUUUUCAGUUAAUAAAUGUUGACCUCACAUUUUUCUGAGCCUCGGCCAGAUAGAAUUGCAGUAUCCUUGGUGGUUGGAUGAAAUUCUAACUUCACAUCCCAACACGAAAUAGACAUUCUAUACUUUUGUGACCAUCCUUCUCUAGGAAAAUAUUUAACCCAUCCAAGAAUCUUGACAUUAACAAACAUGGGCAGUUUUGAUUUCCAUCUGCUUAACAUGGUUGCAGAAACAUAUUCAUUAGAGGUAAGUGUAGGUGUAGAGGCAAAGGUAGCAUCAAUAAUUUUGGUGUUGUUUAUUCUUUGGUAGAACCCGGGCAACGUUGUGGCUGAAAUGAUACUAUUUUUGUAUAAUAUUAUGAUAACAGAAUUCUCAUAUAAGAAGUCUUUUGUCACCUUUGCCAUAUAGCUACGGUUGUUAACUCUCAUGGUAAUGUUCCAAUUCCCUUUGAUUUGCAUGGUUGAUACAUUUAAGGAAGAGGCCACCUUAUCAAGCAUGAAGUCAUGUUCCAGGAUCUGGUCAUUUCUAUACAUUAUUGAAUCAGUUACGGCGUACACCACGCAUGAACACAAGGAUGGCCAACAUAAAUUGAUCGAAACCUCGAUUUCCGCCAUCCUCGAGAUCAUGAUCAUAUGCUAGAGCGCAUGGUUCGUGAGGAUCAAUUUCUCUUGGCUCGUGCGUUGCUACACUAGUGUAGCCUUCUUGUUUUGAACUACUACUUGUAUACAUGGUUGAAUUAAGAUAAUCCAAACAUGCAAAUAGAAAGGAAUAAAAGUUGGUAGUUGCUCAAACUUUCAUCAAUUAUUUAGGUUUGGCCUUGGAGAAAUAUGUGGGCAUUAAUAGAAAAGACAGGGAUAUGAAUGGGUGGCUUAAAAUUAGCACGAAUGGCGGUAUAAUUAACAAACUUCCUAUGCUACACAAUGAAUGUGUUUAUAAAGUGAACUAGAUUUAUUUAAGGUGAAUAACUAUUAAUUUUUUAUUAUUAUUAAUAGAGCCAUAGAGUAGCCUAAGGAGCUCGGGGCUCGGCUAGAUCUUGUCCUAUUGAAACUCAAUUCUGGCUCGAUUACAAUCAAAGCUCAGCUUGGCUAAGAUCAAUGUCAGCUCACUUGGCUCAAUUGAGUAAUGUUAUGAUUACUUUAAGACUAUUAUUCAUUCAUUUAGCUUAAUUUCUAUGUAUAUUAGAAAUAUGUUUAUUAAGAAAUAAUAGUAAUUUUGUAUUUCUUUAGAUUAUUUGAUGUUAUUAAAUUUUUAAUCCACAUGGUUACUUAAGGCUGCUUUAUGUUUUUUUUUUUUUGGAUAAAAGCUCUAUUCUUUGCUUAGUAUUAUGUUAAGUUUCUUUGCAUCUUUUUCUCAAAUAUACCACUAGAAGACAGUCCCCUCUAUUUAAAUGUACUCCAUGAAAUGAUUGUGCAUUACAAUAAGCAUGUAAAUAUGUGGCUACCACUAGAAGAGGAUCUGGUGAUGUAUAAAACAAGACCAUGCCGAUGCUAGUAGCACGUUCCAUUAAUCUAGUCAUGAAUACAUGUAGAAAUCCGAAUGUCAAAAUAUAAUUUUCUGCCAGUAGUUGGUGUCAUGAAUCCCGUCUAAAGAAGUGCUCAAGCAUAUGAUGUUCCUGCUAGGAUAACUUAAUAAAGCAAAAUAGUUUUUAUACAAAUGCAUCUACUGGAAUUGCCAGCUUGGCCAGAUUCCUCUAGGUUCUAUAAAAAAAAAACCCAGGUUGAGCAUGGGACCAUGCUAAUGCCACUAGGAAAAGUUCAAAUAGUCCCUGGGAAUAGAACACAAUAAUCAGCAGAGAGUGUUUUACCGACGGAUUCAACUGAACACAUAACUUUCAACACGGAAUAAAAAGUUAUAUAUAAAAAUUUAUUAAAAUAGUAGAUAUGCACCCGUAAUUUUAAAAAUAUAAUACGUUCAAUGCUAAAAUUAAAAGUUGAAUUCAUAGUAUUUAAAUCCUGAAUUCGUCUCUAAUAAACAGCAUAUCCUAAGCAUCCAAUUGAUUAGUGGCAUAUUUAUCAAUCAGGUGCUCUUCUCUUGGAAUCCUAAUCUUGAGAUUAGGGAUCUUAUCUUUGUCAAUAUUCAACAGUUUCCGAAGUUACACGCCCCUACCUCAAAUGCCACCCUAUUAUUGUAAAGACCACAUUCCUACUACGCAAAGUUUUGUCUAAUAGCAAAACUUGUACUAUUUUUACUCAGCCUAUCUAAGUUGUUUACAAGUUCUUUUGAAAAGGCAAAACUUGCAUGUUAUCAGAUUCAGCAAAGCAGAUGUACAAUUGAGCUCGAGUGGAGCUCCAACGGGACAAGCGGAGACUUGAAGGAGAAGACCGAAAACGAGAGCAUUUUCAAGAGGAAGGAAAAUGAAUUUGGAAAUGAAAGUCUCAAUCACAUUAGUUCAACUAAGGUGUAUAUAUACAAUGCAAAAGUAGAAGAGGGAAAAACUAACGGAGCCCAAACCCAACUAACCGACUAACUAACUUUAGGAAGUCUAACUAACUCAACCAACUACCUAACUGCUUGGUACUACUCGUAAUGCUAUAAGUACAACUACCCUAAACAAUUAUAAAUAAUACAAUACAAUAUUUGUAUCCUAAUGAUCUCAAUAACCCCUCCCCCCCCCCUCCCCAAGUCGGAGGUUAAGUUGUCACUGCCAACUUGCUGAAAAUAUUGAAAUGUUUGAUCCCAGUUAGUGAUUUAGUGAGAAUGUCGGCAAGUUGAUGAUUAGUCCUAAUAUGAUGUAGAGAAAUACGGCCUUCCUGUAGUUUGUUUCGAACAAAAUGACAGUCUACCUCAAUAUGUUUCGUCCGUUCAUGGAAUACUGGGUUCAUUGCUAUGUGAAGUGUUGAUUGAAUGUUACAGAAUACUGCAAUAGGACUGGAGAAAGGGACUGUGAGUUUUUCAAGUAGCCUUUGUAACCACACUAGCUCUCCAACCACUUUUCUGAUUGACAUGUACUCUGCUUCGGCUGAUGACAAGGAGAUAGUUUCAUGUUUCUUUGAUUUCCAGCUCAUAUGGGUAUCUCCCAACAGAGCAAUAUACCCAGUAACUGAUUUCCUGGAGUCUGGGCAUGAUGCCCAAUCAGAAUCAUAGUAUGCUCCCACAGUAUAAUCAACAUUCUUGGAGAAGAAAACCCCUAGGCUAGGAUCAACUUUCAAAUGCCUCAAUAGGUGAUAUGCUGCCUUUAAGUGUGAUUCCUUUGGAUCUUGCAUGAACUGGCUUAGAUGUUGAACACUAAAUAUUAUAUCAAGUCUUAUGUUGAUCAUAAAAUUUAAUUUCCCAACCAACUUUCCAUAACAGCUGGGAUCUGACGAAGGAGCACCUUCCUUUGCUUUUAAUUUCUCAUUUGGAUCAAGGAGAGAUGAUAACGAACUAUAGCAUUGAAAAGGUCAAUGACAAAUUUUCUUUGGGAAAUGAUGACCCCGUCAUCCUUAUAAAGAGUUUCAAGGCCAAGGAAAUACUAUAAUCUCCUUAGAUCUUUAAUUUUGAAGCUAUCAUGUAAAAACUUCUUCAAAAGCUUCAUUUCUUCAAGAUCUGUUCCUGUGAGUAUCAUAUGAUCAAUAUAUACUACUACAUAUAACAAGGAUUUCCAUUCUUCUUGCAUAACAAUGAAUAAUCAUGCAUAGAAUGUUCAUAACAUCUGGAGCAUGGUGCUUCUAUGACGACCCAAAGGGUUAUCACCGUAAUUAUCCCUUUCACCGUACUUUCUAGGCCUUGAAACCCUCUUAUUUGUUUGCCUCGAUUUGCAUGCACAGUCUGGGUGUGAAGCUGGAAAAUUUUUAUGUAGAAAUAUAUGAAUUUGGCGUUAAAAUCAUGAAUUUUGAUAAUAAUAUUGAUAUAGUUGACUUUGGUCAAUAUUUUAUGUAAAUGGACCCGGACCCAUGAUGUGACGGUUCCGAAGGGACCGUAGAAAAAUAUAGGACCUAAGUGUAUUCCCGUAAUCAAAAUCCGAGGUCCCAGGCCCGAGUACUUAAUUUUUGAAUGAAAUUAUUUACCUGAAAAUGACAUGAAAAAUUAAUAUGGAAAUGAGCUAGAAAAUAUAGGUAUCGGGCUCGUAUUUUGAUUCCGACAUUUGUUACAUGUCCUAAAUGAGCGUUAAGUGCUUUUUGUGAAAUUUGGUCAAAAUUGGACGUCGUUUGACAUAUUUCGGACUAAAUAUGGAAAAUUUAGAAAUUUUGAACUUUGAAAUGAAAAUCAUGAGUUUUGAGGCUUGAUUCUAUGUAAACGAUGUUAUUUUGGCGAUCUGAUCACAUAAGUGAGUCCGUAGGAUGUCUUGAGGUUGUGUGAACAUUUGGUUUGGAGCCCCGAGGGCUCGGGUGAGUUUUGGAUGAGCGUUGAGUUGUAUUUUUGAAUUUGGAAAGGAAGUUGCAAGUCUGGGCUGCAGUCUUCGCAUUUUCGAAGUAUUUCUCGCAAAUGCGAGUCUUUAGUCGCAGAAGCAAAGUCCGGGUGGCCUGUGCUGGGAUCGCAAAUGCGAUCUCUGAGCUCGCAAAUGCGGACGGGGCCGGAUCGCAAAUGCGAACAAAGGGGACGCAAAUGCGAAAACCCCUUGGCUGUUCAUGGUUCGGAAAUGUGAACUUCUUUCUCACAAAAUCCAAACCUGCAGGGUUUGCAACUGUGAACCCAGUCUCGCAAAUGCGUGAUCUGCAUCUGUGUAUUUAUUACUUAGACGAUUUCAAACCUCAUUAUUCAUAUUUUCAAUACACAAACACCCAUUGGAGAUUUUUCACGAACUCUCUCUUCUCCAAAUCAUUUGUAAGUCAAAUUUUACACAAUUUCUUAAAUCUUUAACAUAUUUCAUUAUGUUUUCAUCUCAAAAUCAGGUUUUCCAUGGGCAAAAAUGGGGAUUGAGGUAGAACCUAGGUUUUCUUAAAAUUGGGGAUUUGGACCUCAAUUUGAGGUCCAAUUUCAAAACAAUAUAUAUAUAUAUACACACACACACACACACACAUAUAUAUAUAUAUGAACUCGUAGGGAAAUGGGUAACCCGGUUUUGGUUUGAACCUCGAGUUUUGACCACGUAAGCCCGGGGGCAUUUUGGGUAAAAUUUUGGGAAAUUUAUUUUUAUGCAUUCAACUAGCAUUUGUUGAUACAUUUGGGUAACUUGUAACUAGAUUCGAGCGGUUUUGUUGCGAAUUCGAGGGGUGAAGCUAUUCUAGAGGCGUAAGUCGAGUUUGGAGCUUAAGAGGUAAGUGUUUGUUCUAACUUUGGCUUGAGGGAAUAGGAUUAGGACAAUAUUUGCUAUGUGCUAUGUGGAGUCGGUGUAUAGGUAUGAUGACGGUUUCCUAGCGUCCGAGUUUAUCAUGACCGUGAGCCGUAGUUGCUUCUAAAUUUGAAAGAUAUGAAACAAUCGAGUUAAUUACUUGCUAAAUAAAUUAUGAAGUGAUUGAUGAGAAGCAAAUGAGUUAAAGAAGGAAGUGUGGUAUUUUUCUCUUGCCGGGACUUAUUGUUGAUUCGUUUUCCCUUGCCGGGACUUAUUGUUGAUUGUUCUCCCUUGCCGGGAUGUUUAAUCUUGUUGUAUAUUCCCUUUCCCGAUUGGUUGUGACCGUUGAUUGGGUGAGGAAGAGAGAUUAUGAACGAGGGGUAAUUUCCAUGCCAUGUUUUGAUAAUUAUGCACGAAGGGUCUUUCCGUGCCAUGUUUUGAUAAUUAAGCACGAAGGGUCUUUCCGUGCCAUGUUUUGAUGAUUAUGCACGAAGGGUCUUUCCGUGCCAUGUAUUUUAUUAUUGGAGAACAAAGGGUCUUUACAUACCUUAAUGUGAGAGUUAUGUGAGGAAAAGCACAAAGGGUGGUGUCAUGCAUUAUAUUUGACAGUGUAAAAGCACGAAGGUUAGUGUCGUGCAAUUGUUGAUUUACUUGCUCUCUUUUAUUGGUGUUAAUUAUUCAGUUUCCAUCUCUUGUUCGUUAGUCUUAUAUCUAAAUUGUUACAACCCACAGCAUGUCCCCUCCCCAUUAUUUGUUUAAAUUUUGUUAUCUUUUCGUUAUUGCACAUAUAUCUGUACAGGUUGUUUAUGGUAGGUCCGGUCUACCCUCGUCACUACCUCGCCAGGGUUAGGCCAGGCACUUACCAGCACAUGGGGUUGGUUAUGCUGAUGCUACACUUUUGUGCUCUUUUUGUGCACAUAUUUGGGAGCAGCUUACGGACCGCAGCAGCAGUAGAUUGGGAGCGUGCCUUCCGUCCAGAGACUCCUAGGUAGUUCAUUGUCGUGCGCGGGCCCUGAGUCUCAUCUAUUUCACUUCUGUUUGUUUUCAUUGUAUCGAUGGUCCCUGAGUCUCAUCCAUUUCAUUUCUGUUUGGUUUCAUUGUAUCGAAACGGUCUUCUUAUGUAUUUUCUUUCAUACUCUUAUUUCUAGUAUUUCACAGUAGUCCGUGAGCAUUGUGACACUAAAUCUUGGGUAGAGGAUGAUGUUAAUUUUUUCGUAUUUUUUUCAUUUAAUAUUAAAUGGAUACUUCCACCUAAAUUUACUGUUAUCAUUAUUAUCUUGUUGAAUAAAAGUUGAAAAAAUUAAUGUUUAAGUUGGCUUGCCUAGCUCCGACAGUAGGCGCCAUCACGACUCCAGAUGGUGGAAAAUUCGGGUCGUGACAGCUUCUAUCAAUCUUGUAUACCAUUGUCUACUAGCUUGUUUCAAGUCAUAUAGAGACUUGUUUAACUUACAUACUAGUCCCGGUUCAGGUACUACUAGUCCAGGAGGGUCCUCCAUAAACACUUACUCAUUUAAAUCUCCAUGAAGAGAAGCAUUGAUUACAUCUAGCUAAAACAUGUCCCACCUUUUUCCGGCUGCUACUGUAAUGAGUCUUCUCACAGUGGUGAUUCUUACCACUGGUGAGAAGGUUUUUGUAUAGUCUAUUCCUCUUGUUGUGUGUAUUUUUUUAGUACCAAGCUAGCCUUAAGCCUUUCAAUAGUUUUAUCAACUUUAUGCUUUACUUUAUACACCCACAUGCAGCCUAUGGUUUUCUUCCCUCAUGGUAGUGGGACCAAAUCCCAUGUGUUAUUGGCAUGCAAAGCCUCAAACUCUUAUGUUAUAGCCACCUGCCAAGAAGGAUUGAUAGCUAUUUUUUCAUAUGAAGAAGGUUCAUUAUCUUGGCAGACACUUUGCAUCAAAAACUGACUAUCAUGGACUAGAACUUCAGGGGAAACAGAUUGAUGGUUUGACAAUAGUUCAUUUAAAGAUGGUAUACAACUAUUUGAACUCAAUUUAGGUAUAUUGUGAAUGUAAUCAUUCAGGUAUGCAAGUGUGUUGAUUUCUCUUUGGGUUCUUCUAAGAUUGGGACUAUUCUGAUUACUUGUUUGAGGAGAGUGAUUACUCAAAACUGGUUCAUUAAGGUUUGAUGUUGGAGAUGACUCUAGGAAUAUUAUUAUCAAAAAUAUGAUUGUUGUGGGGUGAUGUGGAUGUGAUGCUAGUAGGUGACAUUUCAUUGUUACUAAUGGGUGACAGAUCAUUGUCCAUGUGACUUGCACCAUCUGGAUUAUUUUCUAUAUUGGUUUGAACAGUGUUAUCAGUAUCAUCCAUAAAGUCAACAAAGGGGACACAUUUUAGCACAGAAGAAAAAGAAGAAACAUAUGGAAAAAUUGCAAAGGGAAAGAUAUUUUCAUGAAAAGUUACAUCUCUUGAGAUUUGAAUUUUCUUGGUAGCAAGACUCAGGACUUUGUACCCUUUGAUUCCAAAGGGAUAGCCUAUGAAAAUAUGUGGAGUAGCUCUAGGUUAACUUUUCCAUGUGUACUUUAGGUAAUGUUGGGUAACAUAGACAUCCAAAACUUCUCAUUCGAGAAUACAGUGGUUUCUUCUUGUUUAGGAUUUCAAAAGGAAAUUUGUUUUUAAGGUAUGUAGUGGGUAGUCUGUUUAUAAAUGUAGGUUGUUGUUAGCACACAGUAUCCCCAGUAUUUCAAAGGAAGAUUUGACUGGAAUAAGAGUACCCUAGUUGUUUCAAGCAGAUACUUAUGCUUUCUCUCCGCCACACUAUUCUGUUGUAGUGUGUAUGAGUAGGUUUUUGGUGAAUGAACCAUUUUGAUUGAAAAAAAAUGUUACUUUCUAUAUUGGUAAAGCCUAAACCAUUGUCUGUUCUUAUGGUUUUUAUGGUAGUUUUGAAUUGGUUUUCUACCAUUAAAACAAAAGCUUUAAUGAUUUGAGUUUCAUUACUUUUGCAAGCUAAAAGAUGUGUGCAUGUAGCUCUGCUAAAAUCAUCAACCAUAGUGAUGAAGUACUUGUAGUUAUCAUGAGUGGUAGUGUGAAAAGGUCCCCAAAGGUCUACAUGCAACAAUUCAAAAAUGUUACCGGAAGUGUUAGUUCUUUGAGGAAAGGGUAGUAUAUUUUAUCUGCACAUAGGAUAUAUUGAGCACACAAAAGGUUGUUUAGAAAAAAAGGUGACAUGUAUAGAUGUUAUUCCCUUAAUUUUCACAAAAGGAACAUGCCCAAGUCUAUUGUGUCACAGAAUAUCAUUCUCAUGAGAUGUAUAGGAAUUCAACGAAACAUAACUUCUGAUUUAUUUACAUAUGAGAGAACACUUACAGCAGUAUCACUACUAGUAGAUGCUAUUUUAUUCAAAUGGGUGAACCGACAAACAAGGAACAGAAGACUUAAGUAAAAUAGGGGAAGAACUGGCAUCUUUAUGUUUCAAGAAUUGAGAGUACAAGAGGUAAAGUCCAUCUACAUCAGUGAAGAUGCAACUCCUUUGGGGAGUAAGGUCAACAAAUGAAUAGAAAUGAGAUUGUUUUUAAAAGAAGGGGCAAAGAGGACUGUUGAUACCCAAUUUUUUUACUAUAUUUUCUAUAUGUAUAAAUACCCACAAAAUUGCAUAUACAUGCAUGUAUAAGCAUGUACGAGGUUUUUAUAAUUUAUUUCUAUAAUUUUGGAAUUUAAAUUGAUUUAUUUUCUUUCCUUUUAUUCAUAAAUCCCCAAUAUUAUUUCCCAAAUUAUUGUUAUGGUGAUUUAGUCAUUUAAUUUCUAUAUUUAUGUCAAAAUAUGAGUAAUAUAUUUAUAUGCAUUUUUAUAAUUAUAUUUGAUAUUUUUUAAGCUAAAUUGCAUAUAAUUUCAAUAUUAGCCCAUUUAAUAUUUAAUUACAUUUUAUAUGCGUAAAAUUGGGCCCUAUAUUUUUAAAAUGUUAUAUAUAUANNNNNNNNNNNNNNNNNNNNNNNNNNNNNNNNNNNNNNNNNNNNNNNNNNNNNNNNNNNNNNNNNNNNNNNNNNNNNNNNNNNNNNNNNNNNNNNNNNNNNNNNNNNNNNNNNNNNNNNNNNNNNNNNNNNAUAUAUAUAUAAAAUCAUUUUGGUACAUAAAGUAUCUUCCAGAAUUUGUUUAUUAAUUAUUAUAAAUUAAAAAGGGGGAAAUUGGCUAUUUAAAUUAUAGCCAGAUUUGUAUUUUGAUUAUAACCUAAAUUGAAUCCAACCCCCAGCCCAAUUUCAUACCCAAUUACCCGACCCAAAUCAUACACACACUUACCCGACCCAAAACCCGUGUGAUCAUGGCCAUUGAUCUGAAAGAUCAACGGCCUAUAUUGUUUCUUUCCUUUUUUAAUCCUAAACGACCCCUAACCCUAAUUCAUUAAGGUUCGUGUGAUCAUGGCCAUUGAUCUGAAAGAUCAACGGCCUAUAUUGUUUCUUUCCUUUUUUAAUCCUAAACGACCCCUAACCCUAGUCAUUCUCUACACACCUCUGCCCUGAAAUCCUCUAUCCUCUCUUCUCUCAACCUAACCCUAACCCGGUGACUACCCUUCAACCCCAAGCCUCCAAUGGCUCCUCCAUUGCUUCGCUCAUCUUCUCUGAGGCCUUCAAGGGCACCGGGCCAUGCCGACUUGCAUCUAGGGGUGCUGUUUUGGCUAUUCAUAGCUACUCUGGUGUGAUUUUGAGCAAAAUCAUAUUGUAUUAUCACGAUCUCUGAAGUUCUAAGUAGGUUCUUCCAUAUCUAUUUGGGUUUCUUUUGAAACCUUAAAUUUUAUUUGCAUCGGUUAGAUCUAUGCUAUUUUAAAAUGAUUCGAGUCUGUUCCUUUUAUGUUUUACACUAUUCUCGAACCGUUUUUGCAAAAAUCAUCUAUUUCAAGUUGUUUUUACUUUCUUUAAAGUUAGGGUUUUUGGGACUUCUAAUACGCUUUUUUUAAACCAAUUUUUAUGUUCAGACUUCAUCCUUUGCAUAUCUCGACCGAUUUACGGUCUUACUGCUUUUUCAACUUGCCUCUGUUAGAAUCCCUAAUAUUUCUAAAUUUUCUUUGUUUGGUUCUGUGUGUUAGCAUGAAUACUUAAUUCUUGUUAAAUUUUGUGGUUACCGUGCUUUGAAUAUAUUCUUACUGAGUUCUUAGCCUAACUUAUACCACCUUCAUGUGAUUAUGUUCGUCGAUUGUCCAAGACUUGCCUCUUUCUAUUGUUAACCAUGCUUGUUUGCUACGACUAAUUGUUCUUACUCUGUUUAUAUGUUGAGUAUGGAAUCAUAACUUCCUCUUGAUUGUUUCUUAUUUCCUUAUUGUAUGGUUUGAUUGAAAAAUUUUCUUUUAAAUCCUAAAUUUCUACCUCGCUUGUUUAAAUUAACUGAUUUUCCUACCUUAUUUGUUGUGCUACUCUAGUCUUACUAAACCAUUUCCAUAAUUGGAGUUUUCUAAACUUAGCCCUAAUUGUUUGCCCUAUAUUUUACAAAAUUUGAUUCUUUCCUUAUUAGUCAUAUACUGAUUUCUUGCCUUAUAUGCUAUUGGUUCUUACCGUUUGAAUUAAUUCCCUCAAAUGGGUACUUACCUUGAUUUCCUGACUAAUUGAUUCUGAGUUUCUUAAUUACUAAUGGACUUUGAUUUCUACCUUAUUUACUACCUGCUUUCAAACUAUAAAUACCCUAGUCUUUCAUUAGCACAACACACGAACACUCUUGGUUCAAAACAAUUUCUCGCACUUAAAAACUUUCUGCUCCCUUUUGUGCUACUUGCUACUGCUCCAAGUUAGCAGGCUGCAAGCCAAGGCUAACCAUUAUAUUCUCUUGUUCUUUCACUCUGCUUACUAUCCUCUUUACUUGUAUGUUCUGGUUUCAAUUAAAAGUUCUAACAACAAUAUAAUUUUCUUAUUUCUUCAGUUCAUUUUGUUUCUAGUUUGCUCCUAUUUAUGGUUUUGUUGUGAAACGUUAGUUGAUGGUGACAUUAUUAGCAUGUUAUUAUGUCUUCCCCUCCAUUGAGAUCAGUGUAUCCCCCCCUUAUGUGUGUUUCUGAGCAUGUCUUACCAGUUAUCUCUUACUUGUUGUGUACUUACCAUCAUAUGCUCCAUGAAUCCACAAAUCCCUAUCAUCCCCCCCCCCCCNNNNNNNNNNNNNNNNNNNNNNNNNNNNNNNNNNNNNNNNNNNNNNNNNNNNNNNNNNNNNNNNNNNNNNNNNNNNNNNNNNNNNNNNNNNNNNCCCCCCCAUGUGAUUUUGUUCUUCAUGUCUGGUUUUGUGACUAUGCUAGGUCAGGUGUUUCUGAGCAUGUCUAUACCAAUUCCUAGACCUUUGCUUGAUUAUGUGUUUGCAAUCAAGUGUUCUAUGUAUCCUAAACCUCUUGACCCUUUUGUGUGACUACUGAAUUUACUUUGUUUCUAUGACUACUGGCUAUGUAGAAACAUGUCCUAAUGUUUUUGGACUUCUGUUCAUUUCUUCAAUCUAUUUUCAAACAGUCUCUAUUGUUGUACUAAAUUACUUUCACAUAGACUUUUGUUUUAAUAUAAUUUUUCACUAAAACCUUUCAACUUGUGUCAAUCGCUUUUACUCUACUCCUAAUUCAAUAAUUUUUGCCCCCUCCAAUAUGUCUACUGCCUUGGGAUCCUUUUGAGAACCCUCUGAACUUUUGCAUACUGAGUUUGGCCCUUCUACACUACACUUGUUCAAUUUUUGGUUACCAAGUCUAGGUGUAAACACUGCCCAGAAUCCUUGAGAUCCUUAGGGAACUUUGAUGCACCUAAACUAUGUCAUUGUCUAUGGAAUUGAGGCAUUUGAUUCCAUUGGAAGCUUUGGGAAUCUGGGUCUAAUCGAAGGCCCCUUAUAGAAUAGCUUCUUAUUUUCUUAUAGUAACGACCUGACCCGUCGUCCCGUGAAUUAUCGCCAUGUUUUCCCUGUUCUAUGCUUCUAUAUGUUUAAUUAUAUGUGUUUGGAGAGUUUGAAGAAAUUCGGAUGGAGUUUGGGUAGAAGUGAGACAAUUAGUCUCUUUAUAAGAAGGUUAGUUUGGAAAAGUCAACCGAAUGUUGACUUAUAAGUUAUAUGGCUCGGAAUGGAUUUCCGACAAUUCGACUAGUUUCGGAUGGUGAUUUGUGACUUAGGAGCGAAAUCGGAACUAAAUUUGGAGGUCCGGUGUAGAAUUAGGCUUGAAUUGGCUAAGUUAGAAUUUUUAUGAGAAGGAGAGUUUGGAAAAAAGUCAACCGAAUGUUGACUUAUGAGUUAGAAGGCUGGGAAUGAAUUUUUGAUGAUUCGACUAGUUUCGGAUAGUGAUUGGUGACUGAGGAGUGAAGUCGGAACUGAAAUUGGAGGUACGGUGUAGAAUUAGGUUUGAAUUGGCUAAGUUAGAAUUUUGGCAAAGUCUGGUUGAUAGGUGAGAUUUCGAUACGGUGGUCGGAAUGGAAUUUUGACAGUUGCAGCACCCGUUAGGUGAUUUUGGAUAUGCGUGCAAAAUUUAGUUGUUUCGGAGGUGUUUAGGUCGGAUUUUUGAUCGGAUGCGAGUUUUGGAAGUUCUAAUUAAACUUAAGCUAUGAUUUGAAGAAAAUUUGAUGAUUUUGAUGUUAAAAGUAGUGCUUUGAUGGCUCGAGCAAGUUUGAAUAAGAUAAUAGAACUUAUAUGUGCCUUUGGUUGAGGUCCCAGGGGCCUCGGGUGAGUUUCGGGGUGGUUUCGGACCAUUUCUAGGCCAUUUUAACUGCUGAAUUUUUGUCUGAAGCAGUGUUCUAUGCGAUCGCGUACAAUAAUUCGCGAUCGCGCUGAGUAAAAUGUGAGAAACUUGCCAGUGAAUCGCGAUCGCGUAAGGCCCUCCGCGAUCGCGGAGAAGAAAUUUUCUAUUGCAUUGAUCCCACUUCAGAAGCUUAUAUCUCACAAUAUAGAAGGAAUUUAGAGAUGAUGUAAAAAUAAAAGUUGUAGCCCUUUGUGUCUAGUUUCUGGAAAAUUGAAGAAACAAGUUGUAUUGCACAUGGGAUGACUUUGACGGAUCAUAUCUAGAAAUAUGUAAGGAAUUGGGAAAUAAUCAACACAUGAAAAUUGUAGAUCUUCGAGUCUAGUUUUCAGAACAUUCAACCAUUUGUCAUUUAGAGUUGUGUGCAAAAUGUUAUGGCCAUUAUACUAGAGACUGUCCUGAAGAGCUAGGCAUUUGUUCUCUGCGAUCGCGAAGCCUCGCCCGCAAUCGCGAAGGGUAAAAUUUGGGCUGGAAAAAUUGCUCUCUGCGAUCGCGAAGCAUUUUCCAUGAUCACGAUGAAUAAAUACCUGGGUAGAAUGUUUUAAAAUCAUGUUGUUCGUGAUUUUGGGUCUAUUUUCACCCAUGGCUGCCCGUUUUUGGAGAAUUUUGGAGGAAAAGAAGGAGGGAUUAUUUGGUUUCUUCCGAACCUAUCAAGUAUUUUCACUUUAGAUAAGCUUUAAUAGGAAAAAAAUGAUGAAACGUUUGGUGCUAGGAUGUUCUUUGAGGUAACAAUGUUGGUCUCAAUACUCAUUUUUAUUGUGAAAUCCAUCUAGAAAUUUAUGGAAAUUUGGAAAAAAUGGGAAGAACUAGGGCUUGAGUUUUGAAAUUUUAUAUUGAGGAUUUGAGGGGUCAUUUGAACUCCGAUUUUAGCAUUCUUUAUAUGUACGGACUCGUGGCGAGACGAGGAAUCUAUUGAUAUGACUUUUGUAAUUUUUUGAGAAGCGGGCCCGGGACUCGGGUUUUGCGAGUUUCGAGGUUCUUGCUAUAUUUCGAUUGUUUUUGAUUGGGUGUUGUCCCAUUAGCAUAUUAUGAUAUAUUUGUACUGAGGUAUUGUCCCAUUUGCAUAUUGUGAUGUAUUCGCCCUAUUUUUUGUUAGAUUUGAUGUGUGUGGAGGCCGAUUUUAGGGGCAAAGGCGUCGCGAGCUUGAGAUUUCGCUGGUUGGAGGUGAGUAAUACAUGAGAAUGAUAUCCUGAGGGUUUGAAACCCUGGAUUUGCACAUCUUAGUACUAUAUUAUGGUGACCUGCACGUUGGACCUGCGCGUGGGGUAGAGCACCGUUGGGAUUGUGACUUGGUCCGUCCCGGUUAUUGGUUUUUACCGCUAAAUUGUAAAUGUUUUGUUGUUAUCAUUAUGACUUGGGCUCAUUGCCAUACUUGGGGCUUAUUGCCGAUUAGUUGAAACCCCGGUAUAUCACAUUGUGACAUUAUAUGAGGCGAGACACGCACUCCAUGGCUAAUGCGGGGUCAUAUAUGUGGGAAAUUGUGACUCGGUUCAAUCCGAGGGAUGAAUUAUACAAUAUUGGCGAUUGCGUCGCACCCUAUAUUGAUGUUAUUUGGGCUUGCUGCCAUGUUUGGGGCCUUGUGCCGACUUGUAUAAUCCUUUAGGGAUUGAUAUAUCAGAGUUAGCACAAUUUGCAUACUAUUCGAAUUCAGUCCAGGGUUUUUAACACUAUCCUUGCAAACUCAGCUAAAAUUCUAUGUUUUGAAAACACAAAUGAUAUUUCGGGCUGACGAUCAUUACCUCACUAUUUUUUGGACUGCAUAUUGUUUCAUGUAAAUGGUGGUAACUAUUGGCACCGUGUAUUGAAAUGGAAACGGUGGUAACUAUUGACACUGUGUAUUGAAAUGGAAACUGGGGUAACAAUUGGCACCGUGAAUUGUAAUGAAAAUAGUGGUAACUAUUGGCACUGUAUGUUAUUGCGCUUGAGCUGAAGGAGCCCCUCCAGAGUCCGAACCCCACAGUGAGUGUCGUCAACGUUAAAUCAUAUGCAUGGUUGGCUCGGACUGCAAGUUGCAGCGUAUUCAUGUGCAUUGCCUUCAUGCAUUUACUCCUGUUUGUACUGUGUGGCAUGACAUUUAGCACUCAUAUAUCGUUGGCAUACAUACGGUUACUUGCCUUCUUGACCAGAUAACCUGGUGUUAUAAGUUAAGGAGUGUUGAGCCCUUGAGGCUGAUGUUGCAUAUUGUGAGUUGACAUUGAGCCCGAGGGGUAGGUUUCUGAUUAUUUCCUACUUGUUGAAAAUACCUUUGAAAUUUUUGAAAAAGCAUAUUUUAUAAAGAGAUUUUGAACAGAACUUGGGAUUUUCUAAAGGUAUUUUUCACAGUAUUUCGGUUUUUCUCAAAAAGGGUUGUUCUAUCUUUUAUAGCACUUUGGUUUGCUCAAACGUGUUUUCUUAUCGCUCAGACAGUAUUCUCUCUUAUUACCACUGAGUUGGAAGUACUCACUUUACUCCCUGCAACUCGCGUGCAGUUGCAUGUAUUGUUCGCCCGGUAGCGGGUUAUUAGCAGAUUGAAGGAUGGUUAUCAUAGCUUAUCCAUGUGACCGCUAGCAUUCGCGGCACCGGAUCUUCUCCCUUAUUUUAUUUUGUUCAUAUUAAUUUCAGACUUGUAGUUCUUUAGCGAAUUCUGUAGUAGCUCAUGACUAGUGACACCCCAAUGUAGGGCUGUUACGGGAUGGUUCCCAAUUGGUAUUAUUGUUUUUCGCACUUUUGGUUAUGCUAGUCAUGUUUUAGCUUUAUAAAUGUUAAAUAACUAUUAAAAGGAAGCGUCUGUUUUGUUGGCUGGCCUUGUCUUAACUAGAGGCGCCAUCUCGAUCGGGUUUGGGAUUUAGGUCGUGACAAGUUGGUAUCAGAGCCUAGGUUACUAGGUCUCACGAGUCAUGAGCAGGGUUAGNNNNNNNNNNNNNNNNNNNNNNNNNNNNNNNNNNNNNNNNNNNNNNNNNNNNNNNNNNNNNNNNNNNNNNNNNNNNNNNNNNNNNNNNNNNNNNNNNNNNNNNNNNNNNNNNNNNNNNUUUAGGAAAACUUCCCAUUCUUGAAAUUCUUAUCGUGCGUACUUGAUUCAGUUUGAGAUAACUCUUGAAAUUCCUUCCGCACGUUUGUAUGCGCACGUGAGCGCUCAAUAGUAUAUGUGCCUGGAUGGCUUGUGAUUUCCUGAUCGAGGGGUGAGAGGUAAUCUCUGUGAGUUUAUGUUGGGCCAGUCUGGAGGACUCGAGGCCGUAUAUUUGCCUAUGGUUUGAGCACCGAGGUGCUGAUUGAGUGAGCAAGUAUUUCGAACUUAUAUGUUCAGUGUUGUCCUUAUUAGCUAGAAUGGCGGCUGGAUUUCCAUGUGAUGAGUAUGUUAGUACCGUGGGGUGCAUAUAUGUGAUCUUGGUAGUGACGAAUGAGUCUGCUGAAUAAUAGAUGAGUUGUCGAGUGUUCAACUCCUAUUAUGCUUUUAUGUAUAGUCCGAGUUAUGGGCGCGUGAAGAAUAUUUCAUGUCUCUUAGUAGGCAAGUAAAGUACAUUCCAGGUGGCAGUAUGAGUAUAGACUCAGAAAAGACUAAAUGGCUGUGUAUUACGUAUAUGAUGAUGGAAGGAAUGUGUUGUAUUUCGAAGUAUUGGGACGCUUAAGAAAGUCGACUCAGCUGAUAUGGAAAUGAAUGUGAGGUUUGUAGAGAAUAUCAGUGCUAGAUGAUCUGUGUAUUCACAAAAUUGUAAAUGACUUGAGUUUAAUUCUCUCUAUAAUGUUGUGAUUUCAUUAUAGUAAAAGUAUUAGGAUUAUUGAGUGUGUCCUGGUAUAUGGCUUCGAGCCAAGUUGGGGAGGUUGCUUUGGAUUAGCUGAUUGCAUUGUUGUUUGCUAUGGUUGGUUCUGUUUCAAGGUAUGUUGGCGAAUCAAGUCUGGUCGUAGGAGUUGAUCCGAGAAUGGCGCGUGUGAAGGAAAAUUUUGAUAAGGGAUAUAUGGUGCUUCGUAGAUGUGAAGAAAUAUUAGGAUGUCUGAAACUGUCGUUGAUAAAGAAUGCUCAGUGCAUAGGGAAGGAAAAUGGUUGUUUAUAUCUGUAUGAGAUCAUGUUCUGCGGUGUCAGAGUACUAAUAAGGUACGAGUGGUUCUGUUCGUUAAGGCAGGUAAAAUUUAGUUUUUCAAAAUUGAAUGACUCUCGAUAUUGGUUUUAUUGUGUCCAAGAUUUUGCAUGUAACAAUCAGGUGUCUUAUGUUUGUGUAUGUGGCUGGAGGCUGUGUUUCCAUUCGAACAGGUCAAGACUUGUGGUAUUUUUACGUCAAUUACGGGAUUAUAUGUAUCAGUAUUUGGGAGGUAAAGGUAGCGGACUUAGAUUCGCAAGAUGUUCUUCAAAGUAGGGUAUUUUAGAAAUGGUAUGUUUGUGAAUGUUUGAGAGGGUAUUCAAUGGCCUAUGGGUCUUAGACAGUGUGGUUUCAUGUGCGAGUCUCGUGUGAUAACCUGGGUCGAGGUAUUGUGGGGCUACAGCAAAGGAGAAUAUCAAAUCAAAGAUGAAUCAUGAAGGAAAUUAGAUAAAUGGAAUAUCUUGAUAAUGAACCGAAUCGGUAUGGUAAAGAUAUGAUCAAUUCCUUGUUAUGUUCGAAGUAAUGAGCCCUUACGGGUAUUGGGUGCUAGAGCUUUUGAGCUCGGAUAUCUUGCUUAGGCUGGUGUGGAUAGAAGGAUUUCGUCCUGCCAGUAUAGCUUGUGGUUAGGAAAAUCUUUUGAGCUCGGAUAGCUUGCUUAGGCUGGUGUGGAUAGAAGGAUUUGGUUUUGGCAGUAUAGCUUGUGGUUAGGAAAAAGGGAGAUGGAGUUCUCAUGUUACCCUAGUAUAGUAUGGUAUGUGCGAUCUGUUAGGGAGGAUUGGGAUUUUUGUGUGUAAGGUAUGGUUCAGUUCUGAAUGGAAAGUGAUUAAAUUCUUACGCAGCUCGGGCAGCUGCAUGUAAUUUAAGAAGCAACCCUCAGAUGAUUAAGGAAAAUGGCAUUACUAUUCUAGUAAUUUGACGGGAGUAUACGUUCAGUAAUAGCAGAGUGGUUGUGUUCCAAGGACUAGCAGACGAUUGGUAGGAGUUGCUUUCCUUAAUUUAUCCUUUGAAGCGGGUGGCAGUGUAGAGGUUUCUGCCAAUGAUUCAGUUCUAACUGGUAGGAGUUGUUUUCCUUAAUUUAGCCUUUGAGGCGGGAGGCAGUGUAGAGGUUUCUACCAGUAAUUUAGUUCCGGCAUUAAGGUACUUUUCGUAUACCUGUUCCAGUCUGAGUCGACUCAGUUGGCUCUGAAUUUGUCGAGGGAUAAGUUGACUCGGUCAUUGCUGAGCUUAUCAGCGAUCUGGAGAGAUCUAUGAGUUAUUUUCUAUGUUACAAGACGUUAUGAUUUACGGACUAUAGGCACAUAUGAUGCGGCGCUAUCGAGAUUCAUAGUGGAAGUUGAGUUUUGCAACUUACACCGCCAUAAGUAGAUAUGAUUAUGCACUCAGUGUGCUUACGACCGAUACUCAGUAUUCUAUUAUAAUGAGAAAAUUCGGCUCAAUGUGCAUCUCCAUAGGUGAGAUAUUUGAGUGGACCAGGUGGCACUCCGCCACAGGAUAUGUUAUCUGGAUCAGGUUGCACGCCGCAACAGUGUGACGUUGAGGAUAGUUUUCGUGUGUUACUUUGUAUGCCUUGUUUCCUGGUUUUUGAGGAAAGUUCGUAUUGGGAGUUGCUCGGCGAAUAGAGCAUCGACUGGGUUAUUUCAGGAUUUAAUGGUGUAUAUAACUUGCUUCACCGUGGGUGUGAUGGAUUGCUUGUCUUUAGACAUCAAUCUGUGUGUGGUUGUCAAGUUCGAGUAUAGCGACUCGAGGUGCUUCAUGUGGAAUGGAAUUGGAUGAGAUCGCGCAUUAUAGCGAGGCUAUGUGGAGAAUAGACCCUUCGGGAAGGUUUAGUUUCUAUUCCUAUGAUGUGAGACGAGGUCUCAGCCUUGUGUUGUAAUGGUAUUGACGAGCUUAAGGUACAUCUCUUUCGUUUGAGUCGUUUUCAUGAUUUGAGUAUGUUGAGAUCGUAUCUUGUUGAUAUGGGUGUUAUGUAAGUUGUGGCUUUGGCCGUAUUGAUGUGUCAUGUCACCAGGAUGGUGUGUUCGGGCAGAAGAGACCUUUGGGGUCAUUAAUGGAUACGAACAGAUUUGGUUUUAGCUUGUCGGAAGGUUAAUAUUGAGUUGCGGCUCGGAGAUCUGUUGUGGUAUUAGUCAAAGGGGGAAGAAAUGUCUUCGUGAAUGGUUGAUCUGAGGAAUGACUAUGGUCUACUGCGUGCUCAUUAUCAUUGAUAGAGUAUAGCAGUGUUGGGAUAAGACCUUAGCUAAUAAGUGGUUCCUAUCGAUAAUUGAGUAUUUUGGGCAACUGUUGGGAAUUUGUGUGUUCAUUAUCAUUGAUGGAGUAUAGCAGUGUUGGAAUAAGACUCCAGCUAAUAAGGGGUAUUAUAGUCGGUUCGGGCUUAUUUUGAGUAUAAAUGUGAAGUUCUAGUCUUGUGUAUGGUUUCGGAGAUGCAAGGUGACUCUACGGUUAUGGUCUAGAUGGCCUGUGAAAUUUCAGCUAUGUUGUAUUAUCGGGCAUAUGUGACUUAGGGUGACGUGGGAUCACCCUGGGUAUAUGUUUUGUAAGGCCAUUCGAUAUUGGUUGGCCCCUAGUACAACUCUAAGCACGCUCGAGGACGAGCGUUUGUUUAAGUUGGGGAGGAUGUAAUGACCUGACCCAUCGUCCCGUGAAUUAUCGCCCCAUUUUCCCCAUCUUAUGUUUCUAUAUGUUUAAUUAUAUGUUUUUGGAGAGUUUGAAGAAAUUCGGAUGGAGUUAGGGUAGAAGUGAGACAAUUAGUCUCUUUAUGAGAAGGUUAGUUUGGAAAAGUCAACUGAAUGUUGACUUGUGAGUUACAGGGCUCAAAAUGGAUUUCUGACUAUUCGGCUAGUUUUGGAUGGUGAUUUGAGACUUAGGAGCGAAAUUGGAACUGAAUUUGGAGGUCCGGUGUAGAAUUAGGCUUGAAUUGGCUAAGUUAGAAUUUUGGCGAAGUUCGAUUGAUAGGUGAGAUUUUGAUCCGGGAGUCGGAAUUCCAUUCUGAUAGUUGCAAUAGCUCCGUUAGGUGAUUUAGUAUGUAUGGGCAAACAAGAGAUUUUGAUACGGUGGUCGGAAUGGAAUUCCGACAGUUGAAGUAGCUCCGUUAGGUAAUAUUGGAUAUGCGUGCAAAAUUUCAGUUGUUUCGUAGGUGUUUAGGUUUGGUUUUUGAUCGGAUGCGAGUUUUGGGAGUUCUAAUUAAAUUUAGGCUAUUUGAUGAAACAUUGAUGAUUUUGAUGUUAAAAGUAGUGUUUUGAUGGCUCGAGCAAGUUUGAAUAAGGUAAUAGAACUUAUAUGUGCCUUUGGUUGAGGUCCCGGGGGCCUCGGGUGAGUUUCGGGGUGGUUUCAGAUAAUUUCUAGGCUAUUUUAACUGUUUGUCUGAAGCAGUGUUCUAUGCGAUCGCGUACAAUGGGUCGCGAUCGCAGUGAGUAAAAUGUCAGAAACUUGCAGGUGAAUCGCGAUCGUGUAAUACCUUCCGCGAUCGCAGAGAAGAAAUUUUCUAUUGGAUUGAUCCCACUUCAGAAGCUUAUAUCUCACAAUCAUUAAGUAAUUUGGAGAUGCUGUAAAACUAAAAGUCCUAGCCCUUUGUGUCUAGUUUCUGGAAAUAUAUAUUAUUAAUGAUUUGGAUUUGUGUAAAAAAUGAUAUAGCUAAUAUACUAAAGGGUGUCCGGGAAACUGAUGAAACAAGUUGUAUUGCACAUAGGCUGACUUUGACGGAUGAUAUCUAGAAAUAUAUAAGAAAGUGGGAAAUGAUCAACACAAAAAUUUGUAGAUCUUUGAGUCUAAUUUUCAGAACAUUCAACCAUUUGUCAUCUAGAGUUGUGUGCAAAAAGUUAUGGCCAUUAUACUAGAGACUGUCCUGAAGAGCUGGGCAUUUGCUCUCUGCGAUUGCGAAGCCUCUCCCGCGAUCGUGAAGGGUAAAUUUUGGGCUGGAAAAAUUGCUCUCCACGAUCGCGAAGCAUUUUCCGCGAUCGCGAUGAGUAAAUACCUGGGCAGAAUAUUUUAAAAUCAUCUUGUUCGUGAUUUUGGGUCUAUUUUCACCCAUGGAUGCCCGUUUUUCGAGAAUUUUGGAGGAAAAGAAGGAGGGAUUCAAAGGGAAACAACUUGAGGUAAGAAUCUUGGUCUCAAUGCUCGUUUAUAUUGUGAAAUUCAUCUAGAAAAUUAUGGAAAUUUAGCAAAAAGGGGAAGAACUAGGGCUUGAGUUUUGAUAUUUUAUAUUGAGGAUUUGAGGGGUCAUUUGAACUCCGAUUAUAGCAUUAUUUAUAUGUAAGGACUCGCGGCAAGACGAGGAAUCCAUUGAUGUGACUUUCAUAAUUUUUCGAGAAGCGGGCCCGGGGCUUGGGUUUUGCUAGUUUCGAGGUUCUUGCUAUAUUUCGAUUGUUUUUGAUCGGGUUGUGUCCCAUUAGCUUACUAUGAUAUAUUUGUACUGAUUUUUAUUAGAUUUGACGCGCGUGGAGGCCGAUUUGAGGGGCAAAGGCGUCGCGAGCUCAAUAUUUUGCCGGAUCGAGGUGAGUAAUACUUGGGAAUGAUAUCCUGAGCGUUUGAAACCCUGGAUUUGCACAUCCUAGUGUUGUAUUGUGGUGACUUGCACGCUGGACCUGAGCGUGGGGUAGAGCACCGUUGGGAUUGUGACUUGGUCCAUCCCGAUUGUAGGUGUUUACCGCUAAAUUGUAAAUGUUUGUUGUUAUCAUUAUGACUUGGGCCCAUUGCCAUACUUGGGGCUUAUUGCCAAUUAAUUGAACCUCUUGUAUAUCAAAUUGUGACGCUAUAUGAGGCGAGACAUGCACUCCAUGGCUAGUGCGGGGUCAUAUAUGUGGGAAAAUGUGACUCGAUUCAAUCCAAGGGAUGAAUUAUACUNNNNNNNNNNNNNNNNNNNNNNNNNNNNNNGUAUAUUACACUGUGACGCUAUAUGAGGCGAGACAUGCACUCCAUGGCUAGUGCGGGGUCAUAUAUGUGGGAAAUUGUGACUCAGUUCAAUCCGAGGGAUGAAUUAUACUAUACUGGUGAUUGCGUCGCAUCCUAUAUUGAUGUUAUCUGGGCUUGAUGCCAUGUUUGGGGCCUUGUGCCGAAUUGUAGAAUCUUUUAGGGAUUGAUAUAUCAGAGUUAGCAUGAUUUGCAUACUAUUUGUAUUCAGUCUAGGGUUUUUAACACUAUUCUUGCAAACUCAGCUAAAAUUUUAUAUUUGCAAACACAAAUGAUUCUUAAAUGAUAUUUCGGGCUGGCGAUCAUUACCCCAUUAUUUCUGGACUGCAUAUUAUUUCAUGGAAAUGGUGGUAACUAUUGGCACCGUAUAUUGAAAUGGAAACGGUGGUAACUAUUGGCACCGUGUAUUGUAAUGGAAUCAAUGCUAACUAUUGGCACUGUAUGCUAUUGCGCUUGGGCUGAAGGAGCCCCUCCUGAUUCUGAACCCCCACAGUGAGUGUCGUCGACGUUAAAUCAUAUGCAUGGUUUGCUCGGGCUACACGCCGCAGCGUAUUCAUGUGCAUUGCAUUGCAUUCAUGCAUUUACUCCUGUUUGUACUACGUGGCUUAACAUUUAGCACUCAUAUAUCUUUGGCAUACAUAUGGUUACUUGCCUUGUUGACCACAUACCCUGGUGUUAUAUAUUAAUGAGUGCUGAGCCCAAGAGGCUGAUGUUAGAUAUUGUGAGUUGAUAUUGAGCCCGAGGGGCAGAUUUCUGAUUAUUUCCUAAUUGUUGAAAUUACCUUUGAAAUUGUUGAAAAGCAUAUUUUAAAAAGAGUUUUUGAACAGAACUGGGAUUUUCUAAAGGGAUUUUUCACAGUAUUUUGGUUUUUCUCAAAAAGGGUUGUUCUGUCUNNNNNNNNNNNNNNNNNNNNNNNNNNNNNNNNNNNNNNNNNNNNNNNNNNNNNNNNNNNNNNNNNNNNNNNNNNNNNNNNNNNNNNNNNNNNNNNNNNNNNNNNNNNNNNNNNNNNNNNNNNNNNNNNNNNNNNNNNNNNNNNNNNGUGCCCAUACAUGUUUUCUUAUCGCUCAGAUAUUAUUCUCUCUUAUUACCACUGAGUUGGAAAUACUCACUUUACUCCCUGCACCUCGCGUGCAGUUGCAAGUAUUGUUCGCCCGGUAGCGAGUUAUUAGCGAAUUGAAGAAUUGUUAUCGUAGCUUAGUCAGGUGACCGCUAGCGUCCGCGGCACCGGAUCUUCUCCCUUAUUUUAUUUUGUUCAUUAUAAUUUCAGACUUUUAGUUCUUUAGCGAAUUCAGUAGUAGAUCAUUACUAGUGACACCGCGACGUAGGGCUGUGACGGGAUGGUUCCCAGUUGGUAUUAUUGUUUUUCGCACUUUUGGUUAUGUUAAUCAUGUUUUAGAUAUAUAAAUGUUAAAUAACUAUUAAAAGGAAGCGUCUGUUUUGUUGGCUGUCCUUGUAUUCACGAGAGGCACCAUCACGAUCGGGUUUGGGAUUUGGGUCGCGACACUUAUUUACUUAUGUAGUUCAUUCAUUGGUCUGUAAUAACUUGUAAACAAAUAUUGGAGUAUAUAGUGAAAGGGAUGGGUAGAUAUAUGUUUUAUGGGGUAGUACUGGUUGAAAUCAUGUUCAUAGGACUUUAUAUUUAAUCUGAGUACUUUAUCAAGUAGAAAUCAUGAUCAUAGGGCCUUACAUUUUUUCAUCUGACCAUGCUAGAUAUUAUGCCUAUAGUUUCCAAAUAAUCAUGUCUUCAAUGUCUUAAAAUCAGUUGAACUAAUAGAUGUCAUGCCAAUAGGACUUAAUCUAGAUUUUAUUAUGAUAAGUGUUCAUGUAUGUUUUCAUUGUCUUAAAAUCAUAUUAACUAAUAGAUGUCAUGCCAAUAGAACUUAAUCCCGGCUCUAUUAUAACAAGUGUUAUGUAUGUUUCCAUGCCUGCAAGUCUUUUAAAUCAGUAUCAAAUGAGGAUAUCAUUCCUAUUGGAAAUCAUACUUGAAUUCCUGCAUGUUAAUCUAAGCUAUCUGAAUAGGUCAACUUAGUCCAUGCUUAGUUCACUUCUGAGUUGGUUUAACUAAGUGCACCAUAUUUCUUUAAACAAGUUCUUUAAAACUACCUCAAUCUCAUUAGACAUCAUGCUUAUAAGUAUUACAGAAAAUCGAUGUCAAACCUAUUUUGUUUCAAAAUACAAAUGAGCUAAUCAAUACUUCGCGUAUAGGCAAGCCUUUAGGGCGUUUCCAAAACUGUAUUUCUGAAAAACAUUUUCUAUUUCUUAAUGUUUUCUGAUCCUGAUAGGCUUUAAAAAAUCCAUAGGCAACGGCUAGGGUCACUACUCCUGAGUUUCUAAAAAAUAAGUUUCUUGUUUCUGCAUAUUCACCUAGAUAUCCUGCCUUAGGACACUUAAUGGUGCUUGAGUCGUGUUGUGUAUGUGCUUGUUUGAGGAGGAAACUUUGAGCCUCUAAUUGCUCCCUUUUAUGUGCUGAAAGUCUAAAGAGUUUUGAUUGUCGCCUUAGAAUUUUCAACUUUUAAAACCUUAGGGGUCCGUCUAGAACCACUAAUAGGUAGAGAUCCUAACUCCUUCCAGGACUAUUAAGAAGGGACGGGUAGCAGCACGCAAUAGAGAUUGCUGACCAAACACUCGCUUUGCAUGACCACUAAGGGGAUGUGAAGGGUAAAUAUGGGAUAUAAUGACUACGCUCUAAUGUCACGUGUAGACACUCAUCAAGGAGUGUUUACCAGACAUUAUGUGGGGUUAUGCUAUAGGAUAACCAACAUAUGACCCAUCUUUACCCAAAAUUCUUAUUCUAUUUAAAACUUUUGCUUACAACUUUUGUUCAAAAAUAUUUAUUCUAUUACUUGAGUUAUCCAAUGUGCUUACUUGAAACCUAUUUGAUUCAACUAUUAUAUGGACUAAUUCGUGAAUAUAAGUCCAUCCAGGACCCACAGUUGUGGACCAAGAGGGGUGCCUAACACCUUCCCCUUGAGGUUACUUCGAGCCCUUACCCUAAUCUCUAGUAAUGCAAACCAAUUCAAGAUUUAAUUACUCUAGGUGCCCUAACGCACCAUAAUCUGUUAUAUAAUGACUCUUCAAAUACCCAAUUCCCAAAGAGGAAAUGAGUUAUCACACCCCAUGGAAUGUCAAAACCGGGACCUCUCUCCGCAAGGCGGAAAAAAGGGGGCGCGACAGCAUGGCAACUCUACUAUGAUACCAUUAGGCUCUUACCAUAAAGAACUUAUCUUUUACAAAUUAUUCCAAGCAUUCUUUAUCACAUACCCUUCUCCCUUAUUUGAAUUUAACUGCCCAUGUUUUAAUCAUUUACGAUUUCUUUAUUGCCCUUAAACUGACUUGUCUCUUUGUUUUUCUUCUUCCUGUAACUAUCUUUCAAUUAUUUAAAUGUUGUAUUAUUAUUUUUCCUAAUGGGCAGACAUAUACCAUAUCCCCAUGAUCAUAGCCAACACCUACACGCUUUGGAGCACUGUCAGAGAGGGGCCAAACAUUUUGAGGGUUGUAAUUUGUUGCUGCAGCUAUGGUUUCUGGAGCAUCUCCAAAAGGGUCACUAUCGUCAAGAAUUUCCACGAAGGGCUUGGAACGACCACAUUUCCUUCCAUCACCCUAAGCAGAUGACUUACAUUCCAAACAGAUUUGCUCAGCCAGAAAGCACCAGGGAAUGGGUAGAGUUCUUCGACAAUCUGACUGAGUUACAGGUGCAGUGUAUGGUUGAAUGGUUCCCAACAGACGAGUUUAUUACCAGGUCCAGGGAUGCUUCACAUUUGGUGAUGAUCGGGUUGAGAGGGAUAUAUUCAUAUGUCCUUAUGCAAGUUGUAAGGCAAUCAGGCAAAAAAUAAGUUGUACCAAGGGUUGUCAAGAUGAGUCAUUUCAGAGCGGAUUUCCAAGAUGAUGACGUCCCUUACAAGUGCCAAGCUUAGCAUAUGUGACACUGCAAAAUCAAUGUGGAAAAAAGAACUGUUGAGAUAGACAUAUAUCAUGCAUGAUGCGAGCCUCUCUACCCGACAUGGUUAGAGGACAAUCUGAAAUGAAUGGUGACACCAGGGACUAGUCAGGGAACAGAAUCAUAGACGAGGAAGAUGAAGCUCGAGUCAAAUACAAUAGGCUGCAAGAGGGUCCACGAAUCUGAGAAUGAGCAUCGAGAAAUACAUGAGAGGAACGUGAGGUUAAUCGAUUAGUGGAAAGAAAUGGCAAUCACUUCCAACAGAGAACGGGAAUAUCUGGAGCGAGGAAUAGGGAGCUGGAGGGCAAAGUCAUAAAAAGGAUUGAAAACUGCCAUAAUGCUAAGGGAGUUGAUGGAGGACAUCAGGCCAGAGCCUACUAGUUGCUAGGACUGCGCGAGCUGGGAGAUUUGUAUGAUGGAGUACGAAAGAUCGAAUCUAGGGAGGGUCCUUCAGGGAUCAAAUGGAUUAUAUUUACUUCCUUUCCUAAAAUUGUAAUAAGGCCAAGUGCCAGUAGUAAAUUAUUUUAUCAUUAUGUUAGUGUCAUUUUGGGAUUCGUCUAGUUUUAUAUUAUGAAAUGAAGCAUUUAUUGUCAUUUAAAUUUCUCCAAAUUAAUUUGUUGGUAGGCAUGCCUCGGGAAAAAUGAGGCUCCCAAAAUAGGAUACCAGUUUACGUUUCGUAAUAUGUGUUUAAAUACUGCAAACAUUUCAGAAUCCUCACUAACUUAUUGCCUUUUUUUGUUUUUGCUUAUUUUUAUUAUUAUUCCCAUUCCCUUAGGUUGGUUAAAUCAUGCUGGCCUCAUCAACGUAUCACACCCAGAUCUAGAGGACCUCCACUUCCUCAUCCUCCAAGAAACACAAAGAGAAAAUAAAAAGCAAAGAUGGAUGACUUAAGUGAAAUCCGAAAGGAAAAUGAUGAGAACGUAGAGACUUCAGAUGGCUGUAGUACUCCGGCCCCAAAUGAUCUGGUUUUGAGAUUAUAACAAAAGAUACUAGAACUGCAAGGAGAAUUUGAGCAGGUCCGCAACUUGGCAAACCUGUCACUCAGCCUCAAUGUCCCCGAUGUCCACCAGUAAUACGCAAAGAACCCAACACCUCCUCAGAACAAACAAAACUAACAGCCGCAGAAUCCUACCCCACCGAAUCAAUACGCAACUCCACCCAAAAAUAUCAACGAUACCAACUCCACCAUAAUAUCAUCAACCAAUUCAUUGCUCUUGAAAGUGGGCUGUUUAGAGGUGUUGACAUUUAAAGAGGCAGACUCAAAUAUAAAUUGGUUAUUAGGCUUGAUCUUUCUUUGUUUCUCCUCUUAAAUUAUCAAAGAGAAGGCUUGGGCCAAAGAUGGCAAGGGCUUCAUCAUGAGUAUGCUUACCCUUACCACAAAUGUAUACUUCAUUAAGUCCCAUAAGAAACAAGAUUAAUUGUCUAUCUUGUUCAACUUUGUGCAUGUUUUUCUUAGCUUCACAAGUACAAUUACAAUUGCAUUAUGUUUUCGCACUUAAGGUGUUGAUCUCUCCCCACUGCUUCUUCAUCAUGGUAUAGUACCCAGUGAUGUCUAGUGUUCCCUGUGACAGAUCAUUUAUCUUUUUUUGAAUUUGGUACAUCUUUGCACCAUUUGUUUGAUCAUAACAAUCAUGCAGCUCUUUUCACAACUCUGCAGAAUUAUGACGCAUUCCACACUAUAAGCAAUUUCCUUCCCCAAGGAAUUCAAAAUUCAUGAGGUGACCAUGUCAUCACACCUCUCCCAUAGCCUAUACUUAAGAGAUUCUAGAUUUGGUUUCUUAAUCACCAUUAAUGAAAUCUAGUUUAUUUUUGACUGAUAGUGCUCGAAGCACACUCCAUCUCAAAGAUCUGUAUCCAAUGCCAUUAAAGGGGACCGCUACCAACGUUGCACCAGGAUUAUCCGAUGGAUGCAUGUAUAAUAGACUGCUUGAGUCAAUAGUAAACUACUUGCUUGAGUCCACAUCGAUGUUUUUGAUUUCUUUAUCAUUAGCCGUGAGGAUUACUCAAUCAAUAGUACUUGAGGCUAAAAAAGGAAAAGAGAAGCGGAGAUCUGAGAACCCUAACUUUUCGCAGAGACAGAAAUUACCUGCAAUCGAGAUAUGCAGAUCGAGAUCGAGCUAUCAAUGAUCUACACCAAUCAUAUGCGCAUAGGAUCAACUAAGCUCUGAUAUCAUAUCAGAAUCAGCAAAGCAAAUGUAUAAUUGAGCUUGAGUAGAGCUCCAACGGGGCGAGUGGAGACUUGAAGGAGAAGACUAGAAACGAGAGCAUUUGCAAG
This 89912-nucleotide long non-coding RNA is filed under the name Nicotiana benthamiana. Its description in RNAcentral is "long non-coding RNA (NBEN_LNC023427)". Lineage: Eukaryota; Viridiplantae; Streptophyta; Magnoliopsida; Solanales; Solanaceae. The record is from RNAcentral.